UCAAACACGCGGUGACUAAGGAGUUGAUAAAUCCUGAUUAUAAGUUAUAACAUUCCCCAUAGAUAUGGAGCAGAAUGGGAUGAAUUACAAGACCAAGGAGUUCAUCAAUUCUGAUCAUACCGACUUUAAAUUUUCUCAGAUUAGCAGCAAAUUCAAACCAUACCCUUUCGUGACUCCGGUUCGAUCAGGAGCCAUCAAACGCAGAAUCUUUACGGCCCUCUUCUGCAAAUUAAUAAAUUUCUUGCGAAUCAAGUUUACCUGCAUGUUUUAGGGAUCACGAAAACAUGCCAGCAAGCAUACGAAAUUGUAAUCUUUUUUUUUUUUGUUGUCCGGAAGUAAUUGAUCUGUUCAGUUUCGUUAUGGUUAGUACUUUUUUCUUGGAAGCUAUGGUUUUGUUUUCUAGUUGAUUAGUUCAAGUAUUUAUUGUUUACCCACGCAAUGGAAAUCAAGAAACGGACUUCCUAAAUGUGUAUCGAAGGGUUAAAACCCUAUUGGUCAUCGCUGAAAUCAUGCAUUUGCUUUAGUUAUAUCAUUAUCUGCAAAAUAAAUGAUUUUGUUGGGUAUCUAAUGACUAAUGAUGAAGCCUUAUGUGGCAAAAGAUGCUGACAAAUACCCCAAAAAAAUUAUGGACGACUCAGUCAAGCUAAUGUUAGACAAAAAGUAAAUAAAUAAAGACUGUCUGAAUGUGAAGAUUUUGUGAGACAUGUUGCUCAGCAUUUAAUUACCAUGGAAUAAGGUUUGAUUUUGAUCCUAUUCCAUUCCAAAAAAGGAAAGUUCGACACAAUUGGAAUUUUUUUUGGAAAUUGAAUGCAGUUACUAAUUCAUGAUCUGGCAUGUACAGAAUGAAAACUUCAUUCCCGAUUCUACGAGAAUUUUUAUGAAAGCCUUUCAUUUGCUUCUCUUCGAUGGAAGUUUGAUUUUCCCAGAAUGUAUCCUAAUUUUUGGCCUAAUUCUUCUUCUGAUGAUCGAUUCAACCUCUGAUUAAAAAGAUAUACCUUGAUUAUAUUUCAUCUCUUCAACAAGUUUAGUAAUGAGCAUAACAAUUUAAUUUUGAUUCUAUUUUCAAAAUAACAGAUUUUCUUUCGCUUCCGCUCUAUUUUAUUAUCUUUAUUCUAAUAUUAUUGAAAGACAUGUGGGCAGAAAUCUAGAUGGAACAUGUUGGAAACCAAUUUUAGACCGAGUAGAAAUUUUCGUCUAUGUAAAUGCCAAAUAGAUUGCAAUGCACACAAUGAAAUGGAGUAUGUUAAUUAACACUUACGGAAAAGGAUUUGUAUGAUCAUAAAAUUCAAAAUUACUAAUUUUAUUUUAUAAUCCUUGUUCAUUAGCUGAAAAUAUAAUUGGAGAAAACUGAAAAAGACUAAGAAACUGUUUGAUAGGCCCAAAAAAUAAACACUAUAAUUUAAUUCUUAAAUUUCAACCACAUUUUAAGGAUAAGAAACUGUCGCAAAUUCCACGUUCGACAUCAUAGUCACGAUAUAAAAUUAUUAAGGAAAAUAACCACCUUGUAUCUAAAUUUUUGUGACUUGAAGAUGAAGGGUAUUUACUAAAGAAUCCAUGGAAGUAUUUUUCCAAUGUUUUCGUGUAUAUUGUUGUUCGAUAAAAUUCCGUAAACGUACGAGAUCGUUGACAAGUAAUAUAUUUAAUGAGUUGAGAGUAUCAUCAAAUAGAAAAUAAUUUUCUAUUCAAGUGUACCAGUUUUUAUAAAAUUCUAAUUAUCUAAAUAAAAUAGAGAUUUUGAUUUGAUUUUAUGUUAAAUUAUACAAGAAAGAGUUAAAAGGCGUUUUUGUAUCACAUUAUGGAUGAUUGUAUUGAAUUUCAAAUUCACUUUUUGCUAUCUACUUUAAUUCUUGAUUUGUAUCCUAGUUUCAUUAAAACGUUUUUGACAAUCUAUAAAGUUAUGAUAUAUAAUUUUCUUUUUUCAAGACAAAUUAAAUCUAUUUUUAGCCCGAAUUUGAAUGAUUAGAAUUGAUUAAAUUUUAGAUUAUCUAUAUGAUUGUUAUUCCUAACAUGUAUUGCACAUAUGUUACUUUUGUCGCAUUCUAAACUUAUUGUGAAUCUCCUAAUACCACAACAAGUAACUAAUUAUUUAAUUGAUAGCCAAACAAUUAAAUAAGACAAUGGGUAUACAAAAUUAAUCAAGAAACGCAAGACAUAAUAAACUGCUAGUCUUAAAUUAAAAUACAUAGACAAUAGGAUUUAUCUUUAUCCAAAACAAAAAAGGGAUCUAGAAUAACAUAUUAAUAUAUAAAUUCUAAAAAGAAUAAUGAAAAAAUAUCAUCCCAAAUCAUGAAAGAAUAUAAGAAAUCUUAUUCUUCAGUUUUUAGGUUGAAAUUUUCAAAAUCUUGUUGUAAUUGGCUUCAAUUCCUUGUUAAGUUUCGAUCUUAUUUCUCAAAAUUUUUGAAUUGACCUCUUGCUCUUGAUGAAUGUUAUGAUAUUAUUGUGUAUCUAGAAGUUAGAGAGAGAUCCUCAAUGUUUCUCCGUAGUUCUUGUAAGGGUCAAAUUUAGGUAAAUAAAUAAUCCCAAAGUUGUUACCAAUAAGGGUUUGAAUUAAAAAAAGAAAUUGGCUUGUCAAUAGAGAAUUUGGCUCAGGCAUGUGUUCAGGCAUAUUGCAUCUCUCAGGUCAAGAAAAGAGGGGUUCGUGCGCACAUGCCUGAAUUGUCCCAUUCUUGUCUAUUCACAUCGCUUUAUCCCUACAUGGCCAUCGGUAUUUUAGUUAUAACUUUCGCUCCUAAUAUUCAAUUGAAGCGAUUCAAAAUGCGUUGAAAAUAUAAAUAUAAUUGAUACAAUUACUAAUAGAAAAUUUUCAAUUCGAACAUUUGCUACCCAAAAAAAUGGAUCUCAACUAAUGCUAAAAAUCCAGAGCAUAAUUUUUUCAGUUAGAAAUUAAUUUGUGAAAAUACUUUAACUAUAUUUAAUUCAUUUGAUCUCCAAUUACAUCUAAUUGAUCAUAUGUGAUAUUCAAUCAUUGUUUAAUGGUCCAAAUCAACUAUUCGAUGUUUGCAUUUUGGUCUCCAAACUUUAAAUUUCUUUCAUUUUUGCUCUUAUUCGUCUAUUUCUUUCAAUUCCACCAGUUUGUCCCGAAUUUUACCUAACAAAAAAAAAGUAACAUCUAAAUAAGCCAUAAGUCAUCAAAAUUUAUUAUAAUUAAUCUCAUUUAACGGUCAAGAUAAGUGUAUUUUAUACACUUAUCAAAUACCCGCAAACUUUAACAAUUAUUUGUUCUCAAACAAAGUAAAUUUUGACUUUAAUUUUUUAUUUUUAAAACAAGCAUGGUUAAAUAAUCUGUCUUUUAUUUUAGGAUUAAAAUUUAUGUUUCAAAACCAUAAACUACUUCAAGAUCAUAUUGCCAAAAUUAAUUUCUACUUAUUUAAAGCAAAUUAAACGUGAGUGAGACAGAGAAAAUAAAUUCAUACCAAGCAUCAUAAAUUCAAAAAGUGAUUUAGAGGGUGUUUGACACCCAUUUUUAUGGUAAAAAGAAUUUAGAAUAGUAGAUUGAUGGAGAAUUUGUGGGUGAAAAUAAGGAAAGUUUUUUAUUUACAUGUGAUAUUAUUUUAAUAAAGAAUGUGUGAUUGAAAAGAAGAGAAAGAAAAAUGCAUUUUGAGAAAAAUGGGAAUCAAACGGACCCUUAAGUUCCAAUUCCUCAAUAGUCAAAUAUUUCAUUUCUUCUCUCAUUAGAUUCACACCUCCAAACUUAUUCUUUUUAACUAAUUUUUACCCUAUAUUUUACUAAUUGCAGUUUAAUAUAUCAACAAAUGAGGAUUUUUUUUAUUAUUAUUUCAAUCUCCAAAAAUCGACAAAGUUAAUAAUUUCUUGUCAAAUGCCUAAUUCUCUAAAAUAAGUGAUUGGGCUUAAUCAAGGCAUGUAGUGCGUCUUCUAUUUCAUGCAUAUAUAUAUAUAUUAUGUGCAGAGUUUUCUUCAUUAAACUUUGUAAAUGACUCUCGUAGUGAGCUUUCGAUUGAUGGCUCCCAAAUUAGAUGAUUAUAAAGCACCAAAUUUUAGAUAUCCUUACAAGUUUAAUCAUUAGAGCCAUAAAAGCUAUGAAAAGAAGUUUCACAAUGAUAUAAAUUUUUUUAUACAAUGACUAAUGCAAUGCCAAUUAUUAAACACUAAUUUUAAAAAAUUGACCCUUAACUCAAGUUUUUCACAUAAUUUUCAUUGUACUGGUUUUGGACAAUCCACAUAAAACUUAGCACACACGAAAUCCCCAUUUAUUUCGAUGUCUUUUUAUAACAAUUGAGUCACCCCCAUACUAUUCUAGAAUUGGUUUAAGAAUGUACAAUUUAGUGGUUAUUUGCAUUUAACAUUUACGGUCCACUAAUUUCAACUUAUUCAAAUUUUGAAUCAAAUUACAUAAGUUUUGUACGCAAAAAUAUCAAGUUUUCCACGAACAAGUAUAAAUCAACUCCAACAUGCAACUUUUUCACAAUCUAUAAUCUAGCACAUGGUUCCAAAUAUAUGCAUCAUAGUAGGCAAGUUUAUCUAAUCAAGCAAGCACACAAUUGCAAUAAUAAAGUUGAAAAUAAUUUUUUUUUGAAUUUUUGCAUUUUUUUGCAUCGAAGAAGUACACAAAAAAAGUAGAAAGAGAAAAACUCGAUAGCUUUCACCCCCCAAACUUAUAACAGACAUUGUCCUCAAUGUGUAAAAGUAUAAUACAAAAUAUAUAAAAAUUAAGAGUAAAGAAAGAAACUAAAUACUCCCCUGACAUAAAUCUAUAGGUGGUGACUGUAUUGAUAUAAAAGUGCUGCAUCACUUGCUUGGUAUUUUUUCUUUUCUAUUGUGUUCAAGUAUCAUGUUCCUUCAAAAUAAAAAUAAAAAUCAAUCAUAAUGUGGAACAACUGACAAUAAGCUCUAACACAUUCUAAAGGAAAAUAUGAGAAUGAAAAUACUCAAUAUUACUAAAAGAAAUAAAAACCAUUAAUCCUAUAUUCUAGAAAGCGAGAUAAAUAAAAAGGAAAAAAAAUUGGAUUGCUGACUUUAGCAAUCUGCAUUAUUGAAUUUUGAAUAAAGCUCUUGAUGCCUUGCUCAAUUUUCUUUUUCUGACUUUGCUUAACUUUUUGUUUAUUUUCCAAAUCUUAACAGUGCUUCCUUCAAUGUGAUAAGACUUGCAUUUCGUUUUUCAUUCUCUCUAUGUUCUUCUUCAAUAAUUGACAACUUCUCGAGUUGAAUGGUUAGUUCACAUUCCAAAUACAUUGAGAAUGACAAUUCUUUCCUUUCAACCUCUUCGAGUAGAUUAUAUUCCCACAUUUUAAAUUCUGAUAUACCAUCUCCAACACGCAUUUUGUUUUCAUCCAACUUGACUAGUUCAUUUUUGCAAUUGCCUUCCAAGGAAUUGUUGGGAAUCUACUUAUACAUGCAUAGCGGAAAAUUAAAAAAAUAUUUCGAUUCCCACCGAGGAUCCCUUUGUAUUUAUAUAGAAAUCGUGAUAAAGAUUGUACCUUUGAAGAAUUCUGCAAACCUUUUACUGUUGUUUUUCUUCCUGUAAUAUUGAUUCGCCAUCCACAACUGUUUAAUUGUCCAGCCUCCAACGGUGAUCCACACAGAGAAUAAGAUUGCAGCUACCAAGAUUUUCUCCUCUUGUGCUGGCAAGAAUAAUUAUGAAAAAUCAUAUGAAUUGAAAACCAUAGCCAUGUAUUUAUAUAAGUCCAAACGGGCCUGGCCCGGUCCGAUCCAAUAUUUAAUUAAUCCAUUUAAUUAAAUCCGAUUCGUGAAUUAAUUAAUCCAAUUAAUUAAUUCGGGCCUAUAAAUAACCAAACCAAUUAAUUAAUUUGUCCAACGAUUGUUAAAUUAAUUAAUUGACAAAUUGCAAUCUUCCAAUUAUCUUUUGUGUGCGACCCAUCAGGUUCCCGAUCACGAUGCCUAACGACGUGAAAUAUUAUUUUGAUCUAAUCAAAAUUGAUAAAUUAAAACACUCUUUUAAUUUAUCAUCAAUUUACACUCGCCAUCCCAUAUUGAUAUCUAGCAAUGUGUCAGGACAAUACAUGUGACGGGAUAUGUCAUGUGGUAUGACAAAACCAAACUCGUUCGUUUACCGUGAAACUAUAAUCCCUUCGUCAAUAUGAAUCGAUCAAUUACGAGAUAUGGAAGUGUGUCAAUCUCGAUUAUCGAUCAUAUCUUUUACUCCACUAUUAAGUCAAUAUAAGUCGAAAACUUCUUUUCGACUUAUGAGUACACAUUGGCCAAAAAUUUCAUCAUCGACUUAAUUGAAUGAAACGCAGAUCAUAAUCUCCUACUAUCUAAGAGUGAUGAAUCCUUUAUUGAUCAAUCACAACCUUCAUACGAUUCUUGACGUACCUGAACGAUGUCGUAUUAGCGACCCUUUGCAGAGCAAUAUCCAAUACCGCCAAAGUAUGACUGUCCUCAUAUAAGGUACCAUGACGACCUCAAGGCAAAGGACCAAUUCCACUAUCGGACGUUAGAGAUUAACUACUGACACUCAGGGAGUUAUCCAUGGGGUAUCUUUUGGCGGGUCUCCAAUGUUUUGUUCUAUAACAAAACAUCCACGUAUUCAUUUAAGUAUCACCACACUUUAACUUGUGAAAUCAACUACUUACCUUAUAAGUAAAAAAAAGCCACACGUGACGGUCUAUCCAUAAUAAUGAUAUCCGUAUCUCGUUAUUACUAACGACCAUAGACGAUUUAAGAUUCAAUCAGAUGUAAUUUGUAUCUCAAAAUCGCAACUCCUUAUGAUUAACAAAUUAUAAAAAUUUGAAUAUACGGACUCUAUUAUUUAUUUAAUUGUCUUUUAAUUAAAUAAUAGAUCUACUAUUAAAUUGCAUUAAUUACAUAUCAAAAGUAUUUAUGUCCAAAGUUGAUUGGACUUAGAGCAUAAUACUUACAAACUCCCACUUCAACUAAAUCCAAUCACUUAUGUAUCCAAUAUUAUAAGUUUACAUAACGAUCAUGUUUAUGCUACGACAACUCUUUGUCAGUGAAUCUGCAAUAUUGUUAAAUGUGGAAAUUUGUUCUUCUUUUUAUGUCAUUUCUAUGUAUUAUCUCUCUGAUGAGAUUAUUCCGCCUUAAUACAUGUUUGGAUCAUUUAUGAGACCUUAGUUUCUUCGCUUUCGCAAUGGCUCUAUUGUUAUCACAAUACAAUGGCAUGUGAUCAACAAUAUCAAGAACUACUCCAAGUUCAUCUAUGAAUAUCAUGAUCCAUAUUGCAACUCUUUGCUACUUCUGAAAUAAUCAUGUAUUAGGUUUCUACUAUUGAAUCAACGGUUGCUUCAUGUUUGGAACCUUUCCAACAUACCGCUUAAGAGUAAACCAGUUUCUUCAUAUGAAAUCUUCUCAAGAUUUCAUCUAUGUAAAUUGGGAUGAAUUAAGCAAUCUUUUAAAUCUACCUCUAUAUAUCAAGUUGAUUCUCCCAUAUCGUUCAUGAAUAAAUCCUUUAACAAUCAUUUUUUAUACGAUUGAAAUAUAGGGAUGUCGUUUUCUAUAAUAUUAGCAAUACGACAAUGCUCUCACUAUCUUCUUGUAAACACACAAUUCGUCUUCAAAUUUGAUAAAAUUAAACACUUUGACUUUUUCAUCAAAUCGAAGAUUUCAACUCCAAGAGACUUCUCUUAACCUAUAGUCACGGUAUGCAACUAUUGCAAGCAAAACCCGAAUGGACUUAAGCAAGACCACAGGAGAGAGGUUUCACAAAGGUCAACACUUAACUUUCCUUCUAGCCUUGCUUUAUAUAUAUGGAUAUUCCCAUCCGUAUCGACCUUUCCCUUGUAAACUAUUUACAAAACCUUAUAGGUUUUAUUCCAUCAGGAGGCUCGACCAAGGUCUAAACCUUGUUCACAUACGUCGAGUUCAUCUCGAGUAUCAUGGCCUCUUGCUGUCUCUUUUAAGUCAACACUUGACUUUAUUUUGGUGCAAUUAGUAGGUUCAUCAUCCUGGAUCAGUAAUACCUGAUUAGUAAUCACGAAUUCGCACCUUUUUGAAGGUUAAAUGAUCCUACUAGACUCACAUAGAGCUGACAUGUCCUCAGGAGUCUCUACUCCGUGAUUAUGAGUAUAUCCCAUAUCAGAUAUGAUAUCAAAUUUGGAUUUAUCUACUUGGUUAACUAUAUCUGUGGACUCUUGAACUCUUUCAAAUUCUAUUUUGCUUCCACUGUCCUCCCCUAGAGUAAACAUUUUCUCUAAGUAGACGAUAUUUCGUGAGACGAAAACUUUCUUCAUGAUAAUAGAAUUUAUAUUCAAAUGUCUGCUUUGAAUAUCCCAAAAAAUACGUAUUUAUCAGCUUUAGUAUCAAAUUUAUCCGAUUCAAGACGCUUCAAAUAAGUGUUAUGACCCAAAACUUCCAUAUAAGACAAAUUGGGACUAUUGCCUUUCCUUAACUCGUAUGGAGUUCUGUUAACCAAUUUAGAUCGGACAUGGUUUAGUGUGUUGCACAUUGCAUCAAUGCAGGACCCCAAAACAAUUUUGGGAGAUUUGCAUGGCUUAUUAUUAAUCGCAUUAUAUCUAAUAGUUAACGAUUUCUCAUUUUAGAUACACCACCAUGCUGUAGUGUAUGUGAAGGAGUCCACUGCAAGAGAAUCUCAUUCUCUCUUAGAUAAUCUAGAUUUUAUCUUUAAGAUACUUUCACUUGAUCGAAUCUUAAUGUGGGGAUAUCUUUACCUAUUUGUUUCUCUACUUCUAGUUUGAAUCCCUUGAACUUUUCAAGAAUUUCAUGUUUGAGUUUUCAUCAAGUAUACAUGAUCAUUGAUGAAAUAAGAUAAAUAUUACCUGACAUCAAUUGACAUGAGUCCAUAUACAUCACUAUGCAUUAGACCAGUAAUUAUGCCGACGUUUCUUCUUUUCAAGUAAAAGAAGAUUUGGUCAUUGUGCUAGACAUGCAUAAUUUAUACUUGUCAAAAUCAAUUAAUCCCGAGUAUACAUCUUUAUGUAACUUUGGAAUUGCAUUUCAUCUAUAUGACAAAGUCUGUCAUGUCAGAUUUAGGUAAUAAUUAGAUUAUCGCAUUUAUGCCUUAUAAUUUCUAUACUCAUUAUAGAAUCCUUAGUAUUAAAGAAUAUAAACAUCGUUUUGUAAUUUACCAUAGCCAUUAGGAUCUUUAUCAAGAUAAAUAAGAACAACAAUUGUCCUUAAAAUUAAAAUAGUUCAUGUUCGAACAUGAAAUUCAUUUUAAUGUUCCAGCUAUGGUGGGUAUAAAGCGAUAUUUCUCUAAUUCCAAUACUAAAUAAAAAGGCAAUGGCAAGAAGUAUAUUCCUACAGGCAAUCCAACAAACUUUGCACAUCUCCAAAGUGUAGGUUAACUUCUCCCUUUCGCAGUGGUCUACUUCUAUUUAGUUUCUCCAUAUUUGUAUAAAUAUGAUAUUUACAUCUGGUAUCAGAUACCUAAGAAACUCGUGAAGUAGACAUAAGCCACACAAUAUUCCUUUCAAUGACCUUUCAUUCUAUAAUGAAAUCAAGGGUCAUUAGAUUUGGUAUUGUCCUUCGCUUAGACUGUCUUAACCAUAUUGGGUGCUUUCCCAAAGUCCCUUUAGACUUCAUCUUAAUACCCUUAGAGGAAUCAAUGGUUUGCCCACUACCAACUUUAAUAAAGGGCUUAACAGUUCUAAGCAUGUUAAGCAACUUAGUGAGUAUGUAUUCGAGCUUAUUCAUAUCAUAAUUCAUAAUUAGUAUGAAUAACUCUAUGACUGAGAUUGCAGAGCUAAGUCAAUACUUAGUUCAUAGUUAAUGAUUGAACUCAGUCGAGACACUUCUCAUGUCAAUCAUCUUCAGUACCUUACUACUGACUAAAGAUCGUUCUGUCAUUUUGCGUCGGUAUAGUUGUUCAGAAGUCUCAUAUCCUUCCACACAUGAUUAUUAUCAUACAACUCUUUGAAAUGAAAAAUCAUGUGUUAGCAUGUUAGCAUCUACACUCUCAUGUUGUUUCUGUAACUCAGGUGACAUAGUUGCAAGUAUCACAUACGUUACAGUACUAUUGUCAUCAUUGAGUUUAUUACAGUAGCCACCUCUUUUUUAAUUGAGUUAGCAGCAGAUGUCUCUAGAAAGGGCUACUCAAGGACGUGACCAAUUUUCUCAUGCAUGAGAACAAUUCUCAAAUUGCUGUGUCAAUCAAGAAAAUCUAGUUUGGUUAUUGAUAUCUAGUAUGCCAUUCAAAUACAUAUGGUUACUCACGAUUUAAUAAGUAUAAAUGACGAAAAGAAAAAGAAUAAUAUAUAAAAUGCAUCAAUUAAUUUAACAUGAAUUUUUAUUAAAUUAAUUAUGCUUCCACUGUUGAACUAAAAUUUAUGACCCUCUUAUAUAAAUUUAUGGAGUCUAUACUUGACUCCCAGUGGGCUGAGAUCCCAUCUAUUAUAUUAAGACCUUGAGUGUAUUUAACAAGCCUUAAUAUAACAUUCAAGUGGAUACUAUCAUCAAUUGUAUCUCCAUACAAUGCCCGGAUCAUUAAGCUGACAACUCUUUGUUUUCACACAUCUUAUGUGUUAGCUUAAUAUACCUCUAAAAUUUAUCUCAUUGAGUAUACUCAACAAAAGAUAAAUUUUAAUUAAGUCAAACUCGUCAUUUAGAAAUAUCAAAUAUUUCAUAGUGUUAAACAUAUCCCUAAUGGACCAGCCUUGAGUGUACUCAACAAGUUGAGACGAUUUGGGACUCUGGUUUUUCACUAUAAUGAUGGAAGACGAUGAUAAAUGUGACUUAAUAUUUUAUGGAGGGAUUUUGCAUUGAAAGGUCUCAUCGUAUACAUCUACCAUGCAAAUAAAUAUAUAUAACAUAAUAUAAUAGUGUGGACGAUUAUGAAUUUUACUAUCUAGUCUUCCCGAGCCAUAAGGAAGACUAGUUGGUCAAUUCUUAGGGGGUAUUACAUUGAUUAGUAUCAAUGUACCAUCUCCAUGGUCUCCUCUUCUUCUUGUUUCUUCAAUUAGUCUAGCUGCAACUUGUAUCCUAUACUAGUUGACACGUAGGUCAAAAUGAAAUUGGACUCCUAGGCCCAUAGCAACAAUAAUAAUAACGGACUCACAGGUUCAAAAUGAUAACAAUAAUAACGAGCUCACAGGCCCAAAACAAUUAAGAGUUUGCAGGCCUACAAAACGACAAGAAUAAAAAUUAAUCAUUCAAUACAUCCAUAUGGUCGAGUCCAUAAUCGUCCACUGAUAAUGCAUUCAUCACAUAAAUGUAUGUAUAUAUAAUAUCUAAUAUUAUAUCCUAACAUGUUUCAAAUUUCUAGCAAUUAAUUCGUCUAAACUCUUUUAGACUUAUGGAUCGGAACAAUUAAAUAAUUAAUUAAUCAUAUCAAUCAAUUAUUUAAUUAGCGGGCAUAUUUAAUUUAAAUCAAAUUUUAAUUAAAUACCAAAUUAGAGUCCAGCUCUAAUUCAACAAUUAUAGGGCGGGAUAAUUUAAUUAAAAUCAAAUCUUAAUUAAAUAUAAAUUACAGUCCAACUCUGACUGAAACAAAUUUUAGGGUGAAUUGAAUUAAUUAAAAUCAAAAUUUAAUUAAAUAGCAAAUUAGAGUCAAACUCUAAUUCCAAGAAGAAAUUUAGAGUGUGACAAUUUAAUUAAAAUCAAAUUUUAAUUAAAUGUCAAAUUAGAAUCCAAUUCUAACUUCAAUAACAUAUUUGGGUAAAUAAUUAAUUAAAAUCAAAUUUUAAUUAAGUAUUAAAUUAGAGUCAAACGCUAAUUUAUAUUGAAUCAAUAUUUUAGUUUAGCAUGAUACUCCUAAAUAAAAUAAAAUUCAAUAUAGGGUCAAAUUUGAUAUUUAAGUUAAAAUCAUAUUUUAACGAAACUAUAAAAAUCGUCAAUUUUAAAUAAAAUUUUAAUUUGGGUCAAAAUAAAAAACAUGGGUCAAACCCAAUUAAAAACAUAAUUUUAAAACCCAUUUAAAAUUUAAAUUCAAAACCCAUUUUAAAGUUUGCAAAUUGACCCAAGUUUAAAAUUAAAAGGUGGUCCUUCAAUUAACUUAAUUGAGUGACAAGUCCUUCAAUUAAAAAUUGCAAAGUCACCCUUCUCAUUUAAUUGCAAGUGGCCCCUUUAAGUUUCAUAAAUUGCAGACCGGAUCCCCUUUUAAAAAUUGCAGUAUGACCCUUCAGCUUUAAUUGCAACCAGGGGCUUACAAUUUCAUAAAUUGCAUGUGAAGCCUGCCUCCAAUCUCCCAAAACCGACUGUAAACCCUAGAUUUAAAAAAAAAAUAAAAAUCCUUUCUUCUUUCUUCUUGGCGGCGUCGGUCAUACCUCCGCGCAGUACCAGGUAGCUGCGCUGCUCGGCAUCCAACGCCGCCGGCAGUUUUGCUCGAUUUUCAGAUUCCUUUCUUUUUUUUUUUAAUUUAUGAAAAUUUAAUUUUUAUCUCAAAACAAAUUUUGAAUAUGAUAAUAAAUUUUCUUAAUUGCUAGAAACUAAAACAUGUAUAACAAUCAACUUUUGAUUGCUCAAAAUGUUAAACAAUUUCUAACAAACACAAAGUAGGCUCUGAUACCACUGUUGGGAAUCUACUUAUAUAUGAACAGCGAAAAAUUAAAAAAUAUUUCGAUUCCCACCGAGGAUCCCUUUGUGUUUAGAUAUAAAUUGUGAUAAAGAUUGUACCUUUGAAGAAUUUUGCAAAUCUUUUACUUUUCUUUUUCUUCCUGCAAUAUUGAUUCGCCAUUCACAGUUGUUAAAUUGUCCAGCCUCCAACGGUGAUCCACACAGAGAAUAAGAUUGCAGCUACCAAAAUUUUUUCCUCUUGUGCUAGCAAGAAUAAUUAUGAAAAACCAUAUGAAUUGAAAACCCCAUCCAUGUAUUUAUAUAAGUCCAAACGGGCCUGGUCCAAUCCGGUCCAAUAUUUAAUUAAUUCAUUUAAUUAAAUUCGAUCCGUGAAUUAAUUAAUCCAAUUAAUUAAUUCGGACCUAUAAAUAACCAAACCAAUUAAUUAAUUUAUCCAACAAUUUUUAAAUUAAUUAAUUGACAAAUUGUAAUCUUCCAAUUCUUUUUUGAGUGCGACCCAUCAGGUUCCCGAUUACGAUGCCUAACGAUGUGAAAUAUUAUUUUGAUCUAAUCAAAAUUGAUAAAUUAAAACACCCUUUUAAUUUAUCAUCAAUUCACACUCGCCGUCCCAGAUUGACAUCUAGCAAUGUGUCAGGGCAAUAUAUGUGACGGAAAUGUCAUAUGGUAUGACAAAACUAAACUCGUUCGUUUACCGUGAAACUAUAAUCCCUUCGCCAAUAUGAUCCGAUCAAUUACGAGAUAUGGAAGUGUGUUAAUCUCGAUUAUUGAUCAUAUCUUUUGCUCCACUAUUAAGUUAAUAUAAGUCGAAAACUUCUUUUCGACUUAUAAGUACACCGUGGCCAAGGAUUUCAUCAUCGACAUAAUUGGAUGAAACACAGAUCAUAAUCUCCUACUAUCUAAGAGUGACGAAUCCUUUAUUGAUCAAUCACAAUCUUCAUACGAUUAUUGACUUACUCGAACGAUAUCGUAUUAGCGGCCCUUUGCAGAGCAACAUCCAGCACCGUCAAAGUAUGACUAUCCUCAUAUAAGGUACCAUGACGACCUCAAGUCAAAGGACCAAUUCCACUACCGAACGUUAGAGAUUAACUACUGACACUUAGAUAGUUAUCCAUGUGGAAUCUCUUGGCGGGUCUCCAAUAUUUUGUUCUAUAACAAAACAUCCACGUGUUCAUUUAAGUGUCACCACACUUUAACUUGUGAGAUCAGCUACUUAUUUCAUAAGUAAGAAAUGUCACACGUGAUGGUCAAUCCGUAAUAACGAUAUCCGUAUCUCGUUAUUAAUUACGACCACAGACGAUUUAAGAUUCAAUCAGAUGUAAUUUGUAUCUCAAAAUCACAACUCCUUGUGAUUAACAAAUUAUGAAGAUUUGAAUAUACGGACUCUAUUAUUUAUUUAAUUAUCUUUUAAUUAAAUAAUAGAUCUGUCAUUAAAUUGCAUUAAUUACAUAUCAAAAGUAUUUAUAUCCAAAGUUGAUUGGACCUAGUGCAUAAUACUUAUAGGAAUGACCAACUUCAACAAGCAUGUCUAUAUAUACAUACUCGCCCAUACAAGCAUGUAGCUUUCAUUAGAUUAGUCAAUUGCUUAUAUUCGAUAUUUUAAAUAUUGUUGAAAUCGUAGAAACUUAACCUUAGAAAGUCAGUGCAUGUAUACAAGAAAUACCCAAUAUAAUGCAACCCAUAACAAAAUUCAAAAUAUAUAUCUUCUACAAGCAUAUCGUCCUUGUUCAUGUCAGGAUUAUUUAUUGCAAAAAUAUUACUCUUUUACCAACAUUCGAAUUCUCCAUAUACUGCAGAAUAGUACCUAAAAGAUUACAAAACACUAGAGAAAUGAGGGUGGGUAGCCAAAAUUAACUAAACAAAAUAAAUAAAAAUAAAAAUAAAAAAUUUUGAAUCCUAUGUAAUUAAUAAGGUUAAAUUAAAUAUUUUUUCCCCCGCAACAGUGUCAAAAACUUGUUCGAUAAAAUUUCGCCAGUGUACUUGAUCGUUGAUAAAUAAAAUUUUUAAUAAGUUAAGAGUAUCGUUCCAUAGGAAAUAAUUUUCAAUUAACGUACACAAGUUUUGUAUGAAAUUCGAAUUAUGUAAGCUAAAGAGAUAUUUAGAUUUAGUUUUAUGUUAAAUCACAUAAGAAAGCGGCAAAAAGUAUUUUUGUAUCAAAUUAUAGUUGAUCGUAUUGGUUUCCAAAUCCAACUAUUUCUAUCUAUUUCAUUUCUUGUUUGUAUUGUAGUUCUGUUCAUGCAUUCUUGAGAAAUUGAUGAAGUUAUGAUAUAUUAUCUUCCUUUUCAAGACAAAUUAAAUUUAUCUUAAUCACGACUCAAAUUUAUUAAUAAUCAGAAUUUCGAAUGAUUAGAAUGCAUUGAAUUUUAGAUUAUCCAUAUGAUUGUAUACAUAACAAACGUUAUUCUUAACAUCUAUUACAUAUAUGCUGAUUUUGUUGCGUUCUAAACUUAUUGUUUCCAACAGUAUAACAAGAAACUAAUUAUUUAGUUGAUGGCCAAACAAUUAAAUCAUGCAUGAAUAUGCAAAAAUAAAAAAAUUAAAAAUUAAAAAAAUCAAGAAACAUAAGAACUAUAAGCUACUAGUCUUGAAUUAACAUAAAUAGAGUUCAUCUUCAUCAAAUACAAAAAUAGAUUUAUUCUCACAUAUUAAUAUAUAAAUUACAAAAAAAAUAAUGAAAAAUAUCAUCCGAAUCAUGAAAGAAUAUAUGAAAUCUUGUUCUUCGAUUCCAAGGUUGAAAUGUUCAAAAUCUUCAUGUAAUUUGUUUCAAUUCCUUGCGAGUGCUUGAUUUUCUUUCUCAAAAGUUUCAAGAAAUCGUCCUAGAUCGUUACCAACAAGAGGAUAAAUCAAAAGGAAACUGGCUCGUCAGUAGAGAAUUUGGCCUGGGGACGCAUGUAGGUAUUCCUACCACGUGUGCAAGCAUGCUGAAUUGCUUUUGGGUCAAGAAUAGGUGGUCCGCGUGCACUUGCUUGAAUUGCCCUCACUUGCACUGGUUCACUUCGCUUCGUUUAUGAGCAGCAUCUGGUAUUUUGGUUAUAACUUUUUUCUUCUAAUAUCUGAUUUAGGUAAUUCAAAGUGUGUUUAAAAGAUAACUCACAGUGCUACAAUUAUUUUGGAAAUAUAAAUUUUUUUCUUUUGUUUUAUUUUUAACUUAACAAAUGUAAUUAUUUAAUGUGAUAAAUAGAAAGUUACUCUUUUACCCCUUUCCAAAAUAAUAAAAAUGUGGUCAAAGUUAAAUGUUUCGUCAACUAACAGAAUUGCGGAUGGAAACCAUCCAAAAGGGCUUCCGCUACAACGUUACGAUGGGUUUGGAUGACGGUUGCAACAAAUCAAAGGUUUGGAGAAAGUCUGCAAAUAUUUUAAAGGUUUGGGAUGGCUGCUGCAAUUAUCCGUAAAAUAUAUUGCACGUAAACCCAAAAUUUUUCGUUCUUUUUUAACUAUGCAUUCUUCAAAAAAUCACUAUUCAAAAAUGUAUUUUUUUCCCCGAAAACCUGUUAAAAUGGAGCUUAAACAAGGGCUAAAAUUAUAUGUAGUGUUCUAAAAAUGAGUUCAAAGAUGUACAGAAUAUGAGUUUGAGCCAAAAUUAAGUUUUUGAAAUUUUUUUUUUACAUUUCUUGCCUAUGUUAUCACUAGGGGUUGCGAUCACACAAGUUCGUAUAUUUAUUUGCUGUAAAUCAAGUUUUGAUGCUUGUAAUCACUCACCGUUUUGGCCCUUGAGAUCAUUCUUUCAUUGUCCUACAUUGUGGUCCUCGAAUUUUAUUCUCUGUUCGGCCCAAGUUUUCCUAUUAUUACAUGAAAGGUCCUUCAACUUUCAACUUUGACACAAUAGUUCUCAAUUUCCAAAUUUUGUAUAACUUUGAUUCGUCUGAUCAAAACUAUCCCAUUUUUCAUCCGUUCACGUCUAAGUCAGAUUUUUCCUAAAUUAAUUAUUAAAUAAACAAAAUUGAGUAUUUUCUUCAAUAUAAGCACUGUUGACCUCAAUUUUUGUAUCUUCAACGUGGUCAACAGAUCCCAACGCCUCCCGUGUCCACGUAAGUUGAAUUUUUGCACACUAGGACAAACCGUUAGCCACAUGUGGCUUUCUUCGGUGGUGGUGGAAUUAGUGCAUGCACUCCAACGGUUAAGUCAGUUGAAGUCAUAAGUAUUUGAGCAUGAGAGGUGGUUUAGACGCGAGCCUCUUACGUAAAAAGAGGUUCGGCUUUAGGGGAAAGACAGUAACAAUAAGGAGAACAGGGUUAUAACUUGAGAGUCUAAACUUGUAUUAUUUUUAAGAUACCAUAUUAUGUAAGCUUUUAUAGUAGAAGUGUAUGGAUACUGACCAUAGGAUGAAAACAUAUGUGAUGACCUUCUUGUCAAAGGUAUCAAUCAUAUGCAUUUAAUGCUAAUAUCAUUUUAUUGUCCAAAAGUUUGACAUAAGACUUAGACUUGACCCGAGACUAAAUAUGGCAACGGUAGCAGUGACUUGCCUUAUCAAUCACUUACGAAGGAAAUCACUUACUAAGAUUGCAUAAACAUCUCUUACUUAACCCCUUACAGCCUAGCCCGCCAUGAGGGUUCUGUUCUCCAUAUGGGUUGAUUUCACAAAUGGGUUUAGCUUUCCAUAGAUGUUCAGCCAAAUUGCCUCUCGGGUUUAAUGAAGUGGAGUGUUGGCCCAAGUUCGCCUAUAGUGCAACUGUCACAUAGGAGUUUCUGGAUUCUCGUUGCAAGAGGAGUGACAAACACUCCCAAACGCUCAUUUUUAUUGGCUCAAAUAAUUAUAACACUUAUCAAGGCUCUUGAUUAAUAAGAUAAAUCCUGUUUGAUGGAGAUUAAAAUUAGAAUUUUAGUAGAAUUAAUAUAAAUUGACGAAAUGCGUGGUUAAAAAGUUGUGAGAUUCAUAAAGUAUGUGAUUGAAAUUAAUUGUUUACUUUGAAUUAGAUAAAAUUUAAUUUUUAAUUCCUACCAAACAUGUCUAAAUUUCCUCUAAUUUCACACAUGGGAUGAGAUACCAUCACCAUUCACCAACUAUGUUCAAGAGUCCCACACAGUCUUUCUUGGUUAUUACUCCUUAUAGAGGUCAAGUGUGUUGGGUCCUCGUGUUUUGACUUGUUGCAAGUUGCAAUUUCCCUUUCACAUAGGACUCUCACGGACUUUCCAUUUUCCUAUUGUCUUUCUUAGUCUACCCCACAGGCAGAAAUUUUCAACCAUGCGACAGUGACUGUCUAUAAGAAAUGUAAGGUUGUGUUUGAUUACAUUUAAUGGAAAGUAUCAGUUUUCUACCCAAAUUCCUAUUUGGGGUGUUUGAUUGCUAUUUUUUUUCGUGGAAAACAUUUUUCAACUUUUGAAAAUAUGUCUAAUUUUCCUUGUUUUUAAGGAAAAUAUUUUCUUUUGGUGGAGGUGGUUUUUGUUUUCCUCAAAAUAAAAAAAAUAUUUUUUUUUCUAAGUGAUAUUUUUCAUGUCAAUCAAACACUCUAAUGCUAUUUAGUACUAUUGACACAAGUACGAACUUAAAUGACAUAAGAGACAUUGAGUUAAUCAAAUGCAUAUGAAAAGAAGCUUUAAAGAAAGGAAUGUUAAUAGUAAAAAUAGAUCAUGGACUCCCAUUGAUUUUGUUUAUAGAUUCUCAACAAACAAAUGCCUCAAAUCAUGCUAUCGAAAGGAAAACAAUAUUGUUUUAUUUAUAAGAACACAACACAAAUCAAAAUAUAAAUUGGUUAAAAUUUAACGGAAAAAAGCACAACACAUCAUGUCUCUUUUGUCAUCAUACACUAAUUAUUCCACUAUAUUUUAGCUAUUAGAGUGUUAAAAAAAAAAAAAAAUCAGAUUAGAUAAACUUGUAUCCGUAAAAUCAAUAAGUACUUAUGAUUUUAAUCAAACAAACAUAAAGAAAAAGGAGAAUUCCUUUCCAAAAUAAAAAGAAACCAUAAAGGAGAAUUCCUUUUGUCUUUACUUCAUUUUCUAACUUGAUCAUUUUUAGAUGUCUUUCAUCGUAGAAUUCCAUCUUCUUUGACAUAUGCACCAACGGUCUCUCCAUUUAUUGGCCGACUCCAUCUAGAACUAUAUCUUUAGUUAGUCAACACAUCAUUUCCCUUCAUUUUCCUCUAGUACUCUUGUCACGGCAUCUUUAAUCAUAAUUGAGUCCCUCUUUGACAAAUAUGUUUUCAGAUAAGAUCUGGCCUUUGUUAGGGAUGACAACGGUUCGGUUUGGGGUCGGUUCGUUCAAAACUAUCACCAAACCACCAAUUUUUUGGUCAUACCAUAACCGCACAAUAACCACGAAAGCCGGUUCGGUUCGUAUCUCGGUUCGGCUCGAUUCGGGUCGUUAAUAACCACGAAAAUAAAUUAUUUUUAAUUGAUCCAUCCAUCGAAUUAAAAUGAAAACAAAAACAUGAUACUAAGUUAAUGUAGCAAACAACAUCCAAAAUGAAAAUGCAAAAAAUAUCAUAAUUCUCAAACACAAAAUCCAAAUUUAACAAACAAUAUUCAAUAACUCAAAAAGCUCCAACCUCAAUUCAUAUUCAAUCUUCAUUCUUCUCCACAACUCUUACUGGCAUCCGUCAAAACUCAAAGUUGAUUCCUAUAUAGUAUAUAAGAAAUGUAACUAGAGUAAUAAAUCAAUAAUCCAUAAUGUUCUUAACUAAAUAUUUAAACAAAAAAAUGUACCUCUUCGUCAAUAUCCUCGUCAUCAGACUUUGCACAGGCUCCAGAAUAUGAUGAAGGAGCAGAAUUUUCUACAGACAAAAGAGGAAAAAAUUAGCAAUAAAAGAAAGUGCAUAAAUAACAAACAUAAAACAAUAAAUCCUACCAUGAAUAUCAGACCAAAGCCAAUCUCGAGCAUACAUUAAAGCUUCUAAAGUCUUCGGGUGAAGCUUAUUUCUAUGUGGACUCACAAAUCUACCACUUGUACUAAAUGCUGACUCGGAUGCAACAGUAGAUACUGGAAUAGCUAAUAAAUCUCUUGCAACCUUCUGUAAAGUUGGAUAUUUUAUUGAGUUUGCUUUCCACCAUGUCAAUAGAUCAAAACCGUCCACCCUAGGCAAUACUGGUUCAUCUAGAAAAACAUCGAACUCUAUUUUUACAUGAUCAGCAGUAACAGAAAGACUAACAAAUGUAUCAAAACCAGCCAUGCGAAAAUGUUUUCCACUAGUAGUAGACGACUCUGAUUGUGAAGAUGAUGGAAACAAAGAUGUAUUUUCUGUCGAACGAUGUGAUCUCUUGUCCUCUUUGAGCAACUUAUGACCAAAUGCUCUAACCUUUUCAACCUCUUCCUGAGCUUUAUCUCCAAAAAUCAAAGGAAAAUAGUAUUCAACUAGUUUCAUCUUGUAUCUAGGAUCCAAUAUAGUUGCAACAGCUAGAAUUUCAUGCAUGCCACUCCAAUAUUUAUCAAACCUUUCCUUCAUGCUUGACGCCAUCCAUUUGACUUCAUCGCAAGAUGAUGUGCUCCAAUUACGGAUUGCCAACUUUAUGUCACAAAUAUUGGGAAAGUACAAAUUGGCAGUAGGAUAUUUUGUUCCUGAAAAUAAUUCAAUCGCUUCAUAAAAUAUCUCCAACUUAUCACAAAUCUUUGUAGCCAAUUCCCAAUCACUCUCACUCGGUACACUUCUGUAAUGAGGCUCUCUUUGCCUUAGUCGAGGAAAAAGUUCUUUGUAAAGCAAAGCAGUAUGAAUCAUUAGAUACGUAGAGUUCCAUCGAGUCUUGCAAUCUAAUACUAACUUUUUUCCACAAGGGAUUUUCAUUUGUCGUGCAACUGCCUCAAAUGUUUCAACUCUUUUUAGUGUUGCUGACCAAUAUGAAACACUAUCGCGAAUUCUCUCAACACUCGGGCUAAUGACAUCCAAACCAUCCUUUACUAUCAGGUUCAAUAUGUGUGCACAACACCGCAAGUGGAAAAAUUCACCAUUCAACAAUAAAGAACCAAGAGAAAGCUUAUCUAACAUAAUGUUAAUCAUAGCGUCAUUCGUGGUGCAAUUAUCAACAGUCAAUGUAGACAAUUUCUGAUCAAUAUUCCAAUCAAAUAGACAAUCCAUUAACACAGUAGACAGUGACUCAGCAGUGUGGGGACAAAGGACAUAUAUAAAUCUGUAUGGAUAUGAAAAAAAGUUCGUAAGAUAACUUAAAAUUUCAGAAAAUACGAUAGUAGCUUGAAGUCUAUUUUAUAAAACUAUUGUACCUCAAAAUUCGGCUCUGAAGCCUCCAAGAAUCAUCUCUGUAAUGUGCAGUGAUAGCCAUAAAUCUCUUCUUUUGAUUGGAUGUCCACAUAUCAGUGGUGACUGCUAUUCUACUAUUGGUCCUCUCUAACAAGCCCAUUACUUUUGUUCUCUCAUAAUCAUAAAUUUUCAAGAUAUCAGCCUUGAUGAUAUUACGAGAAACAACUUUAAAUAAUGGUUGAAUUGUAUUACAAAACUUUCUAAACCCAGUAUGCUCAACCAUUGAAAGAGGAUAUUUGUGUAGGAUGAUCAUAUUUGCAAGUUCCGUCCUACCUUUCUCUUGAUCAAAAUUAAAUGCUCCAAUUGCAAUCCUACCACCAGGUUCUUUAAAUUGAUUCAAAAAUAUCUUUUUGACAUCCUUCUGACCUCGAAGAGGACAUCUAUUUAAAUGAGCAUGUAAAUGACUUGUCCCAUUUUUGGACUCACCCCUUAACUGUUUGUUGCAUUGUCUGCAAAUUGCUUUGGACACAUUAUUAAUUCUCUGUAGCUUAAAAUGCUGCCACACUGAAGAGGUCAAUUUUCUUUUUCUAUUUUCCUCAAUCAUCUCCUCAUUAUCACCUAAAUCUAUAUGAAUAGGAUUUGCAUUUACCUCACUUGGACUUUGUGAAGUAAUUGGUGUACUUGUUGAUGUAUCUCCAACUUGAAUUGAAGCAGAAGCACUUCCAAUUGAAGCGGGGAGAGUAGGAACGGAAGAUUCUGACCCCUGGCAAGACAUCUAAUUUCAAAAAAAAAAAAAAAAAACCAACAAACUCAAAAACUUAGGCAUUCAUUAAUUUCAUUAGGUGAAAAAUUUACAAAAGUGGAAUGCUAAACGAUAGAGAAAUAACUUACUCCAAUUUACAAUAAAACUUAUCAUUCAAGGAAAUUUACAAUAAAACUUACUCCAACUCAAACAGAAAUAACUAAAGUGGAAUGAUAAACGAUAGAGAAAUAAAAAAAGAUGUAGUUUAUUUGUUGCACGAGAAAUAAAAAAAGAUGUAGUUUAUUUGUUGCACCCCACUUUAGGGAUAUGAUGGAGUAUAAAUUAUCAUUAGUUGAUUACUAAGGAAUUGUCAAUAACCUCCUAAUACAUGGUCUCCUGACCUUUAUAACCAAUAUGAAUAAUCUUAAAAACUUGUGUCCAAACAACGUCAAGGACGAGAAAUCAUGUACUCUCUCCAUUGUUUGUUCCGGUGCUGAAGAACUAUAAUAGAUUUUUUGCCAUGCCCACAGUAGGCAAGGUCGAUUACUAUGGCAAUAUGCCACGGCCAAAGACUAUUUAUCAGGGCUACUGACCCUUGGCCAUGGGUUACGACUGUGCUAAACCGGUUUAAAUUUAAUGCCCAAGUUACAGAAAUUCUUCUCAGAAUCAGCAGAAGUACAGAGAGAAUCUAAGUUAGACGGGCCGAGCAUGAACAUAACCAGCAGCAGCUUGUGAUUAUAGCAGUAAUUUAUAUUAACUACUUAGAAAACAAAGCCUGACUUCUUUCAAUCAUUUCAUCAAACACUUUCUUUGCAAAACCCAUUUUCCCCAAUGUCCCAUAAUACUAAUGCAGUGAAUUAAAUCCACACUUCAACAUGGGCGUGCACUUCGGUUCCUUCAAAUACAGAAAAACUCAAGCCACAACACCAACAUUUCGCAAGAGUAUUUCACUAUUUUUCUCGUGUGAAGCAACUUGCAAUUAGCCAAUCACAUACAAGAUGAUUCAGUUACAACUCACUUGGCACCAUAUUCAGUCUGAACACAAAUGAAUGUGGAACAGAGAACAAGAAACGAAGCUUUUUAAAUUUUGGUCUUACAAAACAGCGAAAGCAGAAGAAGAUGAUUCAGUAUUUCAGUUAUCUCAAAUAGUGGUAGGACUGUAGGAGCAGUGAAGCUCGUGGCUGUGUGCGUUUUCGUAGUAGGGUGAACCGGUGAUGUCGUGAAGAUAACUAGCUGGAGGCAAUAAAGCGUCAGGCGUGGAGCUGUGGUUGCCGGCUGCGUGAGUUCGUGGUCUGUGUCUGUGAGUGUGAUUUCACUGAUUUGUGAAGUAAAGAGUAGGGUUUACGUCUCAUGACUCAUAUACUCAAUUUUAUUAUUCUAUAUUUCUAUAAUUUCUAUUAGUAUAAUAGUAUAAUACUAUGGGUUAUGGUAACUGGGCUGUGGGCAGUUGGGCUGGACGACUGGGUAUACUAAAUGUAUUGGGCAGAAUUUUAUUUUGGGCAGGAUAAAAAUAGUGGAAAGUCCAAUAACCAAUUGCUCAAUUAUUAUUAUUAUUUUUUUUUUUACGGGUAAUCGGUUCGAUUUCGGGACAAGGGCGCAAAUACCAUACCCGCCCCGCCCCAUAGCGGUUCAGCAAUAUCAAAUACCAUACAUGCUCUAUUGCACCAUCAGUUCGGUUUUUUUCGCCCCAUUCGGUUCGGUUAACCACGGUUUUCGGUUUUGACAGUUCGAAUUGCCAUCCCUAGCCUUUGUCCUUGUGACAAGGUCAAUGAGGCCUGCACCUCAAGCCUAAAAUCGGAGGAGGCCUCAGUUUUCCCCCUUUUUUAAAUAUUAAAUGAAGUAAAAGGAAAAUCCAUUUUUCAUUCCUUUUCCCUCCGACUCCGUUGUUUGCUCUACGGCCUCAAGCCUCCAACUCCAAUUGGACUGGUGGUGACCAUGCGACGGCCUCAUUUCCUUAUGCGGCUUCUUUUCUUCUUCUUUCGUUCCUUUCAUACUUUCACAAAUUACAAAAAACAACUAAACAAACCACAAAACAACUAAACAAAUCGACCCUUUUUUCAACCCAAACCACUCGAGUCGCCACCUCUAGGCUCCAGCCAGCAAUUGACUGCCAUGUAUGGAGCCACCAAGAGGGGGCUCGACCGGACGCUAGAGGCCCAACAAUGUAGUCUGUGCUCUACACCUGUGCGUGCAGAUGCAAUGUGGACGGACUUGUGCAAAAUCACAAAUUGAAUUUGUGAAAUUGUGAGUUGUACAAUUUGCAAAUUGAAUUUGUAAUCCGUUUUUUCCAAAAUUGUGAAUUGUACAAUUUCCUAUGGAUAUGAUCUUUUCUAUGGUUCGGUUUUUACAAUCUGAUUUUUGAAAAUAGUUAAAUUGGAUUUUUGAUUUUUGAUUUUGUAAGAUUUUUGAUGAAAUUGGAAUUUACAAUAGGAUUUUGAAUUUACGAUGAAUAGAUCAAUGUAAUAGAAUUGUAUAUUUGUAUUAGUGUUUGAUGUUAAAUUUUUAUUUUAGGCUGGUGAAUUGUGACAGUGGAAUUCUCAAGGGUAUGAUUUCAUAAUUUUCGUCUAAAUUCUACUUUUUAGUGAAGCAAUGACUUGCCUUAACUUGUUAUUGAAUAUAUUAAAAUUGUUUGAAUCCUUCUCGGCUUAUAUAAUUGCAGCUUGAUCGGUUUUUAUGAUUGGAUAUUGUAAGAUCAACAAUUGCACAGGCUUGUAGUAACUAUAUUAAAAAUUUUAAUUGUGAGAUGAUUGAGAUAUUUUGUAAUUGUUUUUUAAGUUAAUCAUUGAGCAUUAGAUAUAGAAUCAUACGCCAUACUUCCUCAAUAUAAGUCUGGUGCUCAAAAGAGAAAAAAAGGUAAUGAAAUGAAAUUGCAUUAACUCAAAGUCAAGCAGGGGAUAUUGACAAGUACUUUAAAAUAACAAUAUGAAUGUGUUGAAUAAGGAUGAAGUAGAAAUUCAACCUGCUCGUGUUAAUGAAAUAGAUGAUAAGAAUGAAGAAGUGAGUCGACUUGCCUAUGUUAAUAAAGUAGAUAAUAAGGAAGAAGUGAUGAAACCUAUCUGUGAUAAUGAAGUAAAUGAUAAGAAAGACGAGGGUUUCUUUUCUUUAGAUUGAAUGAUCCUAGGAAUUGUAAAAUCAUUGAUCAAAGAAUGAGGGAUUAUUUAGUUGAAAUGAGCCCAAAAAGAGUUGAUUCGUCUCAUUUCCCAAAGUUUUUACAAAUAGAUAUUUCAAUUCUUCAUAAGGUUGUACUUACAGAAAAACGUAUAAUUCCAAGAAAAAUGCAAUUUGAGAAAAGUGGGAGUGAUGAGGUAAAGCAAUCAGCAGAAGAAUCUUGUAGAAUAGAAUACUUUGCUUUUAUAAUUGAUCAAGCUCUAUCUUUUCUAUGGACUCGAUUUGAAUAAUUCAAACAAUAUGAGUCAGCAUUUAGAUUUUUGUUUAAUUUGAAGAGGUUAUAGGAUGCAACUUAUUCAAAUAUGUUGAGCUCUUGUAUGAUUUUUGAGAAAUAUCUGGAACAUAAUGGGCGUUCAAAUAUUGGUCGAGAUGAUUUAUGUCCGGAGAUGAUUUAACUAAUUGUUUGAAACAUUAUUGGUUUUGUUAUUUUAUAAUAUAAAUCUUUUGUAUAAUGUAUUUGUUUGUUAUUUUAAUGUUAAGUUUUAAGUUAGCAAUAUGUUGCAAAAUAUAUCGUUGAAUUUUAUAUUUACGUUGAUUUUGGGGGACCUAAUUUAUGGAGUUCGCCUUGAACCCCAACAAUCAUAGGACUGGCCCUGCUAUCAACAACACGAAAAUUGAAUUCUUAAAACAACUUUCCUGUACUUUUGUCUUUUUUUCAUUUUCUGAUGUGUCUUUAUAAAAGAACUUCCUCUUCUUUUGCAUACGCAUGAUCACCACCAAUGAUAAUAUGUCAACCGCCUCUCAAUUUCUUGGUGGUCCCAAAGGAGGUGGACCCUUCGUUUACCCGACUGGCCGACUCCAUCUAGAAAAUGAAGAGAUCGGUAGCCCUGUAAUUCCAUGGAAUUGCUUGCGUAUAUAUUUUAAAGAAACUCGUGUACAAGUUUUAGAGAUAGAAUGAAAAGAUAUGUCUAGAAUGAAAAGAUAUGUCCCCUUGACAACUUAGACAUACAUAUAUUCUAUUUAGUGCUUGUUUCAUAAAGGUUUGCCCAAAUUUUAUCAACUUUUAUUUAUGUUCAAUUUCAAUUUUAAUAUAUUUCACGAGAUCCACAACUUUGAUAAACUUCAUAAACACACUUUUCAAGUUUUAUCCAACAUGGGACUCUUUAAUUAGUCAACACAUCAUUUCUCUUCAUUUUCCUCGAGUUCUUUCGUCUCGGCAACUUCAAUUAAAAUUGAGUCUUGAUUUUACACAAUUUUUUUUUUUACAUUAUAAGAUGAUCAAAUUUUAUUUUUAAUUACAUAAUUCAUUGGAGUCAUUUUUAUCCAAACUUUUGAUCAACUUUUCUCAAAAUUGGCUAAAACUUGAAAAGUGUGUUUAUAAAGUUGAUAAAAUUUGAGCAAAUCUUUACGAAACAAACACUAAAUAGAAUAUAUGUAUGUCUUAAGUUGUCAAGGGGACAUAUCUUUUCAUUCUGUCUCCUAAAUUUGUGCACGAGUUUAUUUAAAUUAUAUACGCAAGCAAUUUUCAAGAAAUUUCAGGGCUACCGAUCUUUCACAUUAAAUUGUCUUCGGACAAAUAUUCAUCUCUCGUCUAUAUAUACCGAAACAUUUAGCUUUUCAUUUAAACUAUCUAUUUCUUUCUCAAACACUGAGAGUGACGAAGGAGUUGAUAAUCCCCCAUAGGUAUGGAGCAGAAUGGGAUGGAUGAGUUUAUCAGUUUUGACUACCCCAACACUACAUUUUCUGAGAGUAGCAGCAAAUUCAAAACAUACCCUUUUGUUACUCCGGUUCGAUCAGGAGCCGUCAAACGCAGAAUCUGUACAGGCAUCUUCUGCAAAUUAAUAAGUUUCUUGAAAAUCACGUUUCCCUGCAUGUUUUCGGGAUCAUGAAAACAUGCAUGCAUAUCAGCAAGCAUAUGAAAUAAUAAUCUAUUUCUUUGAUUUUCUGCAAGUAAUUGAUCAGUUCAGUUUCGAUAUGGUUACUUCUUGUUGGAGGCUUUGUUUUUGUUGAUAUUUUGCAUGUAGUCCGCUGGCAGUUUCAGUUUUUAAAAUGUAAAUACUUCUUUCUCUCUUUUUUCUUUCUUUGGGCAUACUACCAUCUACUAGUUUGAUUCUUUCUUCAAUUUUCAGAUAUAGAAAUUUGUCACUGCACUAGGCUAAGCUAAGCCAGCUUGGUCCUCAGACACACGAGCUGCUAGGGUAGAGUUGAACUCGAUUCGUGUGCACAAUCAAGACUUGGUUUGGCCCUUUCGCCGAUCGUGGGUCUCAUAGGCCGAGUUGAGCCAUCCACGAACCAUGACCCAUCAAAUGGAGAACAAGAAACGAAUAUCGUAAAUGUUUAUCGAAAGGUCAAAACUCAACUGGUUAUCACUAAAAUUAUGUAUUUGUUUACAAGUAAUGAUUUUGUUGAUGUAUCUAAAGAUGAAGCCUUAUGUGUAAAUGAUACUGAUAAAUGCCAAAAAAAAAAAAAAAAAAAAAAAAAAAAAAAAAUUGAUGAAAAGAAAAUCAACCAAAAUUGAAUAAAUUGUCUAAGCACCGGGUUUAAUUUGAGGAGGUGAAACGUGGAAAUAAAUUCACUAGAAACAAAAAUGCAUGUUGAUGAAGCUUUUCUUUAUCUUAGAACAUUUCUAAUGCAACAACGAAUUACUCAUAAAUUUUACAGCAUAAGCAAAAAAUAAGUAGUUUUUAAAAACAAUCUCUAAGAAGAAAAAAUUGUCUUCAUCGAUGUACGGGUACAGUUAGACAUGCUUCUCAGCAACUUAAUUAAUUCUGUUUCUAUUUUUAGAAUAUUAGAUUUUUUUCACUUCCUCUUUAUUUUAUUACCUUUUUCUUAAUUUAAUGAAAGACAUGUAGACGAAAAUUUAGAUGGAACACAUUGGAUACAAAUUUUAGACUUGAUCGCCUAUUCAUUAGACUCCAAUGCUGCGUUGGUUGAAAACUCGCCUAUUUAAAUGUCACAUAAAUUGCAAUCUUGAGAAUGCAUCAUCAUUUUGUGUUAAUUAGCACUUUCGAAAAGAGUUUGUAUGAUUCAUAUAUCAAAUACUAAAAUAUUAUCUAAUAAACUUGAUCUUAAUAGUCACCAUGUUAAUGUAGGAUGUCAACGAGUCGAGUCAAGUCGCGAGUUGAAACUUGAUGCUCGAGCUCGGUUCGGUUAAAAUUGUCUAGCUUUUUUUCAAGCCCGAGUCGGGCCAAGCAAAAGCUCGCUCAAAAUUUUUCGGCUUGGGCCAGCCCCUUUUUCUCUCUUUCUAUUUUUUUAUUUUUUAUUUAAACUGCUGCCUUUUUUAAGGUAGUGUUUGCUGCCUUGAAAUUUUACUGCCGCAAGGUCGUGUUUCUUUUUUUCUUUUUUUUUAAGUAAAAGGCUCGCAGGCUCAUGGGCUGGCUCGAGCAAAGCCCGUGUCCCAAAAUUUGGGCUCGGCCCGAGCCGAGCCAGCUAGGGCUUUUUGUGGGCUGAGCGACGGGCGACCCGAACCGACGAACUCGAUUGACAUCCCUAUGUUAAUAACAAGAAACUGUACAUUAAUGUCUUCAUAGGAUAGAAUUAUAAAGAACAGUUAUCACUUUGCAUCUUUACUUUUUGACUUGAUGAUAGAGGGAGUUCACGAAAGAACCCAAAGACGUUCGUAUCUAAUAUUCUCAUGUAUAUUUGUUGAUACAUAAAAAUUCAGCCUAAAUCGAACAGCCCAAGGAGUAAAGCUCAAUUGGAGGAUCCCCAAAUCAGAUAGCCCAAAGAACGAAAUCCAAUCAAACGAAUCAAGGUGAAGGCCCAAAUAAGGGGGCCCAAGAAUGUGGUAACGCCAUCGCCCAAAUUUGCAAGUCGCUCAGAAUCUGAACGAAUAGGGUGUCAUACGGUCGCCCAGAGCUGUUAUUCUAUUCUCGUCCAAACCUUCAAGUCGCCCAAGGUAUCAACAGACAUAACGCGUCGUGGUUAUUAAGAAAUGCAGUUACCAAGGCAGUUGUUAAAGCAGCCCUAUCACGUUCUACGACUCAAGGAAUUCAAUCAAAAAGCGGUUGAACGAUGAAAGGUAAUGGCAGCAGUUAAAAGGCAGUUUUCAUGACAAAAUGGCCACUACGAAGAAAGUGGGUAGUUAUAGGAUGAUCAAGCAGUUUUUAGAGCAGUUAAUCACAAAGAGAUAGUCUGUGAAGUAUAAAAGGGAAAAAGAACAUAGAAGCAAGGACCGAAUCCAAAACUCUCGAACAGAGAAUACGUAAUUUUCAUUUCCUUAGUUUUUAGACUUAAACACUUUUCUUUUAGUAACUCGUGUGCUUGCGCCCCUUGGAGGCACGUUGUUUUUCAUUUCCAAUUGUAAAGUUCAUCGCCAAUAAAAAAACACCCCUUUUUGGGACUUUGUCUCAAGAGGUUUUCGUCCCUUACACAAUCGUCUGAUCCUUUUUAAUUGUUAGCGACUUAACCCGCGCGAAACAAUUUGGCACGCCCAGUGGGACAGUGGUGUUAGGUGUUGAAAGUACAAAAGGUGAAACAAUAUGCCUCAGAGAUCCGACAAGGAAGGAGCAAGUCAGGGAGGAAUCCAGUCUGUAAUCGAGCGAUAUGAGAAGCAGCAUGCCUCUCCACGAACAGAUGGACAAAAUCAGAGCAGUAACAGUCGUUACGAACCAAUGACGGAGUUGAGUCCUCGAACCAUGCGUGCAUUGCUUGGAGAACUCACGCAAGACGUCGUUGAACAGGAUGCCAUUGAAUCAGGACGAAUUACGUUCGAUGAUAAGAAAAAGAUGGCAGUGGACGAGAAUCCAUUCCCACAGCCACUUGGGGUAAACAUGGUAACGUCUGGAUUCAAGAACAAGUUGCCAAAAUUCAAGUUGGUCAUAGACGAUAGAGAAGAGGAUACUAAAACACAUCCCAGUGUCUUCGAACGAAUCAAAGGGAAAGAACCAAAAAAGGACGAAAACGUCCUGUGUGCAAGGUGUAAAAGGGAAGUAAAUGGAAACACGGAGAAACCAGGGACAUGGCAGCAUCCUCAUCGCCCUGUUUUCUUCCCAAAUAUUCAGCCUGGUAGAGGGCAAGGUACAUCAUUCUAUAGAGGACCGCCUUUUGAAAGGCAGUUCAGACCAGCGGAUACUGGAAGAACAUUUAGGCCGCAACCUCGCCGGCCAAAUGUAUGGCAUUCAUUCCAGUAUAGUGCAGGAAGGGCAAUACCCUUCGAUGAGAUGACUAAGACCCAACAAAGGCAUUUCCACCGAAACUACGGACAGAUGAUGAGGCAGCAACAAGGAAUGCCAUAUCCUAAAGCGCCUCUACUACUCAAGGUAGCCAAUCAAAACGUCCUCAAAGGUAGUAAAGAGACUGGUACAGAUGAAUCAAUGAAGGAACUGCCAGAAACCUCUUCUGGGAGAUCAAGGUUUGAGAGGGACAAAAGGGAUGAAGAAGAUCCAGAUCAGCCCCUUGCUAUCCAAUUCGGUACGUUGCCUCCUGUCGUGGCCAAUAAUUACCUACUGACCAAUGAAUUCAAGAAUAAGGAAAAGGAAGAAGAGAGGGAGGACAACGAAGGAGAAGCCUGCGUGCUGGUAUGUGAAGAAGGCCAGACUUCUGGAGAGGCCUACAACGAUGAAGAGGACGAUGGGAUGACAGAUAUUGAAGAAGAAAUCGACCUAGAAGCAGAAAGGAAAAAGAGGGGAGUAUCGCGCAAUACUCUGUUUAAGCAACUACAUCAAGAGGGAGUUCGCGAAGUAGACUUGUUGGGGGAGCCAUCUGGGCGUCCUUUCGAUUUCUACGUACUAUACGGGACACCCAAAAGGAAGAAGAGAGUACCUCGCUCUGAAAAGUAUGGGUCACCUCCAAGGAUAAUGCCCCCUCCCACAGGUUGGAUAACUGAUGAGGAAGCAUUAGAAAAAAGUAAGAAGGAAGUUCAAGAAACAGAAGAUCAGCGUGACAUACUGCAUGUCGACUUAUCACAAGGAGAUAAUUCGACAGAAAACAAGCAAGAGGUAGAAAUAGAGGCUACCGAAAAGGUUAUUUUUAAAUGGCCAGCCAUGAAAUUAACAAAACACCUGAGGCCAUUAUACGUUAAAGCUCUAGUUAACGGCGUCCCAGUGGCAAAAGUGCUUGUCGACAAUGGAGCAGCUAUAAACACCAUUUCAUCUAGGAUGAUGAGGAAGUUCGCAAAGACGGAGGGUGAUAUGAUUCCUACAGAAGUCAUCCUCACUAGCUUCAAUGGAGGAGCAACUUCAGCUAAGGGAGUUAUGCCAUUAGACAUAACUAUAGGUACGACUACUAGGACCACUGUCUUCUUUGUAAUAGAUGGUCCUACUAGUUACAACGUGCUCCUAGGAAGAGAUUGGAUACAUGGAAGUCACUGUAUACCCUCGUCGCUCCAUUAAUGCCUGAUCUUUUGGAAUGACAAAGGUGAAGCAGAGGUGGUACAGGCCGACCAUAGGCCUUUUGUCGCGGAAGCAAACUCGGUGGAAAAAUUCAUGUACGAAGGAAACUAUGGACCUGUCAGAGUGGUACAAGACAGGGAAGAAACUCAGGUUGUCGCGCAAAGCGAAGAACCAUUCUCAGUGGACGCACUCACUGAGAUGUUCAAGCAGAUGAGGCCAAAUAUAGUGGCCCUGGAAGAGCCAGUGAUUGGCAAAAGAAUAAUCAAGGAAUCUUGAAUGGAUUCUGAGUUACAAAAGCAAAUGGCCGAUAUUCAGGCCUUCAAAGCCAGACUGAUGGCUUUCAAUAAGGAAUGCAAUGACAAAGUGAAGGAAGAGACUGCCCUAAAAGCGCUGAAGGACAAGUUGGCAGUAUUCGAGUUAGAGCAAAGUAUUGGCCGAGAAGUCAACAAGGUGGACUGUUUAGAAGAGGAAGUACUUGCAAAAGAACUGGACGACGAAGUGAUGCGGAUUGCCAAACCUGGAUACGCUCAAGCGCAAGACCCUCUGAUCAAAGUAAAUAUUGGCGAUGAAGGAGAAGAUCACCCAACGUUCAUCAGCUAGAUGCUCGACCAAAAUGUUAGUAACAAAUUAAUCGCUUUGUUAAAAGAGUACAAAGAUUGUUUUGCUUGUGAAUAUGAACAAAUGUCUGGUUUAGAUAGAGACUUAGUGGAACAUAGAUUACCAACUAAGCCUAAUUUUAAACCUCAUAGGCAACCUCCUAGGCGUUUUGCUCCUAAUGUACUCCCUGAAAUUAAGAAAGAGAUAGAGCGAUUAUUGAAAGUAGGUUUUAUAAGAACAGCCAGAUAUGUUGAAUGGUUGUCGAAUAUUGUGCCAGUACUAAAAAAGAAUGGUAAACUAAGGGUGUGUAUAGACUUUAGAAAUUUAAACAUAGUUACACCCAAAGAUGAGUAUCCAAUGCCCACGGUGGAUUCUUUAGUAGAUUCAACUGCCGGACAUGUCAUGUAUUCUUUCAUGGAUGGAUAUUCAGGAUACAAUCAAAUCUAUAUAGUUGAAGAAGACAUACACAAAACUGCCUUUAGAUGCCCUGGAUCUCUAGGAUGUUUUGAAUGGGUGGUUAUGCCUUUCGGCCUAAAAAAUGCAGGGGCAACUUAUCAAAGGGCUAUGAACUUAAUCUUUCAUGACAUGAUAGGCAAGUUUGUUGAGGUGUAUGUGGAUGACGUAGUGAUCAAGUCCAUUAAAGAAGAUGACUAUUUCGAACAGUUAAGAUGUUCAUUUGAACGAAUGAGGCAAUAUAAGCUAAAGUUGAAUUCCUUGAAGUGUGCAUUUGGUGUUAAUGCAGGGAACUUUCUUGGUUUCUUAGUACACAAGAGAGGGAUUAAACUUGAUAAAAAUAAAGCGAAGGCUAUCUUAGAAGCCAAACCACCUAGCAACAAAAAGGAGUUGCAAAGGUUUCUAGGCCAAGUAAAUUUUCUAAGACGCUUUAUUUCUAACUGUGCAGGGUGAACUAAAAUCUUUUCGCCGCUAUUAAAGCUGAAAAAUCAGGACGAAUUCGUCUGGAAAGAAGAACAUCAAAAGGCUUUUGAAAGCCUGAAGACAUAUCUAUCAAGUCCACCAGUGUUGGUGUCACCAAUCCAAGGACGGCCGAUGAAAGUGUAUGUGUCGACUGAAAAAGAAUCAAUAGCUGGAAUGGUCGCGCAGGAAGACCAAGUUGGUGAAGAAAGGGUAAUUUACUAUUUAAGUAGACGGUUAACGAAAUGUGAAUGCAAUUACUCUGCUGUUGAAAAAUUAUGUCUUGUAUUGUAUUUCACAUGUACAAAACUAAGGCCUUACUUACGGCUCGUGACCGUUUAUUUAAUUUCUAAGGUAAAUUUAGUUAAGUAUAUGUUUUCGCGCCCUAUUUUACACCAAAGGGUAGGCCUUUGGACACUAGCUUUAUCAGAAUUCGAAAUACAAUAUAUACCUCAAAAGGCAGUCAAAAAUCAGGCUUUGGCUAACUUUUUAGCUGAUCAUCCAUGCCUUGACAUGCCUGAAGAAAUCGAAUUAGAAAUCAAUUCGUUCGAAUUAAAACCUUGGGUGUUGUAUUUCGAUGGGUCAAAGACCUCUAAAGGUGCAGGAGUAGGAGUAGCGUUGAUUAAUCCUUUAGGGAUUUGCUACAAGUUUGCAUUCACCUUAGACAGAAUGUGCACCAACAAUCAGGCCGAAUAUGAAGCCUUAAUUGUAGGCCUAGAACUAAUGAUAGAUAUGAGAAUAAGAAAUGUGAUCGUUAGGGGCGAUUCUCAAUUGGUGAUCCAUCAAUUGAUCGGUGAUUUUAAAUGCCAAAGUGAUUCCAUUAUGAGUCAAUAUGAGAUCGCCCAAGAAUUAAUAGAAGAAUUCGAUCAAGUAGAACUCCAAUGCGUUAAUAGAAUAUAUAACGACAUGGCAAAUGAGUUAGCCCAAAUGGCAUCAGGAUACUCAAAGGUUUUGAAUUGGACGUCUACUUGUGAAUAUUGAAUCAUACUGCCCGUGAUUCAAAGAAGGGCGAGAAAAAUUGAACUUCAGUGUAUACAAGAUGGAGAUGCAGUGGAUUGGAGAACAGAGAUUAAAGGGUUCCUUCAAGAACCUGAUGGAGGGAUUAGCAGGAAGACAAAGCUAUGUUUGCUGAAUUACACACUAAUAGAUGAAGAGUUGUUUAAGAAACGCUCUGAUGGUGUAUUACUAAAGUGUGUAAGUUUGCAAGAAGCCAAGACGAUCAUGACUGAAGUGCACGAAGGGAUAUGUGGAGCUCAUCAAGCUGGCCAUAGGAUGAGAUGGUUAAUUAUUAGGAGUGGAUAUUUUUGGUCAAAGAUGGGAGAACUAUGCGUUCAGUAUGCAAAAAGUUGUUUAGCAUGCCAAAAACAUGGUCCAAUACAAAGGGCGCCAACACGAGAGAUGGCACCUAUUAUUAAACCUUGGCCGUUCAAAGGUUGGGCGAUAGAUCUAAUAGGGAAGAUCCACCCUCCAUCGUCCAAGCAACAUACUUUUGUUAUAGUUGCAACUGACUAUUUCACCAAAUGGGUGGAGGCGGUACCUUUGAAAGAGAUCACCCAGAAGAAUGUUAUAGAGUUUAUUCGUGAUCACAUUAUUUAUAGGUUUGGAAUUCUACAAACUUUAAUGGUAGAUCACGGAACAUAUUUGAAUGGGGAUCAAGUGUACAAAUUUUUGAGCGAGUUUGGGGUUAAAUUAGUAAACUCCACACCGUACUACGCUCAAUCCAACGGACAAGCGGAAUCUUCUAAUAAGAUUCUGAAAAAUAUCAUCAGAAAGAUGAUAGAUGAGAACGCCAGAAAUUGGCACGAAUGUUUGAACAAGGCCUUGUGGGCUUAUAGAACAUCACCUCGGUCAAGUACCAAAAUUACUCCUUUCCAACUUGUUUAUGGACAGGAGGCCGUUUUGCCUAUGGAAAUCAACGUGCAAUCUAUUCGAGUGUGCUUGCAACAUAAGUUGAAUGAUGAUGAGUAUGCCGAAUCACUAGUUCAAAAUUUGUUGAGUUUAGACGAAUUGAAGUUGGACGUCUUAGAUAGGUUGCAAGUUCAAAAGCAAAGAAUGACUAAAUUUUAUAAUAAAAAAGUCAUAGCCAAGUCGUUCUGCCUGGGCGAACUAGUUUGGAAGACGAUACUCCCUUUGGAUACCAAGGAUCCAAAGUACGGGAAGUGGUCGCCCAAUUGGGAAGGACCAUACAAAAUAAACAGUGUGUUGCCUAAUGGAGCGUACCACUUGGAAGAUUUAGAUGGCACCAAGCACGUAAGAUUUAUUAACGGCAAAUAUUUGAAAAAAAUAUGUUCCUUCUUUAUGGGAAUGUGAACAGAUAAAAACAUAACCAAACAUUCUGGACGAUCAAAAGAUAAUAAAGACAGAGCGAAAUACGUUCGAAUAAAGUUCUUUAUUAUCAAACGUUCAUUACAAGAAUACAAAAGAUACAAAUAAUGGAUGUGUUACAAAAUACAACUAAAGUAAGAUGAUCUCCCAACUGAUCGCUGAGUAAGCUUCACACCGCCUUCCUAAAUGCAUCGCUGCAAAGGUGGGGUUGACGAGUGAGAGGGUGUACUGGCCUCACAACCUUCCUAAAUGCAUCGCUGCAAUGGCGAGGCUGAGAAACACUCUCAGCAGGCAAGCUGAGCCUACAAGCAGCCCAAAAAUUGCCUCCCAUCAUUGACUCCUUGUGAAGAACGAAGAGACGAUGGGAAGAAUUUUGCAGGAAAGAACUUCGCUGCUGGCCAGAAAAUAUUUCCUAUACCUCCCAUACCAGAGGUGACAUCAAGGUAAAUAUAAGGCGGACGGACUAAACAGUCCAUUUUUGGAUCAGGUUGCUCGUCAGAAUGCCAAGAUAUGGCAGCAAAUUGGUUUCGAAGAAGAAAAUGAAGAGAUGAAGAUAGAGGAUGAAAAAUGUGAAGCAUUUAUAGGGGGUGAAGAUGAAGAGAUAGAAUAUGAACAGCCACAUUUCUGUCUAAUAAACGGAAUUAAAUAGCCCUAAGUCUUGGGAACAGUAGUGGGAAUAUCAAAAGGGAAUGGACAAGAUUCUUAGUGCAAAGCAGUUAAGUGCUUAAAGAAUUGAUGACUAAAAAAUAAACGUCAAAUAAAUGCACAAAAAGUUAAUGUUUAUUAAUAAUGAACAAAGUUACAAAGAGAAAAAUUGAAUUACAAAAGAAAAAAGACAUCGUAUGUCUUAAUUACAGUCUAUCCCAUAAGGAACGAAUUCGUUCCCUAAGUUUUUCCCAAUCCUUGUUCUGUCGAGAGGAAGUGAUGUUCAAUUCAGCCGCGACGUCAUCAUCAUCAACCUCCACCUUCUUGUACUGCUCGACCAAGGACUUAGUUCGCUCAAUUCCCUGGGAGGUGUUGCGCUUUUUAGCAGCCAUCCUCGCCCUGCAGUCAUCCAUUUUAGCUUGAAGUUUCCUCAUCUGAGCAGCCAAGUUAACCAUCAAAGAGUCUUCAAUCAUGACUUCGGAGGAUAUUUCUUUCAAUUCGUCCUCAGCCUUGUUAAUCUCCAUACGCAAAGACUCUUUCUCAGCUACGGCUCAAAGAUAUUGAGUACGCUUGGUCUUUAAUUCAGUAUUCUUGGCCAGCAUAGAAAGGACCUCGGAGUGGAUAACCUUCAACGUCGCUUUAAAAUCGGCAGAAAGAUUGAGCGACGGAAGUGUCAAUGCUUGCUCCAACUUUGCACUCAAAUGCUCAAGUUCAUCCUUAUGCCUGGCAGCACUGGCCCUUCCAAUAUCCAUAUCCAUGAAGGAUACGUACUCAAAUAUAAAUUCCUUCAGGAACUUCAAGUCUUCCUCUGAAGAAGCAGCAGGAUGAUCGGAUGGAGCAGGGCGAAACGUCUGAAUUUGCCCCCAGGAAGCGAACAAGUCUUGGAUAGAACGCACAAUCCUGUCAGCAUCCUGCAAAGAAGACUGCCAAUAUUGAAAAUCCUUACUACAACGAACAAGGUGGAAAUAGAAAUGAAGCAAAAAGAAAAACUACCUUGUCGACAAUCGUAGAAGAUGGCGCGCCCUCAGCUAAGCUUGCCACCAGCGACUCAUCCAUUCAUGAGGACUUCCUCUUGUCCGAGCGAGAAGAUGUUGCCACAACGGGCGGACUCAUAGGAGUAUCUGCAAAGCUCAAGAGCAACAAAUCAGAAACCAGUAGCACGAGCAAAGGUAAGGCAUCAAAAAAUUGAAUUACCUUCUGCUUCGAUAUUUGGGGGGUCGACGCCCUGGGAAGAAGGUGGCUCAUCCAUGGGUUGUGAUGAAGACUCUGGGACUGAAGAUGUAUCUUUAAGCAUGGUCCCCUCAUCAACCGGUUUGGAUGAAAUAGCCUCAGCAGAGGAUGAUGGAGCAGGAGUUGUCGAUGCCAAAGCCUUUGAAGGAGAUGCUGAGCUUUUCUGAAAAGUCCAAAAGAUCAUCAGUACACAGAAAAGUUUCAAAUGUGGAAAAACAUACUUGUAAAUAGACCAAUUUAAUUACCUUCCUCCUGACUAUAAGAGGAGCAUCAUCAUCAUCAUCAUCAACAUCAUCCUCCAGAAUGGGAGAUGCUGAGGCUGGCCGUUUGCGGCUUGGAGCACUCUUGGCCGUAGUAGGCCUGGCAGGGAGAGAAGAAGAUGGACGAGCAGAUUGUUUAGUGCGACGAGAAGGAGAGGGGCUCCGAAUAGACAAAGGAGUGACCAAAACAGGAGGAGGAGAAGAAAUACUCGGUUGGUCUAAUGAAUGAAAGGCACGAUUGGCCUCAGUCGCAAAUAAUCUGAGCUUCACCGAUGGCCAGAGUUGUUCAAAAAGAGGGUGAGUGGCAUGACAAGAAUUAAAAGAGGCUAAUGAAAAGUGGCUUGAUAAAUGGAGGUUGCGAGCGUUUAUAGCCUCUGCUUCCGCCUUAUUAAUGGUAUGAAAACGGUCAAUUAAGUUCUUCGAAUAGCAAAGAGGAACAGGCCAAGUUUGGCCAAAACCAAGCUGACGAGCAAAAAAUUGGGGAGCAUAAAUUUCUACCCCCGCUUUGGCAUUGGUCCCAGUUAAGAUAUCAUGGAAAAGCUCCCUCCCAGUUAAAAAUUGGAUCCAAAUGAGUAGAGAGGUGCUCGCGCUAUCUAUAGUGGAAGGGGGAUGUACAUAGUUUGGAGUCAAGAAAUGAGGGAAAGGAAAAAAGGAAGAGAUUGAAUCUAAAGAAUAAAAGAAUGAAAAAAUGUCCCUUCUGGACAUAUUUACAGGAGUUAAGGACUCCAUAANNNNNNNNNNNNNNNNNNNNNNNNNNNNNNNNNNNNNNNNNNNNNNNNNNNNNNNNNNNNNNNNNNNNNNNNNNNNNNNNNNNNNNNNNNNNNNNNNNNNNNNNNNNNNNNNNNNNNNNNNNNNNNNNNNNNNNNNNNNNNNNNNNNNNNNNNNNNNNNNNNNNNNNNNNNNNNNNNNNNNNNNNNNNNNNNNNNNNNNNNNNNNNNNNNNNNNNNNNNNNNNNNNNNNNNNNNNNNNNNNNNNNNNNNNNNNNNNNNNNNNNNNNNNNNNNNNNNNNNNNNNNNNNNNNNNNNNNNNNNNNNNNNNNNNNNNNNNNNNNNNNNNNNNNNNNNNNNNNNNNNNNNNNNNNNNNNNNNNNNNNNNNNNNNNNNNNNNNNNNNNNNNNNNNNNNNNNNNNNNNNNNNNNNNNNNNNNNNNNNNNNNNNNNNNNNNNNNNNNNNNNNNNNNNNNNNNNNNNNNNNNNNNNNNNNNNNNNNNNNNNNNNNNNNNNNNNNNNNNNNNNNNNNNNNNNGCGAAUACCUCUUUCGCGAAGUGGCCCCAGCGGUAGAGAGUUCAGGAAUGGAGGACCCUGAGUGCAGGGAAACAGCUGACCCACCUCCGCCUGUUCAACUACCUCCGCAUUGUUGAAGAAAGGACCCAAAUAGAACACAUUACGUCCAACGUCGACGGGUGCGAGAAAACUUGGGGUUAUGUAUGGGCGACUCAGAAGUCUCUGAAAGUCAUCAAAACUAAAGGAGUCGCUAGCUUGAGAUUGUGAAGCAGCCAUUGGAGAAGGAACGAAGCUUUCAGGGUUACGUAACAAGGAAGCAAAAGAUGAACAGUGAAUCAUGAAAGAGACGCAAAAAAUCUGAGGCGUGGUUUGGUAGCAGUGAAAUGGCGUGUUUGGGGUUUAUAAGGGUUUGCAAAACGACGCACCUUUUCAAGUUAUAGAAGGAAACAAUGAUUGAAAUUCUUGAAAAUUUCGAACGUUGCUGGAAACACGAAGUGAAUAUGGCAAAAUUCAAUAAUUGUUAUUAAUUCUGCCAUAUUGGGGGGUAAUUGUUGAUACAUAAAAAUUCAGCCCAAAUCGAACAGCCCAAGGAGUAAAGCCUAAUUGGAGGAUCCCCAAAUCAGAUAACCCAAAGAACGAAGUCCAAUCGAACGAAUCAAGGUGAAGGCCCAAAUAAGGGGGCACAAGAAUGUGGUAACGCCAUCGCCCAAGUUUGCAAGUCGCCCAGAAUCUGAACGAAUAGGGUGUCAUACGGUCGCCCAGAGCUGUUAUUCUAUUCUCGCCCAAACCUUCAAGUCGCCCAAGGUAUCAACAGACAUAACGCGUCGUGGUUAUCAAGAAAUGCAGUUACCAAGGCAGUUGUUAAAGCAGCCCUAUCACGUUCCACGACUCAAGGAAUUCAAUCGAAAAGCGGUUGAACGAUGAAAGGUAAUGGCAACAGUUAAAAGACAGUUUUCAUGACAAAAUGGCCACUACGAAGAAAAUGGGUAGUUAUAGGACGAUCAAGCAGUUUUUAGAGCAGUUAAUCAUAAAGAGAUCGUCUCUAAAGUAUAAAAGGGAAAAGGAACAUAGAAGCAAGGACCGAAUCCAAAACUCUCGAACAGAGAAUAUGUAAUUUUCAUUUCCUUAAUUUUUAGACUUAAACACUUUUCUUUUAGUAACUCGUGUGCUUGCGCCCCUUGGAGGCACGUUGUUUUUCAUUUCCAAUUGUAAAGUUCAUCGUCAAUAAAAGAACACCCCUUUUUGGGACUUUGUUUCAAGAGAUUUUCGUCCCUUACACAAUCGUCUGAUCCUUUUUAAUUGUUAGCGACUUAACCCGCGCGAAACAAUAUUACGUUGAAAAUUUAAGGCCACCGACAAAUGGAGCUAUGGAACUUUGAUUAGUUAGAUAAAUAUCCUCUAUUUUCAAACAUGGGAUGAAAAACCAUCAAACAUUCACCAAUAAAACAUGUUCAGGUGUCCAAUGCAGUAUUUCUUUGUUAGGUGGGUCCCCUUGUUUUGACUUAUUGUCUAUUGCAAUUUCCAUUUCACAUAUGAUUCUCAUUGACGGGUUGACUUCCCAUUUUCCUAUCGUUUUCUCAGUCAAACCUUUCACAAGAAGAAGUUUUCAGCCAUAAUUGUUAUCUAGAAUUACUAAUACUAAAAAAAAAAAAAAAAAAAAAAAGUUGAACCCCAACCUUGAGGGUCCCCACAGCCCCACCCCUAGAAUUUUGUGAGGGAGGUAAAUCGCGGGAUGUGCUCCAAUAGGCCAGAGAACAAGAGUUGCAUGUACACUGCGCCUACAAGGAGUCAAAUUCCAUGUCUCAGAAAUCGAACUCCCACGCUGCGGUUAAAGAAGUACUAAUACUAAAUGCCAACUUAGAUGAUAUAUUUGUAGAUGUCAUUAAUUAAUAGAUGAACUUAAAAUAGAAAAAAUGUGUCACAUUUAAGACAUCUUGUCACUUACAGUCACAUAAGCUAGCUUUUACACAUAACAUUAUUCCCUUAGAAAUAACAAAUAUACAUAAUUAAAAAUACAUAUGUUAUUAUAAAAUUUUCCAUUAACAACUUAUAUCGUUAAUAUUAAUUUGAUUCGAAAUGCAAAGAGAAGUUUAAUAGAUCAAAUGCAUAUGAGAAGCUUUAUAUUUUCGCCCUUAUGUCUCAAAUAAUGUUUCUGACAAAAUAAUUUUCGGGAACACAUAAAAAACUUAUUUUUCACUUGUAUUUUUAUAUAAUCAAAAUAAAUAACAAAUACAGAAGUUUGACAAAAUAUUUCUCUCUUAUUGCAAUGUGUGUUAGUGGAAUAUUUGGACAAAAAUAAUAGAGAUGAGAUGUCCUAAUUAAUUGAAAGUUAAAGAUAAAAUGCAAGACUUAAGUGCUAAAAUUGUAUAAUUCUUGGGGAUCUUCAUUGAAAUUAAAAUAUGGUGCAGAUAAUAUUUAAAAACUGUGACAUAAAUAUAAUUACUUGUAAUGAAAUACAAUUUACGAUGUGAAGAUAGAAAAAAAAAAAAUUACAACUAUAUCAAUAUAAAUAGUUGAACAUACAAAUAUGUCUUUUAGUGUAGAGUAGUGUUAUUUAACCUCAUUGGUAUUAAAACACCAGUUUAGGAGAAGUUAAGUAUGUUUGGUAGCAAUUUUUCAUCUCAAAAAAUUAAUUAUUUGAUCGUUAUUUCACUAUAUAAGUCGUCAUUUUUUUACUUCCUUCUUUCACAUGUAGGACCUACUUUUCUAUUUAACGGCCAAAAAAUCAAUUAUCAAAAUCACGACCAAACAAACCUAAAUGUCAUUAAAUGAAAGGUAAAAUUAAAUUAAUAACAUAAUUUCACCUUUAAUUAAAUCCAUCACAUGAUAUCACAUAAAUUGGUGUCUAACACUAUCACAUAUAUUGCAAUAAUUAUCACUUUACAUAGCUUUUAAAUUUUAUAACUACUAUUUCAUUCUCAUUCAAACACUCGAAGUGUGUUUGGAUUGUUGUUUUUAGUUUUCAAUUUUUUAAAACAUCGAAACUUUAUUGGUCUAAUAUUUUUGAAAAUAAAUUUUCAAAAAUAAAGUUAAACCUAUAAAAUAUAUCUCAAAACAUUUUCUUGAUGUUUCCAAUGUUUUCAAAAACACAAAAAGUACUCAAGACAAGGGAAAUAAGCAUUUAAAUAAAAUUAUAAAAAAUAUACAAAUUAUUUAAAAACAAUUAUACAAAAUAUAUAAAAUUAUAAAAAAGGUAAAAAAAUUAAAAAAUCUAAAAAAUAUAGUACUUUCAAAAAGAUAAUAAAUAUAUUGUUUAUUUAAAUAAAAAAAUUAUUUAAAUGAAGAUUAAAAAAAUUAACUUCACGUCAUUAAUUUGUUGGAUAUUGGUUAAAUAAAUCGAGAAUUGAAAAUCGAUUAAAGUGACUUCGUAUCGAUUUCGGCCAAAUACUCAAAAGCUCGACUCAAUCCGUUUAGGCAAAAUUGUUCGCCACUUCGCCGUUUCGGGGCGCACAAACGGGGAUCGACCUGCCCGGUCAGGUCGAGGGGACAGCGCCCCCCGUGGGGGCUCGAGGGCAACGCCCCCGAAAGAGAAUUUUGAUUUCUCUGCAUGUAUUGAAGGGUAUAUUUGGCAUUUCGAAAACCAAUAUCGGAUGAAUGAGAAAUUACGAAAAAGGACGAAAAUCAAGUCAAUAUAUUUGACCGUGCGACCGCAUGGUUGGUAAACCGCACGGUUGUCCGGUGAAUAGACACCUUUUCAUAAAGGUGCAUUGUUUGGAAAGGGUGCAUGGUUUGGCCUCAACCAUUUCGUCCACACCCUUUCAUGGUCUAUAAAUAGGACCCUUUGGGUGUCCUAUUCCUCACAAUUUGAUAUGCAAAACAUCUCUCAUCCUCUCUUCUAUCUAAAAUCAAAAUCAUUUCAUUUAUUUUGAUUUUCCUUCAUUUCAUCCUUGGAGUACAUAAGCCUAAAUUUGGUUCGUUGUACUUGUGUUUUGGAGUGCUACAAACACAAGUGUAGCCGUUGUAUCUUUAGAGUCGAUUGCCGAAAUCUGUAGGCACCGUUGCGGGGCAAAUUCGACUUAAGGACAAAGAGUCCAACUCUUGCCUCGGCUUUGUCCUUACUUUCUUCUUCUUCUUGUUUGUGUUUUCUUUAUCGUUACUCUGUCCAAUUUUCGGCACGGAUUUACAAACCAUCAUUAUACUUAUUUUGGCGUCACUAUUCACAAAAUUCCUCCAACAAUCUUAAGUNNNNNNNNNNNNNNNNNNNNNNNNNNNNNNNNNNNNNNNNNNNNNNNNNNNNNNNNNNNNNNNNNNNNNNNNNNNNNNNNNNNNNNNNNNNNNNNNNNNNNNNNNNNNNNNNNNNNNNNNNNNNNNNNNNNNNNNNNNNNNNNNNNNNNNNNNNNNNNNNNNNNNNNNNNNNNNNNNNNNNNNNNNNNNNNNNNNNNNNNNNNNNNNNNNNNNNNNNNNNNNNNNNNNNNNNNNNNNNNNNAUAGGGCAUCUUUGAUUGCUUUGGAUGCAUGGAAAUAUUCGGACUUCUUAUGCAAGAAUUACAUUCUUAAUGGCUUGGACAACGCCUUAUACGGUGUAUAUUCCUACAAGAAAUCUGCAAUGGCACUAUGGGAGUCCUUGGAAAAGAAGUACAAGACCGAAGAUGCCGGAACCAAGAAGUUCAUUGUGGGAAAAUUUUUGGACUACAAAAUGGUAGAUUCGAAGACCGUCAUCAGUCAAGUGCAAGAAUUGCAAGUCAUACUCCAUGACAUUCAUGCGGAAAAUAUGUUCGUGAGCGAAUCAUUUCAAGUGGCUGCAAUUAUCGAGAAACUUCCACCCAUGUGGAGGGACUUCAAAAACUAUCUCAAGCACAAGCGCAAGGAGAUGAACAUUGAAGAAUUUGUGGUCCGAUUGAGGAUUGAAGAAGACAACCGAAGUUCGAAAAAACGAGUUGGGAAUAGCAUACCACAAGCAAAGGCAAAUGUGAUAGAAUGUAGCAACAACAAAGGAAAGAAGAGAAAGCAUUCCGUUGAAUCUACAAAGAAGAAUGCAAAGAAGUUCAAGGGCAAUUGCUACAAUUGUGGAAAGGCUGGACAUCGCUCGGUUGAUUGUCGCAAACCUAAGAAGCAAUCCCAAGCCAACAUUGUCGAAUCUGAUGCCAUAUCAAAUGGCAUGUCCGAUAUGAAUUUAUCGACAGUUGUUUCUGAAUGCAACCUUGUUGGAAAUCCCAUGGAAUGGUGGGUUGAUACGGGUGCAACCCGUCACAUUUGUGCCGAUAGAGGAAUGUUCACAUCAUACACUUCAACUGAGGGAGAAAAAUUGUUUAUGGGGAACUCCUCAACAUCCAAAGUGGAAGGACAAGGCAAAAUGGUCUUGAAGAUGACGUCGGGAAAAGAACUUAGCCUCAAUAAUGUUCUUCACGUACCAGAUAUUCGCAAGAACCUUGUGUCGGGUUCUUUGUUAAGCAAGAAUGACUUUAAACUAGUCUUUGUAUCGGAUAAGUUUGUACUUACCAAAAAUGAUAUGUAUGUAGGCAAAGGCUAUGUAAAAGAUGGACUAUUCAAAAUGAAUGUCCUAACUGUUGUGCCAAAUGCUACAAUCAAUAAAACGUCAUCUUCAGUUUAUAUUCUUGAGUCAUGUAAUCUAUGGCAUCAUAGAUUAGGACAUGCAAACUUAAAUUCAAUAAGAAAUUAAUGAAUUUAAGUUUACUUCCGAAUAUGCAUUUUAAUAAUGGAAAAUGCGAAACAUGUGUAGAGGCAAAAGCGGCCAAAACACCAUUUCAUUCGGUUGAACGAAACACCACACCAUUAGAACUAAUUCACACGGAUGUGUGUGAUUUGAAGUUCGUACAAACAAGGGGUGGUAAAAAGUACUUCAUCACAUUCAUAGAUGAUUGUACAAGGUACUGUUAUGUGUACUUGUUGAAAAGCAAAGAUGAAGCUUUGGAAGUGUUUAAACACUACAAAAAUGAAGUUGAAAAUCAACUUGGAAAAUGAAUUAAAAUGAUUCGUAGUGAUAGAGGUGGAGAAUAUGUUGCACCGUUUGAAGAAUUUUGUGCAGAAUCUGGAAUAAUUCAUCAAACAACGGCACCAUAUUCACCACAAUCUAAUGGAAUUGCUGAAUGCAAAAAUCGAACGUUAAAGGAAAUGAUGAAUGCAAUGUUGAUUAGUUUGGGCUUACCUCAAAACUUGUGGGGGGAAGCCAUACUUUCUGCAAAUCAUAUCCUUAAUAAAAUACCCCACAAAGAUAAGGUUGAAUCACCUUACGAAUUAUGAAAAGGUCGGAAACCUUCCUACAAAUAUCUCAAAGUGUGGGGGUGCUUAGCGAAAGUACAAAUACCCAAACCUAAACAAGUUAGGAUUGGACCAAAGACAAUUGAUUGUGUCUUUAUUGGAUAUGCUAUCAAUAGUAGUGCAUAUCGAUUCUUGGUUCACAAAUCCGAAGUACUUGAUGUACACGUAGGUACAAUUAUUGAAUCAAGAAAUGCGAUCUUCUUUGAAGACAGUUUUCCGUGUAAAGAAAAGGAAGUAAGUUCAAAUAAACGAACUUAUGAUAACAUACAUGGAAAGAAUGAUGAUCUUCAAGUAAAUGAAGAACCGAGACGUAGUAAAAGGCAACGAAUUCCAAANNNNNNNNNNNNNNNNNNNNNNNNNNNNNNNNNNNNNNNNNNNNNNNNNNNNNNNNNNNNNNNNNNNNNNNNNNNNNNNNNNNNNNNNNNNNNNNNNNNNNNNNNNNNNNNNNNNNNNNNNNNNNNNNNNNNNNNNNNNNNNNNNNNNNNNNNNNNNNNNNNNNNNNNNNNNNNNNNNNNNNNNNNNNNNNNNNNNNNNNNNNNNNNNNNNNNNNNNNNNNNNNNNNNNNNNNNNNNNNNNNNNNNNNNNNNNNNNNNNNNNNNNNNNNNNNNNNNNNNNNNNNNNNNNNNNNNNNNNNNNNNNNNNNNNNNNNNNNNNNNNNNNNNNNNNNNNNNNNNNNNNNNNNNNNNNNNNNNNNNNNNNNNNNNNNNNNNNNNNNNNNNNNNNNNNNNNNNNNNNNNNNNNNNNNNNNNNNNNNNNNNNNNNNNNNNNNNNNNNNNNNNNNNNNNNNNNNNNNNNNNNNNNNNNNNNNNNNNNNNNNNNNNNNNNNNNNNNNNNNNNNNNNNNNNNNNNNNNNNNNNNNNNNNNNNNNNNNNNNNNNNNNNNNNNNNNNNNNNNNNNNNNNNNNNNNNNNNNNNNNNNNNNNNNNNNNNNNNNNNNNNNNNNNNNNNNNNNNNNNNNNNNNNNNNNNNNNNNNNNNNNNNNNNNNNNNNNNNNNNNNNNNNNNNNNNNNNNNNNNNNNNNNNNNNNNNNNNNNNNNNNNNNNNNNNNNNNNNNNNNNNNNNNNNNNNNNNAUGGUUUGUCAUUGUCUCAAUCACAUUAUGUUGAGACUAUACUUAAGAAAUUUAAGGCGUAUGACGAUAAACCGGUUAAGUCACCAGUUGACUUAGGUAUUUACUUAGCCAAGAAUACUGGUGAGCCCGUAUCUCAAUUGGAAUAUUCGCGUGUCAUUGGUAGUUUAAUGUAUAUUACCAACUGCACAAGACCGGAUAUAGCAUACAUAGUCAACAAGUUGAGUAGAUUCACUAGUAAUACAAGUGUUGUACAUUGGAAGGCAUUAAACCGAGUUCUUAGAUAUUUAAGACACACGGUUGAAUAUGGAUUACACUACUCAAAAUAUCCUGCGGUAUUAGAAGGAUAUACUGAUGCAAAUUGGAUAUUUGACACUAAGGAUUCAAAAUCCACGAGUGGUUAUGUAUUUACCAUUGGAGGUGGAGCCGUGUCCUGGAAAUCGUCUAAGCAAACAUGUAUUGCUCGAUCCACGAUGGAAUCUGAGUUUAUUGCGUUAGACAAAGCCGGUGAAGAAGCAGAAUAGCUUCGUAAUUUUCUUGAAGAAAUUUCAUGUUGGGAAAAGCCGGUUUCUGCGAUUAAUAUACAUUGCGAUAAUCAGUCGGCAAUAGCAAGGGCACAAAACAGUAUGUAUAAUGGUAAGUCUCGACAUAUCCGUCGGAGACAUAAUACCAUUAAACAGUUAAUAUCGAAUGGUAUAAUCUCUAUUAACUAUGCGUCGGAGACAUAAUACCAUUAAACAGUUAAUAUCGAAUGGUAUAAUCUCUAUUAACUAUGUGAAGUCAAAAGAAAAUUUGGCUGAUCCUUUGACGAAAGGACUUGCAAGAGAUCAAGUAUACCAUCUUUCGAGGGGAAUGGGCCUAAAGCCUAUUGAAUAGAAUUACUUUGACGGAAACCCAACCUUGUAGAUUGGAGAUCCCAAGAUCUUGGUUCAAUGGGACAACUAAGUCAUAAAUGAUUCGGAAUAAAGCAUUUAUUCCCAUUCCUAAAAUUUAAAGUGCUAUGUAAAAUGUGUAUUGAGAUAGAAAGGUAUGAGAUCACAUAUAUAAGUGUGAAGUGGGGCCGUUUCUACGAGAAUUCGAGGCUUAAUUCUCUCAGAGCACUUAUGAAACCAAGAGUUGUCCAGGGCCAAAAUGGACUCAACCAUGAGAACCGAAUAGGUUAGAUGAGUCAUGGUGUUGGUACAGUUGUUUGGUUUUACACGAACGGCUGGAUGAUUCAAGACAUUGCGUUCACCAACUAGCCUAGUAAAUCUGAUUGUAUUCAAAUAAAGAAGGUUCAAGGCCACAAGCUACCUAUCUUGAUGCUAUGACUUGACUUGUGUACUCCAUUUGUUAGAGUCCGCAUUUCAUUUGCAUUGCAUUCGCAUUGUGUUGCGCAUAUCGAGGAAUUUCCAUUCAUGUGGGGGAUUGUUGGAUAUUGGUUAAAUAAAUCGAGAAUUGAAAAUUGAUUAAAGUGACUUCGUAUCGACUUCGGCCAAAUACUCAAAAGCUCGACUCAAUCCGUUUAGGCAAAAUUGUUCGCCACUUCGCCGCUUCGGGCGCACAAACGGGGAUCGACCUGCCCGGUCAGGUCGAGGGGGCAGCACCCCCCGUGGGGGCCCGGGGGCAACGCCCCCGAAAGAGAAUUUUGAUUUCUCUGCAUGUAUUGAAGGGUAUAUUUGGCAUUUCGAAAACUAAUAUCGGAUGAAUGAGAAAUUACGAAAAAAGACGAAAAUCAGGUCAAAAUAUUUGACCGUGCGACCGCAUGGUUGGUAAACCGCACCGUUGUUCGGUGAAUAGACACCUUUUCAUAAAGGUGCAUUGUUUGGAAAGGGUGCAUGGUUUGGCCUCAACCAUUUCGUCCACACCCUUUCAUGGUCUAUAAAUAGGACCCUUUGGGUGUCCUAUUCCUCACAAUUUGAUAUGCAAAACAUCUCUCAUCCUCUCUUCUAUCCAAAAUCAAAAUCAUUUCAUUUAUUUUGAUUUUCCUUCAUUUCAUCCUUGGAGUACAUAAGCCUAAAUUUGGUUCGUUGUAUUUGUGUUUUGGAGUGCUACAAAUACAAGUGUAGCCGUUGUAUCUUGAGAGUCGAUUGUCGAAAUCUGUAGGCGCCGUUGCGGGGCAAAUUCGACUUAAGGACAAAGAGUCCAACUCUUGCCUCGACUUUGUCCCUACUUUCUUCUUCUUGUUUGUGUUUUUUUUAUCGUUACUCUGUCCAAUUUUCGGCACGGAUUUACAAACCAUCAUUAUACUUAUUUUGGCGUCACUAUUCACAAAAUUCCUCCAACAUAAUUUGUGUAUUCACUUUUACGUCAUUAAUUUGUAUAUUCACUCAACUAGUUAUUUGUUUGUAUUUUACAUUUGUAAAAAGAAAAAAUAUUGUAAGAUUCAUCAACUCUAAAAUGUAUAUAUUAAUUGAUAUAUAUUAGCAUAAUUUUUCUUUUUAAUUUUAUAGAAUAAUCAAAUCAAUAGAAAAAGUUACAAAACAAUUUCUCAAAAUUACAAACCAAAUGUGAUUUUCAGUUUUCUAUUUUGAGAAACAAUUUUUCAAAAUUUCAAAUCAAACAUAUUUUCAAUAAUCUUAAAACAAACCGUCAAAACAAAAGUUGAAUGUAAACUCGAAAUUGUAAAUUGAAAUACAAAUAAGAUGCUUUCAUUUAUUUUCUCCAUAAAUUAACUUAUGUCCGGGUCUCUUAACUACAUUAAUAACAUAAUUUUUAUUUGAUCACAAAUCUUAUAUUGUAGUCUCUUCUAUCAAGCUUCAUUGGAGGGGGAAAAAAAAAUCGACAGCGAAAAUCCAAGAAAUUUAUGCACGCUUUUUUGAAAAUUUUGAAACUCGAAAUACAACAUAAAUUCAUAAGAAAUUAUUUUGGAACUUGUUAUGGUGACUAUCUACAGUGUCUUCGGAUUAGCUUAAAUGACUUCCUUUGUUUUCACUCAUAUUACUUUCUAGGUUUUUUGGGCUUGUACGUCCACUCAUGGUUUUCUGUAUCUGAUUCUCGCUGACACGAUAUUUUUACCUCUGAAAUCCGAUCGACCAGACUCUCAAGAGUUAACUUUCAUGUCUACAUAAAUGUUGCUUGCUUGGAGAUUGUUGGAAUACACGGGCCAUCAUUUCAAUGAAAGGUAUGACAAUCGUUUGCAUUUAGAUGAUAAAGUGAUUGCAAUGAAAGUAUAAUUUGAGUGUGGAAGAAUCGACUAGGGAUCGAACGGAGCAUACAUUUUAUUUAUAUAAAUCAAAUAACAAACUAUCAUGUAUAUGUAAUGUAGGAUGACUAACAAUAAUAUUCAGUAUGAAUAACAUUACUUAAAAGAUAAAGUCAAUGGACACGUGUUUACCUUCAUUGAUUCAGCCAUUAUUACAUACUAAUACUGUUUACUUUUAACAUUUAUUAAUUUAUACACAUGGCAGUGGUCUCCUCACCACGUGGCAACAGGAAUUUUCGAAUGUUUUUUGUUCCCUUCAAACAAGGCAUACUAUGCGGCAGGAUAUACGGAGUCACAUAAUUCUUAUCUAUUUGGGAAGAUCAUGUUGAUCCCUACUUUUAUUGUCAUAUAUGGGGUAGAGAGAGAAGUUAAAAAGAGAAUUUUCUUCAAGUCAAACAGUUUCUCCAUUUACUUCAAUCUUCGGGUCGAAAAUGGUUCAAGCUCAUCCAUUAUCACCUAGCCUGGAGAGGGAACCAAUUGUCGACUCCUCUACAAUAGAUGAUACUAAUGAGGCUUCAUACGCUUAGCAUAUCAGUCCUAGCUCAAGUUAGAUGUUCAAGCACCUUGAUGAGGCUACUUGAUUCUAGGAACACACUUGUGUUGACUUGCAUAUGGCACCAUGCGUGGCAAAAUAAAAACUGAUCUUACACUAGUCUGAAUGACACUAAAUGAUAUGUUCAGUAAGAAAUAAAAUUAUGUGAGUUAUUUAGUUGUACCUCUCAUUUAAUGUUAGCAUCAUCUAAAUUGAUAUUAUUACUCUAGAAAUUAUGAGAACCAAUUACAUAAUUUUACAUAGACAUAUUCAUUGUUUCAAUAGUAUAAUAUUCUGGGUUUUUAGAUGUUUAAUCAUUAUUAUAUCUAAUUAAUAUGGAUUAAAAUAACUUAAGUUUACAUCAAAUUGUGUUCGAAUUCUUUAGGUCGAAGUUCAUCAGCAACCAACAACAUUUGACAGAAAAAGGAUUUUGUUCACCUUAUUAGGUUUACCUAUUUUCUAAUUCACUUUGUCAAUUUCGACUUUUUCUUAGCUUAGCCACGAACAAUUAGGUGUACAUUCUAUAGUGCUAAAUGACGUAAUGUUACUAAUAUCACUGUCCCUGCAUCCACAACUUAUGCCAACCACUUCUGCUUGUGGUCGUGCUUGUGCUCUUACAACAUACAACAAAAUUAAUUUUUUUUUUUUUUUUUUCAAGAUUCAUGUAAACGGAACAUAAAAAGAAAGAAAUAUAUGACACGAAUGUACUCAACAAAUGUAAACUGAUCACUUAACUGUCAGGAUAGAGCAAUUCAUCUUCCCAGUAAUGCAACCCGAUCCUUUUGUACUUCCCGUGCCAAAUUCACGUCAAACAGUUCACAACUAAUUGGCAUCUCCAUCUCAUAGAAAAGGUUCUUUAAAACAUAAUCAGUGUAUAACUCGUAUAUGUGUUUCAGGAGAGCCUCCAUAUGAAGUGUUCCAGGCUCACACACCACAAAGAAUUUGGUGCCUAUAAAAAAGGAACGAAUAACUUCAGAUGUUAGAUUUAUGUUACGAUGUGAGUAUUUAUAUCUAUUAACAAAUAUUGCAAGUUCACUAAACUUGGAUCCUCCCGAAGCUAAAGAGAACUAUCCAAUUCAAUACCUGUUUGACAACCAUUAUUUUCAAACUCUAUUUUUUACAUACUUAUUUUCAAUCAUACAUUCAUCCAAUAAAAUAUCCUACACGUAAACUCAAUAUUUUUCCCAUUUUCUGAACACACAUUCUCUUAAAAAUCACUAUUCAAAAUUCUGUUUUGUCCUAAUAAUGGUUGUCAAACAUGCAAUAGAAAUAUCAUGCAGUACUAUUUCAGUUCCAAAAAAUGUAAUAAUUCUAUACACUACACAAAAAAUGAUCAUUUAAAACACAUAAAAGGCAAAUUCGGUAGUUAAGUGUUGCUAAAUGGAUUUAUUGCAACAUUUUAAUAAGCGAAUGUUGCAAUUAGUUAAUGUAAUUAAAUUUUGGCUUUUGGCAAUGUUUAUUUAAUAAAUGUUGCAAAUGUUACUUUUCGCAACUUUUUUGAACAUUGCAAAAAGUUUUAUUUUUUUGCAACGUUCAAAAAAUGUUGCAGAAAGCCAUAUUUUUGCAACGUUCAAAAGCUCUAUUUUGCAGUGUGCCGCGUCCUCCAUCUUCCUCUUUGUAAUGUGCGGUCUUUCAACGCAUAACAAAUUAAUUCUGCAAAUUGGAAGCAAAAUUGGUUACAUCUUCUCCGCUCACCCCACUUUCCACUAAACUAUUUUCUUCCUCUUUUCAGCCUCAACCUUUCUUCACAUAAAAAAUGAGGAAAAUUCAGUUCGAAAUUUCUGCAAAUAUAGGUUUGUAAUAGACUUUAUUGCAUAAAUAAUAUAUCUUAAUGUUGUUAUGUUGUACUGGGUACUAUUGGAAAUAUUUGCAUCAACCGAGGAAAAUGGAGAAGAAAAUUUCAGAAAAUAUGAUCAAGAAGAUGAAACAAAGAAGAUGAAGAACACAACGAACAUGAAGGCUCGAACGCGUAAUCACUGUCCUCAAACUAUAUUUGCCUCCUCUCGGGAUUGUUUGAGUUGCUUAAGGAUUUUGACAAACGGUUUGUAGGAUUAUAUCAAGUUUUGUAAAGAAUCUAGCACUAAAGCAUAAAAAUGAUCCUCCAAAACUUUAAGAACACAAGGAAGAAUUGAAUAUGAAUGAGAAAUCAAGUUUUGAUUUAAUGUGGAAUAAUGUUUGGCUUGCAAGAUGUUUUUCUCAUGUUUGUAAUGGUUUUUCACACCCUUGAAAUGAUCACAAAUCACCUAUAUAUAGCCAUGAAACAAGGCUAUGCGAAGUGGUGCCAAUUCAUAAUUGAAAAGCCGUCAAUUUCAAACCACAACCGCCUCCAACGGUCACUCCGGAACUACCAUGCGACCGCAUGGUAUAACUUCAUUCGGUCGCAUGGAGUACUCGAAACUGGGCCUCCGUUCUCGGGUGAUGGACAUGCAACCGCAUGGCCAAAGUGCCUUGCGGUCACAUGGCACAUGUAAUGGGCCUCCGGUUGGUUUUCCAUUUCGCUUUUGUUCCACUUCCAUUCCACUUCGUUUUUCCAUUGAAUUUUCGAACAACAAUUUCAGCAAUCCCCCACUUGUUCAAAAUUCAAUUAAAAAAAAACCUCAUAUUCAAAUCAUACGAUACUCAUGUACAAGGACUAGAUAUCUUUCGAUUUGAAUCUAGCCAUAGUGUAAUCCAAACAAAGUAUAGUCGGAAUCAAAGGUAGCUGUAGCUUUGAACCAGUUAUUCCAUGUGAUAAUACCGGUUUAAACACACACACACACACGAGUACCACGUGUUCUCAAGUUCUUCAUAACUCGCUUAGCGCUGUUAUGGCCUUGUGCUCAUCCUACUCAACAAACUUUUAAGAGAGAAACUCGAACUCUCACUUGAGGCGGCACCACCUCGAAAUUUGUUUAGGCGAAGUUCUUCCAAUACCUUUGUUACUUUUAGAGGUACUUGUGUUUUAGUACUGAACUUCAUUAAGAGCUUUAAUGCUCAACCCUCACUUCAGUAACAACUAACAUUAUUUUACUUAGGAUAUGGUCAAUGCGGAUUUCAAUAAUGCUGAAACCAUCCCACAUAUCGAAUGACUUAUUUUUUACCCUUUGAGUCCGUAGAUUACCUUUUGAGUAAUGACAGGUAGGGUUGCCGUCAUUGGUGGACCUUUAUAGAUUAGGAGUUUUAACCCCAUCCUACUCGAAGUAGAUACCACUAAAGUUUUAUUUAGUGGUCUAGUUAAAGGAUCCGCUAAAUUCUCUUCGAAAAUUAUUCCACCUUUGAUAAUUUCCAUGUGACGUCACCUUUAAGACUUAUAUGUUUUUACUUCUCAUUUCAUGUGAUUUAGUAUCUUAUCAAAAUAUAGCUAGCCAAUGAUCGAUUCAUUUGAUAGAUACAACUUGUCACCACCAAGAAGCCACAUGCUUCUCAAUCGCUUUAUAUAAAAAGCCUUAUUGAUUUUUAAAACACCGUUGGAUGACUUCCAUUAAUUCAUUACACUAGUCAAUCACUUCUAUUUGUGGAUUUUCAUACUUGGGUGUUCACAUAUCAUCAUUGAAUCAUUACAAUGAUCUUCAAUGAAUAUUUUUUAAAUAUUCCAUUAGUUUUGCAAGCGCCACAAUCGGUCUUUGCCCAUUUAAUCCACCUUAGACUUAGUGUGUUUCAUCCUUACAAAGUCUUCUCUACCUUUUUCAUCAUAGAUGUAUUUCUAUGAUUAAAAGGUAAAGGAUAUGGCAACUUUUUAAACUAAGUUACCCCGCAAAUUCCUAAAAAUAGGAAUUCUUCUGCAAUCUUGUUAUGUUGCAUCCAUAUAUCUUUGAACUUCUCAUAUAAGUUCAUAAGAUUGAUGUUUACCCCCACAUUUCGGGUUAUACUCGAACUUAGAGUUCCUCACUAUGUCAACCCCCACAUUUGGGAUUGUACUUGAACUUUGAGUAUAUUAACUCUUUCAUAGUUCAUUCACUUAUCACUUUGAUAAUACCCGUGAAAGUUUUAAGUAUUUCAGAUAGUGAUUGUUAAGUCACAAUGUACUUUUAAUUCACUAUCUUUAAUUUUGAUCACACCAUUUGAUUAAGGUCAUCUCAUAGACCAUUAAUGCCUUUUCAAGCAUAAAUCAACUCAAUUAGUUCCACAUUUGAAGUCAAAUUCAAUUAAUAAAUAAGACCGUGCUUCUUGUUUCAUAAGAAUUGCACUUUGCCACUUUCACAAGACAAAAUUAUAUCAUCUCGAAUAAUAAGGCAUCUAUUUACCUUAUUCACAUUUGGACAAAAUCACAUUUUGUCAUAUUUGUAUACAAACACGAUUUUACAUAAGAUUCUCUCACUUAAUUUUGGCUAUCAACAUUUCAAUAGAACAUGAAAUCAAUCAUCAAGUUUAUCAAGUGAUUCUCAUAUUCCAAUAGAACAAGUAGUCAUGAAAUUUCAUGUACUUCCAACAAAUGGUAGGCAUCCUUACACAUCCUUUAGACCUAUUAAAGAUUAAUAGGCUGGUCUCAAAGCAUAAAUAUGGAUGUGCUUUACUUGCACUUCGAAGUCCAUAAACCAACAUAAUGGCAAAUACACCGUGCAACAAAUGAUGCCCUACAGAAACAUGUGGGCUACUCAAGUCGGUUCGUGUAUUAUUCAAGCAAAUGUGACAGCCCAUAUAUUGAAAUUAAUCACCGCCUAACAACCAUGAUCAAAUAGAUCUUUAGCCACCACAAUUGGUUUAAAUUGUAUUCUUUAAAAUGUCGUGCAUAAGCCACUCCCAAUUGUCACAGCAAAGUGAGAAUAAUCAAUUAAUCAAAAUUGAUUUCCACAAUAUCCUUUAUACAUGAAGGUUAAUUAGAGCAUAUUAUAAAUUUUGUCAUACUAGUAUGCAAACACAAUUUAUGCUCUACAAAAUAUUUCCAUUUCUCAAUAAAUGUACAAGCAUCUUCUGCUUUAAAAUAAAUUAGGACAAAUCACAAUUUGUCAUGCUUUUAUGCAAAUAUAAUUGACAUAUAAUCAUCUCACUUAAUUCCAUAGGAUUAAAUGAGGCUAUCGAUUUAACCCAAGUUAAUAUGAGUUCAACAAGACAUGAAAUCAAUCAAACAAAUUUAUCAUGUCAUUUUUAAUUUUCUAGUAGAGAAAUGGUCAUGGAAGUUCACAUACUUUUUUUCAUAAAAUUCUAACACUGUAGAAUUUUCUCCUAUGUAACAUAUACAAUAAAAUGAUGAAUUUCAUUGCAAUAAUAUAGUAUGCAAUCAAAAACUUCAACCAUUUAACCAUAUGACUGAACGCCAUAACAUGCAUCAUUAAGUAAGCAAGUGCUAGUAAUAUACUCAAAUAUUCUCCAAAGGAAAGAACACACUUUUUCCUUUAUGCACGUACACAAGCACUUGCACACAUCAAUUAGUGAAAUGCUACUCAUUAUAUCAAUUUCCAAUUUCAUGAUAAGGUGAAAAUAACAUAUUCAUUUCAUAUUCCAUUAAAAGAAAUAAUGAUCAGAUUUAUCCAAUCUAAUUCAAACAUUUCCUACCAGAGGAACACACCUCUUCCUUCAUUGCACCGUUUCAAUACCAUAUGUUAGAAACCAGAAUUCAACAAUCUUAAAUGAAAAGUCAUUAAUCACUAAAACUGUCAUAUGCUCUUGUAUAAACUAUCACGUGCCGUUUCAUACACUAGGAUAGAUAAUUCAUGCUCAUCAUUCCAGAAAUUAAUAAACAGCUUUUGACUUGGAAAGAUACAUCUCUUCAUACAGUAUGCAUGUUUAAGUUCCAUUUCUCUUACUAAUACAACAUUUUCAAACAGAUUAUAUCAAUCAAUGUUGUGUAACGCAAGCAUACAAAUUCAGACUAAAGUUGACUAUAACGAAAAGGCACCAAAGGAACCUAAUCAAAAAAUAUGGUCGUUUUUUUGCCUUUCCCCAGAUUUCUCACAUGCAACCAGUAUGCUUAAUUUAAUUCUCAUGCGAAAAUUCUAGAAAUAUGUAAUCAGGUUGCAGAGACACCAUUCAAUUCAUGCACGUUUCAAGUUCAUAGUAAUUUAAUUCUUCCAAAACUAAAACCAUGUACGAUUCCAGAUUAUAACGCACAACGAACACAAAAAAAUUCAUCUUAGGGAUAUAACGCCGAUGUUGUGUAUAUUUUAUAUUCACAUACCGCAUGUAUGCAUAAAAUCAAAACGCAAUUUGACUUAUCGAAUUUGGAGAGCAAUUUCGACUAAACACAAAAUCUGGAUUCAAGUUCUUCUACAAGUUGGGCCAUUCCAUGAAAUUAGUGCCAUCAACUUGAUCGUUGUCGAAGUAAUUUUUUUCUCCAUCGCCAAAAUAUAGUUUGAGAUUGUUGGAAAUAUUUCCAUCAACCGAGGAAAAUGGAGAAGAAAAUUCCAGAAAAUAUAAUCAAGAAGAUAAAACAAAGAAGAUGAAGAACACAACGAACAUGAAGGCUCAAACGCAUAAUCGCUGUCCUCAAACUAUAUUUGCCUCCUCUCAGGAUUGUUUGAGUUGUUUAAGGAUUUUGGCAAACGGUUUGUAGGACUAUAUCAAGCCUUGUAAAGAAUCUAGCACUAAAGCAUAAGCGCGAUCCUCCAAAACUUUAAGAACACAAGGAAGAAUUGAAUAUGAAUGAGAAAUCAAGUGUUUGAUUUAAUGUGGAAUAAUGUUUGGAUCACAAGAUGUUUUUCUCAUGUUUGUAAUGGUUUUUCACACCCUUGAAAUGAUCACAAAUCACCUAUAUAUAGCUAUGAAACAAGGCUAUGCAAAGUGGUGCCAAUUCAUAAUUGAAAAGCCGUCAAUUUCAAACCACAACCGCCUCCAACGAUCACUCCGGAACUACCAUGCGACCGCAUGGUAUAACUCCAUGCGGUCGUAUGGAGCACUCGAAAUUGGGCUUCCAUUCUCGGGUGAUGGACAUGUGACUGCAUGGCCAAAGUGCCUUGCGGUCGCAUGGCACAUGUAAUGGGCCUCCGAUUGGUUUUCUAUUUCGGUUUUGUUCCACUUCCAUUCCACUUCGUUUUUCCAUUGAAUUUUUGAACAACAAUUUCAACAGGUACAACAUAUAGUAUGUACUGAAACACAUAAUUGCUUUAGGGAGAUGGUUUUGGUAUUGGUAGGGGAAGGAGAGAAUGAGGUCAAGAAAGGAGGGAAGAAGAAAUUUAUCACCAAAGAAGAGGAACUGGAACAGUUAAGUCCUUUUUUACACUCGUUUUGGUUCAUAAUUUUUUAGUUUUGAAAGUGAAAUAGAUUUUUUUUUUAAAUUCUUUAACAAAAGUUUAGUUGUUGAAACAAAUGUUGUCCUAUUAUUACUUGGCGUUAUUUGAAAUAUGAAAUGCAUUACUAUCUUUACUAUCUGAAAGUUGCUCUUUUUGAACCCAUUUUUCUGAAGGAAGAAAUCCAUUUUCAGCCGGAUUUGUUGUCAUUCACGAAGGAAAAUAAAGAAAGAGUGACUCUUGAAGAUUUCUCUUUAUUGGUUUGCACAAAAAAGCUGUGCAGUUAUUGGUAAAUUUAGGGGAAAAAAGGGAGAAAGGAGGCUCUUGAGUUGCCUAAUUUUUUUGGUUCUGAAUAUUGUAUGUGAAGUCAAAGGUUAAGUUGAGCAAAUAUAUCAUUUAAUAUUAGUUCUAUAGGAAAAUGUUCUCUCCAGAGUAAUUUUUCAAAAUUGUGGAAGUUAAAUUAGAACAUUGUCGGUGGGCAGUUUAUAAUUGUACAUUUAUCCGUGCUUGCUUUUCUACCUUCCAAAAGUUCUAUUAAGAAUAACCUUGUUUUUUUUUUCCUUUCCCCUUUUCUAACCUGAACAAUUGAAUAGGAUAUUUGAGCUUUGUGGAACCCCUGAUGAGAUUAAUUGGCUUGGUGUUUCCAAGAUCCCCUAGUAGAGAAAAUUUAAAUAAGAAAAUUUUUCAUAUUUUUAACAAUUUAAGACUAGACGAAAAACUUAUCCAUAUAUCAUAGCAAACAAUGUUAUUAAGAUUAAUCUCAAUGUCAUUUUCUUUUGUCAUUUUGGGAAUUUACUUAAACAUGCGCAGCGAAAAUAAAAACAAUUUAAUUUCCCACUAGGAUUCAUCUUUGUACUUAGAUAGGAACUGUGAUAAAAGUUAUACAUUUUCUUAAAUCUGCAAACUCCUUUGAGUUAUCUUUGUUCCAACAACUUGGAUCUAUCUCUCACAGCUGUCCAAUUGUCCAGGUUCCAAUGAAUUCCACAGAGAACAGUUUUCAGCUGUCAGGGUUUUCUCCUCUUGUGAUAGCAAGAAAUUAUGAGAUUCUCUACAAAUUGAAAACUCUAAUCAUAUAUUUAUAUAAGUCCAAACGGGCUUGGUUUGAUCCGGUCUAAUAUUUAAUUAAUCCACUUAAUUAAAUCCCAUUCGUGAAUUAAUUGAUCCAAUUAAUUAAUUUGGACCUAUAAAUAACGAACCCAAUUAAUUAAUUUAUCCAACGAUUGUUAAAUUAAUUAAUUGAUAAAUUGCAAUCUUCCAAUUCUCUUUUGUGUGCGACCCAUUAGGUUCCCGACCACGAUACCUAACGACGUUAAAUAUUAUUUUGAUCUAAUCAAAAUUGAUAAAUUAAAACACCCUCUAGUUUAUCACCUAUUCACACUCGUCGUCCCAGAUUGACAUCUAGCAAUGUAUCAAGGCAAUACAUGUGACGGAAAAUAUCACGUGGUAUAACAAAACCAAACUUGUUUGUUUACCAUGAAACUAUAAUCCCUUCAUCGAUAUGAUCCGAUCAAUUACGAGAUAUGGAAGUGUGUCAAUCUUGAUUAUCGAUCAUAUCUUUCAUUCUACUAUUAAAUCAACGUGAGUCGAAACCUCAUUUUCAAUUUAUGAGUAUACCUUCGCGAAUGAUUUCGUUAUUGACUUAAUUGAAAGAAAUACAGAUCACAAUCUCUUACUAUCUAAGAUUGACGAAUCCUCUAUUGGUCAUUUACAACCUUCACAUGGUUCUUGACAUACCCGAAUGAUACCGUAUUAGCAGCCCUUGGCAGUGCAACAUCCAACACUGUCAAAUUAUGACUGUCCUCAUACAAGGCACUAUGAUGACCUCAAGUCAAAAAAUCAAUUUCACUACCGAACGUUAGAGAUUAACCACUGACACUCAGAUAGUUAUCCAUGUGAAAUCUCUUAGCGAGUUUGCAAUGUUUCGUUCUAUAACAAAACAUCCACUCGUUCAUUUAAGUGUGACCACACUUUAGCUCGUGAUAUCAGCUAUUUACUUCACAAGUAAGAAAUGCCACAUAUGAUGGUCUAUCCGUAACUCAUUAUUACUUACGACCAUGGAUUAUUCAAGAUCCAAUCAUAUGUAAUUUGUAUCUCACAAUCACAACUCCUUGUGAUUGACAAAUCACUUAAAUUUGAAUAUUCAAACUCUAUUGUUUAAUAUUAUUUAUCCGAAUAUUAAUUUAAAUAAAUAAUAUAUCUUACCAAAAAUAAAUGCAUUAAACAUAUUAAAAGUGUUUACAACCUAAAUCGAUUGGAUUUAGGGCAUAACAGUUACAGCCAUAUCAAGUAUUAUAAAUCCAAAAUGUUAAUGUACCUUGUUAUGUUUUUGAGUAAUUGUCAGGCUUGUAAAAUGGCCCUCCUUAUGGGUUUAUAGAAACUUUAGGCACCUUCCUCUUACGAAGUUUUGGGUAUAAUGGUUAUUGUGAUGUUAAGAAAUUUCUAGGAGAUCCAUGCCAAUUUCUAAGAACCUGAAAUAUGCUUAAUUGUUAUUAUAAGCCUACUAAGUUGUUGAUAAGUGUAUUUUUGCACACUUAUUAGGCACUUAAUUUGAUACAAUUAUUGAUUAAAAGAAUGGAAUUCUACUCACAAUUAAGUAUUAUUUGCUUUUGUAGGCUAAAAAUUACUCAAGUAAAGAGAACAAGGCAAAAGGAGGAAAAAUGAGGAAAAAAGACUAAAAUUGUACAAAAUUGUGAAGUUGGAGGCCAAGGCAAACAAGUCAAAAAGUGGAGGAAUUGUGAUGAAAUUUAUGGAGGGCAAAAGUGAAAUGAAAGUCAAAAUUCGAGGACCAAAUUGUACAAGAUCAAAAGUUGAGGGACUUGGCUACAGAUUACACAAAUUCAACUUUUGUGGCUGCUGAAACAGAGACCCAGGCACUGCAGCGCCACUGUUCCUACACUGCAGCACCGUUUUGUAAUUAUAAAGAAAACUAGGGACCUUUUUGCUAACUUUCCAAAAGUCCAGGGACCAAAGCUGCAAUUUUCCUUAGGUUUUAAUAUAAAAACCAGAAGCUGGGCAGUUUUGGGAGAGCUUCAUUUUUUUGGGUUCCGUCUUCUGCUGGGACGAUUCUGCUUCUUCUUUCUUUCAUUUUUUUUUCUUUUGUUUUGCUUGAUAUUUUGGAGAUUCAAUAUAGAGCAACAAGGAGAUUACAUCAAGGAUUUGGCAAAACUCUUGGAGAAUCAAGUUCAUGCUUCAAAAAAGGGUUUUAUCUAUAAACUUGUAUUUUCACAAUUAUUUUGUCAUAUUUGUAAUGUAUUGCUAUAAACAUUCUCCUUUCCAUCAUAUGUAUAAAAUGGGCUAAGUAUUUCGUUGGGAUUUAUGGUAGUAGUUUGACCUAGGUUUAAUUGAUUUUCAAUAUUUGCUAUUUGAUAUUAAAUUGCCUAUUUCCAUGUGUUUCUACUAUUGUAUUUAUUGUAUUUUCAUUUAUGUGGCCAAUGAAUGAAUAUGUUUCGUGAAGUGUACAUAGUUCGAGAGAAGAUUGUACAUUUUAGACCAAAUGGUAGAAACCCUAGGUUUGUGUAGAGGAUAGACAUAUACCUCUAGCCUUAGGUGACUGUUCGUGUGAAACCCGCAAGCGUACGGGAUCGUUGUACAAGUAAUAAAAUUUAUGAGUUAAGAAUAUCGUUCCUACGAGGAAUAAGGUAUAAUAUUUAGUUAAGUAGCUUUUACUAAAUUCGAAGUAAUAUAAAAUCAAAAAAGUUGUGAUUUGUAUGUUUUCUAUGCUAAUCUUAAAUUAAGAAAGCAAAUAAAAUAUUUAUUUAAUAUGUGAAUAUUUGUAUUGGAAUCGUGAAUCCCCCUAUUGCCAUUUAAUUCAACUCUUAAUUUAUAAUAUAGUAAAUUCAUGCAUUCAAGACAAUCGAUAAUCCACUUUUAUUCAAUAUUCUUUCUCAAGAUAUAUUAAACCUAUGUUUAACACGACCCGAUCCUAUUCCUAGUCCGAAUUCAUAUGAAAAAUAUGCAUUGAUUCAUAGAAUUUAUCACACAUGAUUACACAUACCAUAGAUAUUAUUCCUAACACCUAUUGUCCAUAUGUUAAUUUUACCGCGUUCUAGAGUUAUUGUGAGUAUUCCUACACUACAACAAGCAACUUACUAUCUAAUUGGUGAUCAAGCAAUUAAAUAGUUCAAUGGGAAUGCAAAACCAAUCAAGAAAAAAAUCAUGAAAUACUAAAUUAAUUGUCUUGAAUUAAAAUAAACAAACGAUCAGGUUCAUCAUUCGUCCAAUACAAUGAAAAACUAAUAAAUCAUAUUAAUAUAUAAAUUACAAGAAGAAAAAUAGAAAAAUAUCACCCGGAUCAUGAAAGAUUACAAAAGAUGUUGAUCUUCAUGUCCAAAGUUGAAUUCUUCAAAACUUGAUGUAAUUGAACUUCAAUUUCUUGCUAUGGCUUGAUCAUCUUUCUUAAAAUAUAGCAAUUGACCCCUUGUUCUUGAUGGAUUUGAUGAAACUAUUGUGUAUGAAAAGGCAAGAGAGAGAACCUUUCAUUGAUGCCCAUAUCUUGUAUUUAUUUGAUGAAAUUAGGUCAAAAUUCACGUCCAAAUUGUCUUCUAAAGGAGUUUGAAUCAAAUAAGGAAAGUUGCUUUCGCGCGCACAUAAUUUUGUCUUUGCACAGCCUUCAGUAUUUUGAUCAUAACUUUCUCUAUCGAUAUCCGAAUUGGGUAAUUCAAAGUGCAUUGGAAAAAUAAUUAAAAUAUCUAUAAUCCUUCUGGAAAUAUAAUGUUUCCAAUUCAAACGUUCUCCAUCCGAAAAAUGGGUCUCAAGUUGACUAAAAAUCUUGAAGAUAUCCUAUAUGAUUGGAAGUCGAUUUAUGGUAAUAUUCUAAUCAUAUCCCUUUCCUUUUUUACUCCAAUUUGUAUUCAAUUGACUCCCAUCAAUCUUCAAAGUAUCUUUUAUGGACCAAAUCAACCAUUAAAUAUUUACACUUUGGUCCCCAUACAUUGGAUUUGCUUCAUUUAGCCUUUUUCCAUUAUUUUUUUCAAUUCUUCUUUGAAACGUGAACUUUUCCUAAUAAAAGUAAUAAAUAACAAAUCAAGUACUAAUACGUUCAAAAAAUAACAAAAUAUAAUCAUUUAAGAUCCCAAAUAAGUGUAGAAACUACACUUAUCAAACCCCCAAACUUGAAUUUUUAUUUGUCCUCAAACAAAACUAAAAUCCAGCAAACACACAAACACACAGUGCUAAUUACUUAAUUGGUGGCCAGUCAAUCAAGCAAUGUAAAAUGAUUUAGCUAGCUGACCCGACUUUUUAUCUCAAGAUUGAAAUCAUAAAAUCAAAUCUGUGCAUAGCUUCAAAAUCACAAUACAGAAAUUAAAAUCUACUUUUCCAAAUGUAAAAUUGACGUGUGUGUGUGUGGAGAAUUAAGCAUAUCAUCAUGAAUUCAUAAGUAGUUUCAAUUCCCGGCCCUCAAUGGUCAAAUAUGUCAUUUCCUCACUUGUAAGACUUACAUACCCCCAAACUUAUUCUUUUCGUUAUUUUCAAGUGUGUGACCUAAUGUUGAAUUUUUGUACUAUCCUCACCUCUCUAGUUUAGGUAAAUCUUACUAAUUGCAAGUCGAUAUAUCAAUAAAUAAAGAUUCUCCAUAGUUUGAUUGCUUCAAUCUCCCGAACUCAACCAGGCUAAUAAUCCUUUAUCAAAAGUUAAUUUUUUUAAACAAGUGUUUGGGACUUAGUCAAGGCAUCUAGUGCGUCUUCUGUUUCAUGCACCAAUUUUUUCCUUCCUUUUUUUGUUUCAAUUUUCAUUUCAACAUUUUUUUUGCAUCAUUCUCCCCCUUAAGCUUUCUAAAUGACCCCUUUAGCGAGGUUUAAGCCGAUAACUCCUAAGUUAGUUGAUUUUAGGGCACCAGGUUUUAACACCUCUACAGGCUUAAUAACUCGAGUCAUAAAGGCUACGAGAGCAUUUUUCAAAUAAAAUAUAUUUUUUUAUUUUUUUAUACCUUGAUUAGUGCAAUAUCCCUUAUUAAACACCCAUCCAAGUAAACCAACUUCUAACUUGAGACUUUUACCCAAUUUCAUUCUAUUGACCUUAGACAAUCCACACAAUAUUUUUUUUAAUUUUUUUUUUUAUUUUUAAUUUCACACAUGGAAUCCUCAUUUAUCUCAAAAUCUUCCUACAAUAGUGAAAUCCUCCAAAUUAUUCUAAAUUUGGUCUAAGGAUGUAACAUAUAGUCGUUUUGGGUUUAGCAUCUAUGGUCCGCUAUUUCAACCUAUCCAAUUAUAAAAUCAACUCAUUCUUACACAAUGCUUAACUUAAUUCAUGUGCUCAAUAUAUAUCAACUUCACAUGGAAAAGCAAAAAUCAACUUAAGUAUGCAGCUUAUUCACCAUUCAUAGAUCAAUUCAUAAUUCAAUAUAUACAUUAUUACCAGUCAGGCUAACUAACUCACACAAGCACACAAAAAGAAAAUAUUUUUGAAAAUUUUCAAUUUUUUUCUUUUGUCUUUUUGUAUUUUUAAUAUUUAAAACAAUAAAACACACACAAAAACACACAAAACAAAGGAAAACUCACGUUUUUCAACCCCAAACUUAAAUUAGACAUUGUCCUCAAUGUCUUAAAUCCUAUGUCCGCAUAUAAGGGGUGGGGGAAAAAAUGAAGAAAAGACUCCCCGAUAUGGCAAUGAAAUUCAAUGGCUAGCUUUUCCUUGUCUCCCGUUGUUUCCUUGGUAAUGGUUGGUUCAAGUGUUUCACAACGUCAUGUUCCUGCACAAUACAGAUAAAUAAAGCAUUAAGACACAAAAGAUCUGGAACAAGUGGUACUUGGCUCAAACAUCAAUAAACCAACAAGUAACCUAAGGAAAAAUGGAAUAUGGAUGAUAAUUCCCUAAUUAAAACCAUAAAAAUAAACUAAAUUAUCAUAUAAGUAGAAAGAAAAAUAAAUAAAAGGGAUAGAAAGAUUGGGUUACCUCCCAACAAGCGCUUGUUUAUAGUCUUUAGCUUGACUUUAUUGUUUCAGCAUCAUGGAAUUUUGAAGAAUGCUUUUGAUGCCUUGCUUAGUUUGCCCCUUUUAAUUUUGCUUCACUUUUCGUUGCUCCUACAAAUUUUAGCACUGCCCAUUCCAAUGUUAUAUGACUUGUCUAUCUCAUCCGAUUCAAAUCCAACUAUGUAGACUUCUUCCUCCUCUUCGGGAUUACUUACAAAUUCAAUGAAAGGGCAAUCAAUUAAGUCGAUGGAGUGUGAGUGAACAUCUUCUUCAUUAAUUACCUUCCCUUUAUUUUGUUUAUUUGUAAUUGAACUUUCAUCGUCUUCGUUCUCGUCUUCCAUAAUUGAUAUCUCCUCGGGUUGAAUAGCUGUUUCACAAUCUACAUCCACGGGCAAUGAAAACUCUUUUCUUUUAAACGUCUUGAGUGGAUUAUAUCCCCACCUUUUAAAUUCGAUCCAAAAUAUGCCAUCUCCCACGCACAUUUUAUUUUCAUCUAAUUUGGCAAGAUCAGUGUAGUAUUUUGCAAGUACCUCUUCGUUCAACAUGGAAGGACCAACUCCCACAAGCGUGUCUGAAGGGACACACUCGCCUAAAGGCAUGUAGUCUUCAUUAGCAUUGUCAAAUGCUAAUCUUCGACAUCGCAAGUAUUGUUGAAACUGCAGGAGCUUGAGCCUUCCUGGGUCAGUAAAUGUAUACAAGUAGUAGCCAGUAUAAUGCACUCCAUAGCAGAACUUACAAUAUAUAUCUUCUUCCUCAUCGUCCAUGUCGAGAUUAAUUAUUGCAAAAAUAAUUCUACUAUAUUAAUGUCAGAAUCUUGCAUAUGCUACUGAACAGCAUGUGGAAAGAAUAUCAAAUAAGAGAGAUUGGGGUGGGUAGCUAAAUUCAACAAAAAAAAAAUUAAUAUAGUGAAAAAAAUCGAAUCUAAUAUAAACUACUAAACUAAAAUUAAAUCCAUUAUUCCGCGGCAACGGCGCCAAAAACUUGUUCGUGUGAAACCCGCAAGCGUAUGAGAUUGUUGUACAAGUAAUAAAAUUUGUGAGUUAAGAGUAUCGUUCCCACGAGGAAUAAUGUCUAAUAUUUAGUUAAGUAGCUUUUACUAAAUUUGAAGUAAUAUAAAAUAAAAAAAGUUGUGAUUUGUAUAUUUUCUAUGCUAAUCUUAAAUUAAGAAAGCAAAUAAAAUAUUUAUUUAAUAUGUGAAUAUUUGUAUUAGAAUCGUGAAUCCCCCUAUUACCAUUUAAUUCAACUCUUAAUUUAUAAUCUAGUAAAUUCAUGAAUUCAAGACAAUCGAUAAUCCACUUUUAUUUAAUAUUCUUUCCCAAGAUAUAUUAAACAUAUGUUUAACACGAUCCAGUCCUAUUCCUAAUCCGAAUUCAUAUGAAAAACAUGCAUUGAUUCACAUGAUUUAUCACACAUGAUUGCACAUGCCAUAAAUAUUAUUUCUAAUAUCUAUUGUCCAUGUGUUGAUUUUACCGCGUUCUAGACUUAUUGUGAGUAUUCCUACACUAUAACAAGCAAUUUACUAUCUAAUUGGUGAUCAAGCAAUUAAAUAGUUCAAUGGAAAUGCAAAACCAAUCAAGAAAAAAUCAUGAAAUACUAAAUUAAUUAUCUUGAAUUAAAAUAAACAAACGAUAGGGUUCAUCAUUCAUUCAAUAUAAUGAAAAACUAGCAUAGCAUAUUAAUAUAUAAAUUACAAAAAGAAUAAUAGAAAAAUAUCACCCAAAUCAUGAAAGAAUACAAAAGAUGUCGAUCUUCACGUCUAAAGUUGAAUUCUUCAAAACUUGAUGUAAUUGAACUUCAAUUCCUUGUUAUGGCCUGAUCUUCUAUCUCAAAAUAUAGCAAUUAGCCCCUUGUUCUUGAUGGAUUUGAUGGAACUAUUGUGUAUGAAGAGGCAAGAGAGAGACUCUUUCAUUGCUGCCCAUAUCUUGUAUUUAUUUGAUGAAAAUAGGUCAAAAUUCACGUCCAAAUUGUCUUUCAAAGGAGUUUGAAUCAAAUAAGAAAAGUUGCAUUCGCGCGCACAUAUUUUUGACUCUGCACAGUUUUCAGUAUUUUGAUCAUAACUUUUUCUAUCGAUAUCCGAUUCAAGUGAUUCAAAGUGCAUUGGAAAGCUAAUUAAAAUAUCUACGACUCUUCUAGAAAUAUAAUGUUUCCAAUUCAAACGUUCUCCAUCCGAAAAAUGGGUCUCAAGUUGACCAAAAAUCUUGAGGAUAUCCUAUAUGAUUGGAAGUCGAUUUAUGGUAAUAUUCUAAUCAUAUCCCUUUCCUUUUUUACUCCAAUUUGUUUUCAAUUGACUCCCAUCAAUCUUCAAAGUAUCUUUUAUGGUCCAAAUCAACCAUUAAAUGUUUACACUUUGGUCCCCAUAUAUUGGAUUUGCUUCAUUUAGCCAUUUUCUGUUCUUUUUUUCAAUUCUUCUUUGAAACCUGAAUUUUUCCUAAUAAAAGCAAUAAAUAACAAAUUAGGUACUAAUACGUUCAAAGAAUAACAAAAUAUAAUCAUUUAGGAUCCCAAAUAAGUGUAGAAACUACACUUAUCAGUGACCCAAUGAGCUAUUUUCAUAAUAAUUUAAUGCGAUUGUUUGGUUGUAAUCGACAUAGAGAUAUAGUAGGUUAAACAAAUCAAUUAGAGUUAAUUUCACUCGAGAGAGGUAAUUAGUUAAACUGAAAAAUUGGGUCUAACAUCGUAAAUUCAUUUACUGGAAAUAAUAUUUAAAGUGUUCUGAAAAUAGGAUCAUUUAAUCUUUGGUCGUUUUCUCCCCAGUUCACUAGCCGGCUUUUUUAGUGGAUGAUACAAACAACCAAUAGAAGCAGCAAAAAUGACAAUAGAAGAACUAUCCAAUUUGUCUUAGCAUACUUCUGUAAAUUCCAUCCUGGCUCAUUUAUCUUAAUUUGUAGAUAUUGGAUUGUAUCCUUUUACCGCUUCGUUGCUAUCUAUUUCCAUGUUUCAAUGCAUGCUUUAUUAUUUCAUGGGUAAAAUAUUUCUUUCUCCUGUAAAGCUACCAUUUUUACAAAAUAUUUCUAUUAUCGUGUACGAACAUGUUGUAGACAUGCGUGAUGAGGCUAAAAUUCUAUUUUUUUUUUUUUAUUGUUUUCUUUAUGCAGUAGUAUCAACUUUUGGGAAGGAAGAAAUGUGUUCUUUCAUUCUCUCUCUUUUUUUUUUUGGGAGGGGGAAACGGGUUGGUGAUUUGGGUCAUAAAUUUAUUUGUGAUAAAUAGUCAAGUAUGAGUACUGCUUUAUCAUAGCUUGUUAGUAUGCUUUCUAUUGUGCAAGUUAGCAAUUCUUGUUAUUUUGUUGACUACUUGAAUGAUGAUACAAUCUGCUAAGAUUUCUUUAUAUCUAAACUGGAUGUAAAGUAAUUCUAUCAUUAAAUUAAUCAUGGAUUAUUCACGACACAGAAACUUUCAUCUAUAAAAGAAAACAUUUUGUCAUAAAAAAAUAGACAUUUCCAAAACUAUCUCAUGGAAUGGGACACAGUAAGCUAAACGACAUUGGUGAAGAUCUGACAGGAAAGUCCUUUCAACAGAUUUUAAGGUAGAUUUCUAUAGCAUCCUGCGACAAUGCAAUGAACCAAACGAUCAAAUUUCACCAAACACUUCGAAUUUUCAACAAAUUUUGGAAAAUCUACUAUUUCAACGCUAAUAAAAAUACAAUAAAUACAAAAUUUGUGCAACGCACAUGACAACGAUUAGUUUUUAUAGAAAAAAGAAAAAGGCAUGCAACAAAAUUUUACGGGACCAUAGAGCAACCACACACUCUCCUUAUUUUCUUCAACUCCCUCAACCUCCAUAAACCAAUUUCUAAUCCAUUUUGUUCUCAUACAUUUUCAGUAUAGUUCUCAUCUCGUUUUCUAGUUUCUCAAAGCGUGUCUUCGAUUUCAUCUUUCUAUUUUGGUUCAUAAAAAUCAUUGACCAUGGUGCCAAUUAUUAUCAGUAAUGAAGUCAAGCCAAUAACUUGUUCAACUUACUCAAUAUGCAACUACAAUUAUUCCAAUACCUAGUAUAGAUCACUUGAGACAAUCAAAAUACUCUCCCUAGGACCUACAAUUAUAAAAAAAUGGCACUUUCCUGUACUUUAGUAAUCAAAUAAUUAAUAUGGGGCAUUUGCAAAAAUGUCCAAUUUUACAUAUGUCAAUUCAAAAAGUCCAUUUUUGAUAAUCUUUGCAAAAAAGGCCAAAUUUGAUACCAAAUUCUCUACUUUACCCUUAAUGAAAGAAUAAAUAAUUUUAUAUUGCACAUGUCAAAUCACAAUUAAUGCUAGACACAGAAAUGUCGAGAACAACAUUUAAAGUGUAGAGAAAUGUCAUGUUCAGAAUGAAAUGUUAUUCUAGACAUUUAAUAUGUUGAGAACAACGUUUGAAAUGUCGAGAACAUUUAAUAUUAUGAUUUGACAUGUGUACUUUUGAAAUAUAAACAGAUUUAAUUAUCGAGAACGACAUUUGAAAUGUGAAGAAUAUCAUUUUAAUGUAACUUCUCAUGGAAGAUACUUAGGGAUACUCUCGUCCAAAUAAUUGAAAAAUGGACAUUUUUUGUAAUUUUCCUCAAUUAAAUAUUUUUCUUAAGUUUAUGUCAGACAGCCAGGAUAGUGACUCAUCAAAUAAUAAUAAUAAUAACAACAACAACAACAGCAAUAAUAAUUCCAUAAUCCAGCUCCUUGGCACUAUACUCUAAAAGCCCAAAAGGAGCAUAAAUGCCGUCUUGGCACCAGACUUAGGAAACAGUUUCUAUUGGAGUCCCAACCAUCACCACAUGGAGAUGUUCAUAUGAAAACCCAAUGUGAAAAUCACACAUAAUAGAGGAGGGAUUAGAUCUUCACUUGCCCAAAAUAUAAAUGACGGUGAUUUUAAACUAAUGAAAGAUAUGCAAUCUAUCCAACUUACAUUAAUUACCAUAGAUGAUUGGAUCAAUAAUGGAGUAAGGAGAGAAUACAAGAUGAGAAUGAAAGAUCAACUAACACGAUGAAACAAAACAAGUCAAAAGCACUAAAAGGGUAGAUGAGGAUAGAAUACAAAUUAGUUCAAUAGCGUAAAAUUUAAAGAUUGUAAAAGAUUGAUCAACUAUUAUUUCAUGUAGUCUAGUUUGACACGUCAAAGAUUGAUCAACAAUUAUUUAAUGUAGUCUAGUUUGAUGAUCCCAUUGUGUACGAUUAAGAUGUUAUUAUCCAAGAUUUUCCUCAUUUGACCAAUAGACUAACAACAUGUUAUAACCAGCAAUUUUCCACAUUGUUGUAAGCUUUAUGGUGCUACAGUGCUAAAUUUUGCAGCGCAUUCGAAGGACAUAUUCCUAGGUUUUGAUUAUUAGAUUGUCACGUAUCAAGUUGUCAGAGACUCUUGCUAAAUUCUUUAUGUCACACAAUUCCUUCCACUUUGCAAAUUAAGAAUUAGCUAAGUAGCUAUUUCAUGAUUGGAAAGAUAACUAAUUAACCUAACGAGGCCAUCAAGUAAAUAUUUUUCCAGAAGUUCAUUAUUAGCUUUAAUAUAAAACAAUGAUAAAGAGAAGAAUAUAGCGUGUGAGUUAGCUUUAAAUAUAUUUUUUUGAUUUAGAUAUAAGUUGUUUAGCUUAACAACUGAUGAGGAACUGGUUAAAAAAUUAGCAUUUGGAAUUCAAUGUGCUAUACUUCCCAAGAUCAGAAAGACCUUUGUCAUUUUCCACCGAUCAGUCACGUAGAAUUAAUUUUUAAAAAUCCUAUAAAUUUCAUUGUUCCCACUUUCCUUAUAGACCUUUGAUUUUCUUCAAAUUAAAAAAUAUACAUCACGGUUGCUUAUAUAAGAAAUUAUCUUACACUUACUGAGCACAUGAGUUUCAUCAAAGUUAAUUAAGAACUCACAAAAAUACAAAAAUCAUAAACAUAAUCACGACAAACAUUACUAGAAAUGUAGAAAAAUGUUAAUAAAGAAAAUAAAAGGCAAAUAAAGGAAACUUUAGUACCCGGAAAAACUGAAAACAGUGGAGAUCAAAGGUGUCGCUUGGAGGAGCUCGAUUCCCAAGUUAUUCUUAACAUUUAUUACAAAUAUGUUAAUUUUGCUGCGUUCUAAACUUAUUAUGAGUCUCCCAACAAUAAACAAGCGACUAAUUAUUUAGUUGUGGCCAAUCUAUUAAAUAAUACAAUGGAUAUACAAAAUUAAUUAAGAAACACAAGAAUAUAACUAAACCACUGGUUUUGAAUAAACAAAUAACCAAUAGGUUUUUAUCUCAUCCAACAUUCAAAAUUGGAUCUAUCCUAGCAUAGUUUUAAAUAAAUUAUAAGAAGAUUAAGGAAAAAAUAUCACCUGGAUCAUAUAAGAAUGCAAAAGAUGUUGAUCUUUAAGUUCAAAGUAUUUAUAUGGGUUGAAUUUAGAUCAAGAAAUCAUCUCAAAGUUGUUAUCAAUAAGAGUUUGAAUCAAGAAAGGAAACUGGCACGUCAACAUAAAAUUUGGUGAGGGCAAUGCGUAGGUAUAUCUACCACGCACGCAUGUUUGUUGAGUUGUUCUAGGUCAUGAAAUUGUUAUCUUGCUCACACACCAAAAUAGACAGAGUACGAGCUAAUUUGCGUCGUGUUGUGCCUGAAUAGCUUUUGGUAUUUUGUUCAUAACUUUUUCUCUCGGUAUCCGAUUGAGAUAAUUCAAAAUGCGUUGAAAAGAUAACUCCAAGGGCUUCAAUUUUUCUAAAAAUAUGAUUUCUCCAAUUUGAAUGUUUUCUAUCUGAAAAAAUGGUCACAAGUUGAAGCUAAAAAUUCGAAACAUAACUUUUUUUGCUGUAAAUUAAUUUGUGAGAAUGCUUCAACUAUAUUUCCCUCCCUUGACCUCCAAUUGUAUCCAAUUGACUAUAUGUGAUAUUCAAUAAUCAUUUUAUAGUUUGAAUCAAUCAUUGAAUAUUUACAUUUUGAUCCCCGAACCUUGAAUUUCUUUCGCUUUUGCUCCUUUUUGUUUCUUUCUUCCAAUUCCAUUAAUUUGUAUUGAGUUUUACCUAAUAAAUAAAAUUAACAUCUUAUUGAGUCAUAAAAAAUCAAAAUUUAUUAUAAUUAAUCUCAUUUGAUAAUCAAAUAAGUAUAAAACAUACACUUAUCACCUUGCAAGCGUAAGGCAAUUGUCUCUUGCGCACAUCUCUGAAUGCAGUAUUUUGGGACCGAUUGUCACCUUUAGGGUAUUUUUGGUCAUUUUUCAGGCAAUUUUCAUCUCUCAUCUUUAUUAUCGUCCAACUGAUCCAUAUGAUCUUCAAUCAUCAUUAAUAUUUACAAUGUGAUCCUUAAAGUUUGAAUUUUUUUUUUCAUUUUUGCCGAUUUUCAUUCAUUUCUUCCAAUCCCACUAAUCUGUACCGAGUUUUAUGUAACAAACAAGAUUAACACAAAAUUAAGAUAUAAAUUUUUACAAUCAAUAACAAAAAGUGUAAUUUAAUGACCCUUCCUCAAACCAUCUCAAAAAUAUUUAGUACCAUAGACAUGGAGCCAUAAAAUGAUCACGUCCUUCAUUUGGGUGUUGCCACUCAAAAUUGUUUUAAUAAUUGAAACGAGCUCGAGUUCGAGGUAGGGUAUGUUAGAAAUAUGAGCUAGGAUUUCGGAAUAAGUUAACCACAUUACCUAUUGAUAUGAAGAUAUUCAGAAAACACAAAGAGCCUGUUGGGGAGUGAUUUUUUCCCCCCAAAAAAUUGAUUUUUUGAUCGUUAUUUCACUAUUUCAGUCGUCAUAUUUGACUUCUUAUCUCACAGAUGGACCUCAUUUUUCUCAUAACGGUCAAAAAAUCAAUUUUCAAAAUCACUCCCAAACAGGCUCAAAAUAACUAUCCUACAGUUUUAUUUAGAAGCAGUGAAGAGAAUCCUAAAGUAUUUAAAAUAAGUUAAUUUUUAUAAUUUAGUGAACCUCCCAACAUUACAACAAGUAAUUGAUUAUCCAAAUGGUGCACAAACACUUUAAAAGUACAACGAAACAUGCAAGAUUAAUCGAAGAACACAAUAAUUAUUGGAUUGCUUUUCUUUAAAUUAAAAAUAAAUAAUCAAAGGAUUCGUCUUUAUUCAAUACAAAGGAAAAUUUAGCCUAGCAUGUUUUCUAUUAUAUUGUAAGAAGAAUAGUUAAUAGAUAUCACCCGAAACAUGAACGAAUGCAAGAGAUCUUUAUAUCCAAUUUCAAGCUUGAAAUUUUCAAGUUUUUGAAGUAAUUAACCUUAAUUUCUUGCUUUGUUGAUCUUCUCCCCCCAAAAUAUAUGAUGUGGCUUCUUGUUCUUCAAUGAUAUUAUGAUAUGAUAAUGGAUUAAGAGGCAAAAGAGACAUCCCUAAUGUUUAGCCCUUAUUUUGUAUUUAAUUGUCAUAGGAUUUAGGUUAGGAAAUGACCCCAAAACUUGUUUCAAAAGAGUUCAUAUCAAAGAAGGAAAAUAGUCGGAUCUGCGAAAAAUGUCCAUGUGCACAUAUCCUCAUCCUUAUCACGUGCACAUGGAGGAAGCAUUUUGCUUUCGGAUUGUAUAAAAAAUAGUUCUUUGUGUUCGUGCCAAACUUACAAGUAUAGGGGAUCAUUGAUAAGUAAUAGAUUUAAUGAGUUGAGAGUGUCGUCUUACAAGGAAUAUUAGUGGUGUAAGCAGUUUGGUUUUACUGAUUUUUGACAAAAUUUUAAACCAAACCAUUAAAACCUGUUUGAGAAAAACUCAAACCUAAAUCAAACCAUUUUGAAUGGUUUGAAAGAAAACUCAAACCUAAAUCUAACGGUUUGGUCCGAUUUUAAACCGUCAAUUUCGUAGCAUAUUUUUUGGUCUGUCUACUUUUAUGACGUUAAUUCAUUGAAUUCAAUAUAUAUUUAUAACUUACAAGCAAUAAAUCUAAAACAAUCUAAGCCCUUGUUUGAACCAAAUUUUUGGGGGAAAAAUGAAAAUUUGGACCAUUAUUCCAUAAGUCCAACCGUAUAUGUUGACUUGUUGUUUCAUACGUGGGAUCCAACCUUCUCUCCAAUGGUCAAUUUUCUCAUUAUGAUAACAUGAAAAAUAUGGCUCGAAUAGGGGCUAAAUAUCUACUAUAAAUUUGUAUAUCUAAAAUAAAGUGAAAUCACAAUAAAUUAAAAUAUAAUUUUUUUUGUUCACAUUUUUUAGGCUAAUGAUAUUAUGAUAAUGUUACAAUACAUGUCUAAUAAAUGAGAUAUAAGGCCCAAAAAACAGAUAUAAGGCCCAAAAAACAUAACGACAUCCAAUAAGAUCUCGUGAUCAUCAUAUCUUAAAAAAAGAUUACUAAUUAGACAAAGAGAAUAACCAACCACAAUAAUAAAAUAGUUGUUUAUAAUAUCUAAACAUAACAAUUAUGCAAGCUUAGGUUUGUAUGUUGUUAUGAAACGCAUUUAAUUUCAAAUUCUUACCUCAUUUUGCUCAAAAAAAUUAUUGAUUUGAAACUUUAUUCGUAGCAAAUAUUAUCACCGAAGGCCUAGGAUCUUUUUAUCUUCGAUUUGGUGUAAUGGACUACAAUUCAACUUUGAAGAGGCGUAAAAAAUCUGAAGAAAUGUGUGUGUGGUGCCGGUGGCUCAAAACUGUGUCGGAUGUUGGCUGGAGUUCAUCUGAAUUCUGAAUAGAAAAAUGAUUUUUGAUAGAAUAUGUUAGUUUUGAGAUUAUUAUAUAUAAAUUAGGAUUAUUAGAUGAUAAUAAUAAUAUAAAUGUAUUAGAAAAUUAGAAAUCGACAAAAAUAUCUACAAAUGACAAAAUUAAUGAAUUUUUUACAUAUGUGGAUGAAUUUUCAAGAAAAUUCAUUUUUUUUUUUUUUUUAUAUAUUUUUUGCCAAUCCGGUUUGGUUUUAAACCACAAUUAAAAUUCUCAAACCUAAACCAAACAAUUUUGACCGAUUUGGUUUGGUUCAGAACCAUUUCAUUAAUCGGGUCCACGUGGCACCAAACCAACUGUUUCUAAAAUGUGGUUUCGAUUCGAUUUUUCGAUUUUACAGUUUUUGAAUUAUGUAAAACAAAAAGAGAUUUUGAUUUGAUUUUUGCUAAAUUAAUCUAAGUGAGUAAUAAAAGUUUGGUUUUUAUCAUAUUAUGGAUAAUUGAUAGGAUUUAGAAUCCACCUAUUUUUAUCAAUUUCAAUUCUUGAUUUGUAAUCUAAUCACGUUCAUGUGUUCUUGACAAUCGAUAAAGUUAUUGUAUUUAACUUUUUUUUUAAGACAAAUUAAUUCUAUCUUGACCACGACUCGAAUUUAUUCCUAUCCCAAAUUUGAAUUGUUAAAACGCUUUAAAUUUUAGAUUACUUAUAUGAUUGCACUAGUAAUAAAUGUUAUUCUUAAUAUCUAUUAUAAAUAUGAUAAUUUUGUCGCGUUCUAAACUUAUUUUGAAUCUCCCAAUAGUAAACAAGCAACUAAUUAUUUAAUUGUGGCCAAUUAAUUAAAUAAUUCAAAAGGUAUUCAAAAUUAAUCAAGAAAUGCAAGAAUUAAACUAAACUGCUAGUCUUGAAUUUCAAAUAAAUAAACAAUAUGAUUCAUCACAUCCAAUAUAAAAAAUGGAUCUAUCCUAGCAUAGAUUUAAAUAAAUCACAAGAAUAAAUGAGAAAAUAUGACUCAGAUCAUGAAAUGAUACAAAAGAUGUUGAUCUUCAAGUCGAAAGUUGAAUUCUUCAAUUUCUUGAUGUAAUUGACCUUUAAUUCUUAUUAGGGCUUGAUUCUCCCAAAAGUAAUGAAUUGUACUUAAUAAAUUUGAUUAUAUUAUUGUGUAUAAAGAGGUGAGAGAGUUCUCUCACGUGUCUCUCAACAUCUGUAUUUAUUAGGAUCGAAUUUAAAUCAAGAAAUAGUCCCAAAAUUGUUACGAAUGAGAGUUUGAAUUAUGAAAGGCAUCUGGGCCAUCAGCAGAAAAUUUGGCUAGGGCAUGUGUAGGUAUAUCUACUGCGCACACAGGCAUGCUGACUUGCUCCAAGGUCAAGAAAUUGAUGUCUUGCGCUAGUGCGCGUUGGUUUGCUUUGUGUCAUCUGUGAGUAACCUUUGGUAUUUUGGUCAUUACUUUCUCUCUCAAAAUCUGAUUAAGAUGAUCUAAAAUGCGUUUCAAAGAUAACUCCGAGAGCUAUAAUUCUUAUAGCAUACAAAUUCUCAAAUUCGAACUUUUGCUAUCUGAAAAAUGGAUCUCAUGUUGAUGCUAAAAAUUCAGAGCAUAGUUUUUUUGUCUAAAAAUUGAUUUGCAAGAAUACUUUGUCUAUAUUUCACUCAUUUAGCCUCUAGUUUCAUACAAUUAAUCAUAUGUGAUAUUCAAUGAUCAUUUUAUAGUCCAAAUCAACAAUUGAAUAUUUACACUUUGAUCCUUGAACUUUGAAUCUCUUUCACUUUUGCUUUUUGUUUCUUUCUUCCAAUUCAAUUAGUUUGCCUCAAGUUUAACCAUAGAGUUGAAAAGAGCUCAAGUUUGAGUACGGGAAUGUUAGAAACAUGAACUAGGAUUUCGGAAGAAGGUAACCACAUAACCCAUUGAGAUGACGGCAUUCAGAAAACUUAAAAUAACUUUCGUAACAUUUUUAUUUAGAAGUGGCGAAGAGAAUACUAAGGUAUUUAAAAUAUGUUAAUUUUUAUUAUUUAGUGGACAGAGUGGGAGAGCCUAGGACUUUGAUUGAUUUAUUUACUAAUUGUUUAGUCAUAGUUCAAAAUAAUUCUUAAUUUGUCGUUUUAUUUGAUUAAUUCGGGGGGCAAUAUUAAAGUUGUUUAAUUAUCAAGCUUCUUGUAGCUUUUGGUAUUUAUUUCUCGGUCGCUUUUGGUUGAAUUUGGAUAAAUUAAUAAACAAUUUGGGCAAUUGUUUUUCAACUUCAAGAUACGUUAUACGAUAUCGUAGUUCUACAGAAGAAAAAGACAGAUGAAAAACUCAUAUUAAUGAAAAAUUAAGCUAAACUAUCUAUGAUUUGGGCUUGUUUGUUUCCCCUUUUUUUAAUUGCAUUCAUCCGACACUAACAUGACAUUUUAUUGUAGCAUUUAUUGUUUUCUUCUUCACUUUCCCUACCCUGCCUUUCUCUCCAAGAACACUACUUUUUACUACAUUCCUCAAUAUUGGAUAAAAGAGUGAGCAUAGAAAAAAUUACAAAAAUGACAACUACAGGUAUUCAAACCAAUGACGUAAAUGGUGGGACCCAUAAUGUGAUGUGAAAAUGAAAUCCUACAAUUUCAGAAUUGGAAACAAAUGAAGACUUAAUUUGAUAACCAUUAAUUACUUUCAGUACUAAACAUAAUGAAAUCAUAAAAUUCUUUAUAUUUGAUUAAUAUUCAAUUAAUACAUCUUUUCUCCAAGGCCUUUUUAAUUUGAUCCUAAACUUACCCCCUCAUCAAAAUUAUCUAGGAACUAUCAAUGCCCUACACAUGUAGUAUGCCUUGUGCUGCAUAGUCACAAACCAAAAACGAUGAAAAACUACGAUGAGCUCGAGUUUGAGUUUGGGAUAUCUCAUAUAACCACCUUGCCUUUUAUGUGUGAAUUGGAGACCCCUAUUUUCUUGUACUUUUGUCUUUACUUCAUUUUCUAACUUGAUUUCCAAUUAUCUCUCAUUUUGUUGGUCCACUCUAAAGGAGGUAGACCCCUUCAUUUUAACUUUUCAUCAUUUCUCUUCAUUUUCCUCUAACUCUUUUAGCACGAAAGCCUCGAUCGAAAUUGAGUUAUCUAAAUCAUAUUUUUCAUUCUCAUUUAACCAUACAUUUUAGGGGACUUGCAAACUUAUGAUCUUAAAAACUUUUCUGAAUUGGACUUAUGUAAAACUAAAAUUUUAUCUUGAACUAUGAUUUAGAUUGUAUUAGUCCAUUUAGAAUUGUAGUAAAUUCUAUAAAACUAGAUAAUAUUAUAAAUAAUAAUUAAGAGUUUAUUAGUAUAUCUUUUCGAUUGACACAAAUUUGUCACCGAGUCUCACAAAGCUCCUUGUAAAUUAAGAGUUGACUGACAAAGAUUUUGAUGAAAGUUUUAACAAAUUUUGAUAAAUUUAAAUAAGACGCGUAAUUAAAAAUUUGAUAAAAAUUGUGGAUCACUUGAAAUUUAAUUAAUUCAAUUUGUAAAUGAUUACGUACACACGAUGCCAACUUCCCAACACUAGGAUGGAUACAUGCAAGCAAUUUCCAAGAAACUAUAGGGCCGUCGAUCUUUCACUCUGAAUAACGUCGUCUUAAAAUAUUCAUCUCAUCUCGUCUAUAUAUGGAGAAAAAUUGACUUCUUUUCGUUCAAUAUCGUACGUUUGACAUCAGAGUCACGGACUCCCGUUACAAAAUUAUGAAGGAAAAUAACCACCUUGUAUCUUAAUUUUUGUGACUUGAAUGGACGAAUUUUUCCCAUGUCCUUGUGUAUAUUGUUGUUCAGUAAAAUUUCGAGAGCAUAUGUGAUCGUUGACAAAUAAUAUAUUUAGUGAGUUGACAGUAUCGUUCCAUAGAAAAUAAUUUUGAAUUCAAGUUUACUAGUUUUUAUAGAAUUCGAAUUAUGUAAACAAAACAGAGAUUUUGAUUUGAUUUUAUGUUAAAUUAUAUAAGAACUUGGUAAAAAGUUUUUUGGUAUUAAAUUAUGGAUGAUUGUGAAGAGCAAGCAGUUGUCGUUGUAGUGUAUUUUAAGAAAGGGAAAUAAAUAUUAGAAUAAAUCUCUCUGUCCCGGGUUGGGGACAGGGUUAAAAACAAGGGCGCCACAUGUUUUUAACCUUGUCCCCAACCCGAGACAGGGAGUACGGCUGUAAAUAUUAAAUGUAGUUUAAUAUUCAAAGUAAUACAUAUUUUAUAAAGCUUUAUUCCUUCUAAAACUCCAUAUAUCCAACGAAGUAUAAUUUGAUUAAUCAGUAGCAUAACCAUAUAGCAUGUAACUUUGACGCUAUGUCCUUGAUCUGCAUAGUCGGAACACGAAAAUGACGAAAAUCUAUCAUAUGCUUAGAUUUGAAAUCGGGAUAUCUCCAACACGAAAAUUGAAUUCUUAAAACAACUUUCUUUUGCUUCUUCUUUACUUCAUUUUCCAAUAUGUCUUUAUCAAGGAUUUUCCUCUUCUUUUACAUAUACAUACAUGACCACCACCAAUNUAUAAGAUUAUCAAACUUUAUUUUUAAUUGUAUAUUUCACCGGACUCAUUUUAUCCAUACAUUUGUUCAAAAUUUUAUCAAAAUUGGCUAAAACUUGUAAUGAGUGUUUAUAAAAUUGAUAAAAGUUGUAGGUGUUAUAAAAUAUAUUAAAAUUGAAAUUGGAUCUAAAUAAAACUUGAUAAAAUUUGGGCAAACCUUUAUGAAACAAACACUAAAUAGAAUAUAUGUAUGUUUUAAGUUGUCAAGGGGACAUAUCUUUUCAUUCAAUUUAUGUUUAAGUUGUCAAGGGGACAUGUAUUUUCAUUCUCUAUUUCCUAAAUUUGUACAAGAGUUUCGUUAAAAUUUAUACGCAAGCAAUUUUCAUGAAAUUACUGUAAGUAUUAUGUCCUAGGUCCAAUCAACUUUGGACAUAAAUAUUUUUAUAUAUAAUUAAUGCAAUUAAAUGGCAGAUCUAUUAUUUAAUUAAUAGACAAUUAAAUAAAUAAUAGAGUCCGUAGAUUCAAAUAUUUGUAAUUUGUUAAUCACAAGGAGUUGUGAUUGUGAGAUACAAAUUACAUCUGAUUAAAUCUUAAAUCAUCCGUGGUCGUAAGUAAUAACGAAAUACGGAUAUCGUUAUUACGGAUAGAUCAUCACGUGUGGCAUUUCUUACUUGUGAAGUAAGUAGCUGAUCUCACAAGCUAAAGUGUGGUGACACUUAAAUGAACACGUGGAUGUUUUUGUUAUAGAACAAAACAUUGGAGACCCGUCGAGAGAUUCCACAUGGAUAACUAUCUAAGUGUCAGUAGUUAAUCUCUAACGUUCGGUAGUGAAAUUGGUCCUUUGACUUAAGGUUGUCAUGGUACCUUAUAUGAGGACAGUCAUACUUUGACGGUGUUGGAUGUUACUCUGAAAAGGGCCGCUAAUACGACAUCGUUUGGGUACGUCAAGAAUCGCAUGAAGGUUGUGAUUGAUCAAUAAAGGAUUCGUCACUCUUAGAUAGUAGGAGAUUAUGAUCUGCGUUUUAUUCAAUUAAGUCAAUGAUGAAAUUCUUGGCCAAUGUGUACUCAUAAGUCGAAAAUGAGUUUUCGAUUUAUAUUGACUUAAUAGUGGAGUGAAAGAUAUGAUCGAUGAUCGAGAUUGACACAACUUCAUAUCUCGUAAUUGAUCGGAUCAUACUGACGAAGGGAUUAUAGUUUCACGGUAAACGAACGAGUUUGGUUUUAUCAUACCACGUGACAUUUCCCGUCACAUGUAUUGCCCUGACACAUUGCUAGAUGUCAAUCAGGGACGGCGAAUGUGAAUUGACGAUAAAUUAAAAGGGUGUUUUAAUUUAUCAAUUUUGAUUAGAUCAAAAUAAUAUUUCACGUCAUUGGGUAUCGUGGUCGGGAACCUAAUGGGUCACACAUAAAAGAGAAUUGGAAGAUUGCAAAUUACCAAUUGAUUAAUUUAACAAUCGUUGGAUAAAUUAAUUAAUUAGAUUUGUUAUUUAUAUUUUCGAAUUAAUUAAUUGAAUUAAUUAAUUCACGGACCGGGUUUAAUUAAUUGGAUUAAUUAAUUAUUGGACCGGAUCGAGCCGAGCCGAGCCUGUUUGGGUUUAUAUAAAUAACAAACUAGGGUUUGAGGUCCAUUAGGUUUUCAUUAUUCUUGCUGGCGCAAGAGAAAAUCCUAGAGGCUGCAAUCAUAUUCUCUCUGUGGAUCACCGUUGGAGGCUGGACAAUUGGACAGCUGUGGUGGCGAGUCAAGGUUGUGGAACGAAAAGAAAAGCAAAAAGAUUGCAGAUCUGGAAAAGGUACAAUCUUAUCACAAUUUCUAUCUAAACACAAAGGCGAUUCUUGGUGGGAAUCGAAAAUUAUUUUAAAUUCCGCUGUGCAUGUAUAAGUAGAUUCCCAACAAUUACAGGGCUACCGAUCUUUCACAUUAAAUUGUCUUCAUACAAAUAUAAAUCUCUCAUCUAUAUAUACAUUAACAUUGGGCCUCUUUUGAUUUACACUACCUAUUUCUUUCUCAAACUGUCGGAGUGACGAAGGAGUUGAUAAUCUACCGACAUGGAGCAGAAUGGGAUGGAUUACAAGGCCAAGAAGUUGAUCAGUUCUGACUACCCCAACACUACAUUUUUUGAGAGUAGCAGCAAAUUCAAAACAUACCUUUUUGUUACUCCGGUUCGAUCAGGAGCCGUCAAACGCAGAAUCUUUACAGUCAUCUUCAGCAAAUUAAUAAGUUUCUUGCAAAUCGCGUUUCCCUGCAUGUUUUCUGGAUCAUGAAAACAUGCAUGCAUACCAGCAAGCUUAGGAAAUAAUAAUCUAUUUCUUUGAUUUUCUGCAAGUAAUUGAUCUGUUCAGUUUUGAUAUGGUUAGUUCUUUGUUGUUGGAGGCUAUGUUUUAGCUGAUAUUUUGUAUGCACCGUUGGCAGUUUCAAUUUUUAAAAUUUAAAUAAUUCUUUCUCCUCUUUUUUCUUUCUUUGGGCAUACUACCAUCCAUUUGUUUGAUUCUUUCUUCAAUUUUCAGAAAUUAUAGAAAUUUGUCUUUGCACUAGGCUAAGCUGAGCCAGCUCGUUCCUUAGACGCAUGAGCUAGGGUAGAGUUGAAUUCGACUCGUGUUCACAAUCAAGACUUGGUUCGGCCCUAUUGCCGAUCAUGGGUCGAGUUGAGCAGUCCACAAACCCGUGACCCAUCAAAUGGAGAACAAGAAACGAAUUCCUAAAUGUUUAUCAAAAGGUUAAAACUCUACUGGUUAUCACUAAAAUUAUGUAUUUGUUUCAAUUAUAUCACUAUCUACGGAAGUAAUGAUUCUGUUGAUGUAUUAAAAGAUGAAGCCUUAGGUGGUAAAUGAUACUCACAAAUGCACCCCCCCCCCCCAAAAAAAAAAAAAAAUAAAAAAAUUGAUGAAAAGAAAAUCAACCAAAAUUGAAUAAAUUGUCUGAGCACCGGGGUUAAAUUGGGGGGGGGGGGGGGGGAAAAUGUGGGGGGGGGGGGGGGGGGGGGGGUGAAACGUGCAAUUAAAUUCACUAGAAAAAGAAAUGCAUGUUGAUGAAGCUUUUCUUUAUCUUAGAACAGCUCUAAUGCAACAACAAAUUACUCAUAAAUUUUACAGCAUAAACAAAAAUAAAUAGUUUUUAAAAACAAUCUCUAAGAAGAAAAAAAUGUCUUGAUGGACGUCUAGAUGUAUGGUUAUUGUUAGACAUGCUUCUCAACAAUUUAAUUAAUUCUGUUUCUAUUUUUAGAAUAUUAGAUUUUCUUUCACUUCCGCUUUAUUUUAUUAUCUUUUUCUUAAUUUAAUGAAAGACAUAUGUAGGCAAAAAUUUUGAUGGAACGCAUUGGUACGAAUUUUACACUUAAUCACCUAUUCAUUAGACAUCAAUGCUAUGUUGAUUGAAAACUCUUCUAUUUGAAUGUCACAUAAAUUGCAAUCCAUAUAAUGCAUCAUCAUUUUGUGUUGUAAGUAGCACUUUCGAAAAGAGUUUGUAUGAUUCAUAUAUCAAAUACUAAUAUUAUAUAAUAAAUUCGAUCUUCAUAGUCACUACGUUAAUGAAAAGAAAUGUUCACAAACAUUACAUGUGACAUUGAUGUCAUCCUGGGAUAGAACUAUAAAGAAAAAUUAUCACUUUGCAUCUUUACUUUUUGGCUUGAACUAUAAAGAAAAAUUAACAAGCAUGGGUUUCAUUCCGGUUGAUGGUAGGUUCUUGAGUGCCUUGCUUUUGAUUUCACAUUUGCACGCACCUUUUGUAAGUGUUAUGUCCUAGAUUCAAUUAACUUUGGACAUAAAUACUUUUCUUAUAUAAUUGAUGCAUUGUAUAAUAGAUUUAUUUAAUUAAUAUUCAAUUAAAUUAAAUAGAGUCCGUAGAUUCAAUCUUGAUAAUUUGCUAAUUACAAAGAGUUGUGUUUGUGAGAAACAAAUUACAUAUGAUUGAAUCUUAAAUCGUCCGUGAUCGUAAGUAAUAAUGAGAUACAGAUAUCGCUAUUACGGAUAGACCAUCACGUGUGGCAUUUAUUACUUGUCAAGUAAGUAGCUGAUCUCACAAGCUACAGUGUGGUGACACUUAAAUGAACACAUGAAUGUUUUGUUAUAAAAUAAAAUAUUGGAGACCCAUCGAGAGAUUCCACAUGGAUAACUAUCUGAGUGUCAGUGGUUAAUCCAUAAUGUUCGGUGGUGAGAUUGGUCCUUUGACUUGAGGUCGUCAUAGUACCUUAUAUGAGAACAAUCUUGUUUUGACGGUAUUGGAUUUUUUCUGCCAAGGGCCGUUGAUAUGGCAUCGUUCAGGUAUGUCUAGAAUCAUAUGAAGGUUGUGAAUGAUCAAUAGAGGAUUCGUUACUCUUAAAUAGUAAGAGACUAUGAUUUGUACUUCAUUCAAUUAAGUCGAUAACGAAAUCCUUGGUCAAGGUGUACUCAUAAGUCAAAAAAGAGUUUUCGCCUUAUAUUGACUUAAUAGUGAAGUGAAAGAUAUAAUGGAUAAUCGAGAUUGACAUACUUUCAUAUUUCGUAAUCGAUCGGAUCAUAUUGACGAAUGGAUUAUAGCAUCACGGUAAACGAACAAGUUUGGUUUUGUCAUACCACGUGACAUUUCUCAUCACAUGUAUUUCCCUAACACAUUGCUAAAUGUCAAUCUGGAACUGCGAGUGUGAAUUGGUGAUAAAUUAAAAAGGUGCUUUAAUUUAUCAAUUUUGAUUAGAUCAAAAUAAUAUUUCAUGUCAUUAAGUAUCGUGAUCGAGAACAUGAUGGGGUGCACACUAAAUGAGAACUGGAAGAUUGUCAAUUAAUUAAUUUAACAAGCGUUGGAUAAAUUAAUUAAUUGAGUUAUUUAUUUAUAGGCCUGAAUUAAUUAAUUGGAUUAAUUAAUUCACGAAUUGAAUUUAAUUAAAUGAGUUAAUUAAAUAUUGGAUCGAGUCAGGCCAAGCCUGUUCGAGCUUAUAUAAAUACGGCUAGAGUUUUCAAAAUCUGGAGAAAAUUCAUUAUUCUUGCUAACACAAAAAGAAAACAUUAAUCCUGUAAUCUUGUUCUUUGUGUGGAUCACCGUUAGACAACUGAACAACUGUGGGUGACAAAUCAAAGUUGUUGGAAUGAAAAGAAUGGUAAAAGGUUUGCAGAAUUUUUCAAAGGUUCAUCUUUUAUCACAAUUUUUAUCUAAACAAAAAAACGAUUUCUGAUGGGAAUUAAAAUUAUUUUAUUUUCAGCUGCGCAUAUUUAAGUAGAUUCCCAACAGUGGUAUCAGAGCCAACUUUGUAUUUGUUAGAAAUUGAAUUACCUGUUGAAGAAAUCAAAAGUUGAUUUUGUUCUUCUCUUGUUUCUAGCAAUUAGAAGAAAAUUAGAUUUUCAAAUUUUAAAAUCUAUUUUGACAAGAAAAUCAAUUUUUUGAUCAAAAGUGGAUAGGAAUUAAUAACUUGCUGUGGUGGUGAUCGACGGCUGCAACUGUUGCCGACGAAGCACGAGGGCACUGCCGCACGUGAGCACCGUGCUCGCUGUCCAGUGGCGACAGGCGUGCGCUACCGCACACGGCCACCGUGCUUGCUGUCCAGGAGUUGCUUGUUGCCGCUACAGUAGCAAUGAGGUAGCAGUGCAUAUCGCUGUUGCUGCUUGCACUUGCUGUCGAAGGGUGGCGUCGGCGCACGGGCAGGUUGAAAAUGAAGGCAUCGACACCAAUGAAAGAGGAAAGAGAAAUAAUUUAGGGUUUCAAUUACUUGGAACAGGUGGAGAGUUUUGGGUACGGGGGCUUGUCACGCAAUUUAUGAAAUUGCAGGCCCCCGCCUACAAUUAUGUAAAGAGUCAUUUUGCAAUUUUAAAUGAAGGAGCUAUGUUGGAAAUUUUUAAUAGGGUCAAAAUUGCUAUUUUAAAAUAAAGGGCCUUCUUGCAAUUUGAGAAGUUGAGGGGCCUUGUUAAUAAAUUUUAAUUGGGUCAAAUUGCAAUUUCCAAAAUGAUUUUGAAUUUGAAUUUUAAAAUUAUAUUUUAAGUGGGUUCAACCCAUAAUUUUAAUUUUGACCCAAAUUAAUAUUUUUAUUUAAAAUUGACGCCUUUUCAUAUUUUAGUUAAAAUAUGAUUUUAACUUAAAUAUUAAAUUUGACCCUAAAUUGAAUUUUAUUUUAUUUACGAGUGUUAUUCCAGAUUAAAAUAUUAAUUCAAUUUAAAUUAGAGUUGGACUCUAAUUUAAUACUUAAUUAAAAUUUGAUUUUGAUUAAUUUUUCUCCCAAAUACAUUCUUUAAAUUAGAAUUAGAUUCUGAUGUGAUAUUUAACUAAAAUUUGAUUUUAAUUAAAUUGUCUUGUCCUAAAAUUUUUCUUAAAAUUAGAGUUGGACUCUAAUAUAUUGUUUAAUUAAAAUUUGAUUUUAAUUAAAUAAGUUUGCCCUUAAAUCUUGGAGUUAGAGUUGGACUCUAAUUUUGCUAUUUAAUUAAAAUUUGAUUCUAAUUAAAUAAUCUCGCCCUAUAAUGUGGAAUUAAAGUUGGACUCUAAUUCGAUAUUUAAUUAAAAUUUGAUUUUAAUUAAAUAUGCCCGUCAAUUAAAUUAAUUAAUUAAUAUGAUUAAUUAAUUAUUUAACUAUUGCGAUUGAUUUGUCUAAAAGAGUAUUGACAACCUUAAUUGCUAGAAACUAGAAACAUAUUUGCAUAUAAUAUUAGAUAUUAUAUAGGCAUACAUUUAUGUGAUGAAUGUAUUAUUAGUGGACGAUUAUGGAUUCGACCAUAUGGAUGUGUUUAAUGGUUAAUUUUAUUCUUGUUGUUUUAUGAGCCUGCGAGCUCUUAAUUGUUUUGGGCUUACGAGCUCGUUAUUAUUGUUAUUAUUAUGGGCAUGCGGGCUUUUAAUCAUUUUGAACCUGCGAGUCCGUUAUUGUUAUUGUUACUAUGGGUCUGCGAGUUCAAUUUCAUUUAGACUUAUGUGCCAACUAGUAUAUGAUACAUAUUGCAUUUGGACUAAUUGAAGAAUCAAGAACAGGAGGAGACCAGAGAGAUGGAGCAUUGUAUGAGUCAAUGCAAUACCCCCUAGGAAUUGACCAAUUAGUCUUCCUCAUGGCUCGGAGAGACUAGAUAGUAAAAAUCCAUAAUCGUCCACACUAUUAUACUAUAUUAUAUAUGUUUAUUUGUAUGGUAGAUUAUAAUAAAAUAUAUAUAAUUGUUACGAUGAGGCUUUUGAAUGCAAAAUCCCUCCAUAAAAUAUUAAGUCAAUUUAUUAUUCGUCUUCCAUCAUUAUAGUGAAAAAUCAGAGUCCCAAAUCGUCUCAACUUGUUGAGUACACUCAAUGCUGGUCUAUUAGAGAUAUGUUUGACACUAUGAAAUAUUAGAUAUUUCUAAAUGAUGGGUUUGAUUUAACUAAAAUUUAUUUUUUGUUGAAUACACUCAAUAAGAUCAAUUUUAAAGGCAUGUUAAGCUAACACAUAAGAUGUGUUAAGAUAAAGAGUUGUCAGCUUAAUGAUCUGGGAGUUGUAUGUGAUACAAUUGAUAAUAGUAUCUACCCAUAUGUUAUAUUAAGGUUUGUUGAGUACACUCAAGGUCUUGGUAUAACAGAUGAGAUCCCAGCCCACCAGAAGUCAAGUUUAUGCUCCAUAAAUUUAUGUGAGGGGGUCAUAAAUUUGAAUUAAACAGUGGGAGCAUAAUUAUUUUAAUAAAAGUCCAUGUUAAAUUAAUUAAUGCAUUUUAUAUAUUAUUCUUUUUCCUUUUCAUCUUUUAUAUUUAUUGAAUUGUGAGUAACCAUGUGUAUUAGAUUGGCAUAAUGGAUCCCAACAACCAAAUUGAAUCUUCUUGAUUGGCACCACAAUUUGAGAAUUGUUCUCAGGCAUGGGAAAGUUGGUUGUCCUUAAGCAGCCCUUUCCAAAGACACCUGGUGAUGACUCAAUUAAGAAAAAUGUUGUUACUAUAAUAACACAGUGAUGACAAUAGUACUAUAACAUGUGUGAUGUUUGCAUUACGUCACCUGAGUUACGAAAGCAACAUGAGAGUAUAAUUGCUAGCACAUGAUUUUUCAUUUCAAAGAGUUGUGUGAUAAUAAUCAUAUGUGGAAGAAUAUGAGACUUCCAAACAACAAUACCGAUGAAAAAUGACAGAUGAACCUUUAGUCAGUGCUCGUGUACUGAAGAUGAUUGACAUUGAGAAGUAGUCUCAAUUAGGUUCAAUCAUGAACUAUGAACUAAGUAUUGACUUAGUUUUGCAAUCUCUGUCAUAUAGUUAUUCAUACUAAUUAUGAAUUAUGAUAUGAAUAAGCUCAAAUGCAUACUCAUUAAGUUAAGCACCUGCUUAAGACUAUUAAGCUCGAUAUCAAAGUUAGUAGUGGGCAAAGCAUUGAUUCUUCUAAGAGUGUUAAGAUGAAAUCUAAAGGGGCUUUGGGAAAACAUUCAAUAUGGUUAAGACAGUCUAAGUGAAAGACAAUACCAAAUCUAAUGACCCUUGUUUUCAUUAUAAAAUGAAAGAUCAUUGGAAGAAAUAUUGCAAGGCUUACGUCUACUUCAUGAAUUUCUUAGGUAUUUGAUACCAGAUAUGGAUCUCAUAUUCAUAGAAAUAUGGGGAAACUAAAUAGAAGUAGACUACUGCAAAAGAAAGAAGUUGAUCUACACGUUGAAAAUGAGCAAAGGUUGCUGCAUUGCCCGUAGGAGCAUACUUCUUGCCGUUGCCUUUUGGCUUUGUAUUAGAGUUAGAGAAAUGUUACUUUGUACCCACCAUAGCUGAAAUAUUAAGAUGUAUUUCAAGUUCAAACAUGAACUAUUUGAAUGUUAAGGACAAUUGUUGUUCCUACUUAUCUUAAUUAAGAUCUUAAUGAUUAUGGUAAGUUACAAAAAUAAUAUUUAUAUUCUAAACACUAAGUAUUCUAUAAUGAGUAUAGAAGUUAAGAGGCAUAAAAGUAAUAAUCUGAAUAAUGCCCAAAACUGGCAUUGUAGAUGUGGUCAUGUAGAUGAAAUGCAAUUCCAAAAUUACAUAGAGAUGUAUACAUGGAGUCAAUUAAUUUGAAUCAUUUGACAAGUGCAAAUCAUGCUUGUUAGGCACAAUGACCAAAUCUCCUUUUACUUGAAAGGGAGAAAUAUCUGCAUGAUUACUGGUUUAAUGCAUAAGUGAUGUAUGUAGACCCAUGUCAAUUAAUGCUAGAUAAAGUUUCUCUUAUUUCAUCAAUGAUCAUGUAUACUUAAUGAAACUCAAACAUGAAACUCUUGAAAAGUUCAAGAGAUUCAAACUAGAAGUAGAGAAACAAAUAGGUAAAGAUAUCUUCACGUCAAGAUCCGAUCGAGAUGGGAAUAUCUUAAAGAUGAAAUUCUAGAUUAUCUAAGAGAAAAUGCGAUUAUCUUGCAGUAGACUCCUCCAUAUACACUACAGCAGUGGUGUAUCUAAAAAGAUGAAUUGUUAACUAUUACAUAUAGUACGAUUAAUAAUAAGCCAUGCAAACUUCUCAAAAUCGUUUUGGGGUCAUACACUGAUUGCAAUGUGCUGCACACUAAAUCAUGUUCCAUCUAAAUUGGUCAACAAAACUCCAUACGAGUUAUAUAAAAGCAAUAGUCCCAAUUUAUCUCAUAUGAAAGUUUGGGACUAUGACGCUAAUUUGAAGCGCCCUGAAUCGGAUAAGUUUGAGACUGUAUUUGAUAAAAACAUAUUUGUGGGAUAUUCAAAACAAAUAUUUGGAUAUCAAUUCUAUUAACCCCUUGAGAAGAAAGUCUUCGUCUCACGACAUAUCAUUUUCUAAGAGAAAAUGUUUACUCUAGGAGAGGACAGUGGGAGCAAAAUAGAUUUUGAAAGAGUUCAAGAGUUCACAGAUAUAGUUAACCAAAUAGAUGAAUCCAAGUUUGAUCCCAUAUCUGAUAUGGGGCAUACUCUUGAUCAGGAAGUAGAGAUUCCUGAUGACAUGUCAGUUCUGUAUGAAUCUAGUAGGAUCAUUCGACCUUCAAGAAGGUUCGAAUUCGUGAUUACUAAUCAGGUAUUACUGAUCCAGGAUGAUAAACCUACUAGUUGUACAAAAAUAAAGUCAAGUGUUAACUUAAAAGAGAUAGCAAAAGGCUAUGAAACCCGAUAAGAACUCGACGUAUGUGAACAAGGUUUGGACCUGAGUCAACCCUCCUGAUGGAAUAAAACCCAUAGGUUGUAAAUGAUUUACAAUAAAAUGGUUGACAUUGAUGGGAAUAUCCAUACAUACAAAGUAAGGCUAGUAGCAAAAGGUUAAGUGUUGACCUUGACGAAACCUUUCGCCUGUAGCCAUGCUGAAGUUCAUUCGAAUUUUAGGUGCAAUAGUUAUAUACCAUGAUUGCUGGUUAAAUUAAACCUCUUGGAGUUGAAAUCUUCGAUUUUAUAGAAAAAUCAAAAUAUUUGAUUUUAUCAAAUAUAAAGACAAUUACAAAAAGAUAGUGGGAGUAUUAUCGUAUUCCUAAUAUUAUUCAUAAAUGAUAUGGAAGAAGCAACUUAAUCUAUAAAGAUAGAUCUAGAAUAUUGAUUUAAUCAUCCCAAUCUGCAUAGGUAAAAUCUUAAGAAGAUUUUAUGGAGAAACUGAUUUACCCCUAAACGAUGUGAUGGAAAUGUUCUAAUCAUGAAACAACCGUUGGUUAAAUGGCAGAAACCUAAUACAUGAUUGUUUCAAAAGCAACAAUGAGUUGCAAUGUGGAUCAAGAUAUUCAUUAAUGAACUUGGAGGAGUUCCUAAUAUUGUUGAUCACGUGCCAUUGUAUUGUGAUAACAAUAGAGUCAUCACACAAUCGAAGGAACUAAGGUCUCAUCAAUGAUCUAAACAUGUAUUGUGACGGUAUAAUCUUAUUGGAGAGAUAAUAUAUAGAAAUGACGUGAAGAGAAGAACGAAUUUGCACAAUUAAUUGUAGAUCCAUUGACAAAGAGUUGUCGUAGUAUAAACAUGAUCGUCGUGUAGACUCUUAUGAUAUUGGAUACAUAAGUGAUUGAAUCUAGUACAAAUGGGAGUUUGUAAGUGUUAUCCUCUAGGUCUAAUCAACCUUGGACAUAAAUAUUUUUAUUAUAUAAUUGAUACAUUGUAUGACAGAUCUAUUUAAUUAAUAUUCAAUUAAAUUAUAUAGAGUUCGUCGAUUUAAUCUUGAUAAUUUGCUAAUUACAAGAAGUUGUGAUUGUGAGAUACAAAUUACAUAUGAUUGAAUCUUAAAUCAUCCGUAGUCAUAAGUAAUAAUGAGAUACGGAUAGACCAUCACGUGUGGUAUUCUUACUUGUGAAGUAAGUAGCUGAUCUCACAAGUUAAAGUGUGGUAAUACUUAAAUGAACCGUGGGUGUUUUGUUAUAGAACAAAACAUUGGAGACCCGUUGAGAGAUUCCACAUGGAUAACUAUUUGAAUAUCAAUGGUUAAUCUCUAACGUUUGGUGGUGGAAUUGGUCCUUUGACUUGAGAUCGUCAUUGUAUGAAUUGGUGAUAAAUUAAAAGGGUAUAUUAAUUUAUCAAUUUUGAUUAGAUCAAAAUAAUAUUUUACGUCGUUAGGUAUAGUGAUCGGGAACCUGAUGGGUCGCACACAAUAGGAGAACUGAAAGAUUGUCAAUUAAUUAAUUUAACAAGCGUUGAAUAAAUUAAUUAACCGGGUUGCUUAUUUAUAGGCCUGAAUUAAUUAAUUGGAUUAAUUAAUUCAUGGAUUGGAUUUAAUUAAAUGUGUUAAUUAAAUAUUGGACUGGGUUAGGCCAAGCUCGUUCGGGCUUAUAUAAAUAUGACUAGGAUUUUCAAAAUCUGGAGAGAAUUCAUUAUUUUUGUUAGCACAAGAAGAAAAUUCUAAUCCUGCAAUCUUGUUCUCUCUGUGGAUCAUCGUUAGACGCUGGACAAUUGAACAGCUGUGGGUGACAGAUCGAAGUUGCUGGAACGAAAAGAAUGGCAAAAGAUUUAUAGAAUUUUUCAAGGGUACAUCUUUGAUCACAAUUUCUGUUUAAACAUAAAGACUAUUCCUGGUGGGAAUUAAAAUUGUUUUAUUUUCGCUGCACAUGUUUAAGUAGAUUCCCAAAACCUUUGUUGGUUGUUCUUUGAGUUUGAUGGAUCUCACCUUCCGUGUGCAAGUAUAGAAUUUGACCUGAAAGAAACCUUGGAUUCUAUGCUCGAGCAAGGGCAUAAGAGUGAUAUAGACUAUCUCCCAUCUUCUUGAAGAGAAAAAAGACCACUAACUGUGGGGUUAGUUUCCUUAUCGAAUGUUAUUAAUGCUUAGUUUUCCUAUCGUCCUUGAUACAUGCGUGUUGCUCUCUAAUGUGUACAAUUUAAUUUGCUUUCUCUUGCACAACUUUCUCCAUUUAAUCGCGUAUUGAUAUGUAGAAAAGACAUUCGACUGGAGCAUGGCUUGGUUCAUAGUGGUUAAUUGUCGACUGUAGGCCAUCGUAGGGUUGAUGAGCGUGGGUCGAUUGUUUUGUGGUCCACACCCGAGUAAUGAUUUCGAUUUUUAUUUAUCCAUUGCCGAUCCUUAAUCAAUUUUUGGCUCGUUUGCUGGUCGUCGUCUAGCCCUUCGAGGUUAUCUCGAAUGUAGAGCGUAGGGUCUAGUGGUUUAGGGUCUUAACCAAUUUUUGGUUUUGAAAGCUCUCCACUAGGACCAUAGAGCUUUGUUGGGUAUGUACUCGAUCUAUUGGUUUUAUUGACCUUCGCCUGGCACCUUAUGUUGCGUCGAGUGUAUUGUGUAUUGUCUAAUGGUUUUGGGCCUUAGCCAUUUUUUGACUCUUUAGGCUCUCUACCGAGAUCGUAUGACUUUGUUGGGCGUAUACCCGAUCGAUUUCGUUGUCCCUAGCCAACCCUCUUGGGUUGCAUUAGACUCAAUUUAUUGGUUUUGUUGAUAUCUGCCUCGAGCAUAGAGUGUGUUAUCGAGUGGUUUAGGGCUUUAGCCAUAUUUUGGCUUUUUAGGCUCUCCACUGAGAUCGUAGGGCACUGUUGGGUUUGUACGGGGAAUUUAAAGCCAGACAUUGACAUAUAAAAUGUCUGGAUUUGGGAGAUUAGGAGGCACACUGGGACGUCCCAACUUGGCUGGCCUUUCUUUAGCACCUUCAUCAUUUGUCACCACCCAAGAACUCAUUAAAUAAAGUCAAUAAUUACAGUGGGAUGUGCCUUUAGCAGGCAUUACAUUAGGGAAUUUAACAAAACCACCUAUCUACUGUAUUUACAGGGACUAUGACUUAUUAGUCUACUUGACAGGGCCUACUUAUAGUAUUUUUUAAGAUGCUCGACGUUCUACGGCCUACUUAGCUGUUUCUCUUUCAUGUCCUUCAGACUAUAAGCCCAUUUUUCAUGGUUGCAAAUCACUUCAUAUGGUCUUUCCCAAUUUGGCCUGAACUUAGGAGGAGGAUGUCCAACUACGCCUGUGUCCCUUAACACAAGGUCUCCCAACUGGAAAACCCUUGGUAUUACCUUUCUGUUGAAAUACUCAACAGCUCUUGACUUGUAAGUUGCCAUCUUUAUGAUCGCCUGCUCUCUCAUCCCUUCAAACAAGUCAAGUUCCACCUUGGUGCUUCGCCAGUCGGUUCCCGAGGGAUUGGGUGGUAUGCCCAUAGCACAUUGGGCAAUUCGUCUAUCGAGAGCCUUUUCUCUUUUUCUAAUCUUAUAUUUAGAUCCCACAAUAUGGUAUGAUUUGUCACUUCAGCUCGUCCUUUCGACUGUGGAUGAGCAAAUGAAGUGAGCCUAUGUUCGAUGUGAUAGCUCUCGUAAAAGGCUCUGAAGCUAUGAUUGUCAAACUACCUGCCAUUAUCUGUAAUAAUCACUCUGGGUAUACCAAACCUGCAUUUAAUAUUUCUCCCCAUAAAACCCCGUAUCUUGGCUAUCAAGAUGGUGAAUGAUUCCGCCUCCACCCACUUAGUAAAGUAGUCGAUGACAACCAGUAAGAAUUUUCUCUGUCCUUUAGCCAAAGAUUACUGUCUGUUGCUCAGCUAGAACAUGAAUCAAGUUCCUAUAGAGUUGACAAGUAUCACACUUUCUUAACAAAUCUUUAGUGUCUUCUUUCAUAAUGGGCUAGUAGUAUUAUUGUUGUAGAGCUUUGAAGGCAAGGGAGGUCGUCCCUUGACGGUUACCACAAAUUUUUGCAUGUACCUCGAAUAGCAACUCUCAUGCUUCUGCCGGUCGUAGACACUUCAAAUAGGCAUGAUGAAACCUUGCUUGUAGAGUUGUCCAUCGAUGAUGGUGAAUGAAGUUGUUCUAACCCUCAGCCUCUUUGCCUUGAACCCAUCCUCUGGUACUUUGUUCUCUGUGAGAUAUUCAAUCAUCAGGUCCAUUCAACUUUUUUUGUGCUCUAUGUUCGCAACAUCAACCAUGUGUUGUACUCUAGGUUGCACAGGACUUGCACAUUUGCUUUGCGGGGCAAGUUCCUCAGGCUAACAGAUGCAAGCUUGGCCAAUGCAUCUACCCGUUCAUUGUCUUUUCGAGGGACCUUAGUUAUCUUGAAUCUUAUAAACCUCAUUUACAAAUCUUUUACUUUCAUCAGGUACGCCACCAUCUUUUAGUCCCUUGCUUCGAAUUUUCCCAUCACCUAUCCAACUAUCAGUUGUGAGUCGCUGUAAAUUUCCACCGAGCAUACCCCCAGUCUAGCUACCAAGACUAGGCCUGUGAUCACAGUCUCAUAUUCAGAAUCAUUCUUUGUAGCCAGGAAUUCGAAGCGUAAUGAGUAUUGAAACUCUUCGGAGUUCGACCCUAUCAUCAUGACCUUUACUCCGAAUCCUUCACCACCAGAGGACUCGUCCACAAAAAUUAUCCAAUCUGCCUACUGUCCCAUAGGCUAUUCUAGUGGGAUGGUGAACUAGAUGAUGAAGUCUACUAGAGCUUAUGCUUUUACAGUUGUUCUUGGCUUGAACUCAAUGUCAAACUACCUCAACUCAAUUUCCCAUCUCAACAGUCGCCCUGAAGAUUUGGUCGAUGUAGGAUUUACUUGAUAGGCUGGUUAAUUAUUACCUACACCGUGUGAGAUUGAAAGUAUGGCCUCAACUUUAUAAUUGCAACCAUCAAAGUGAGCACUAGUUGCUCGGCAAGCUAUAUAUUGUCUUCGUGCUCUUUAGCACUUGGUUUGCUUAGUAAACUGACUUCCGUAUUUUCAAGAAUUUCGUUUCCAUACAACACUGACUGCUUGAGGUAAAAUUGCUAGGAAACGACACAGCACGUCCCCUGGGCAUGGGUUGGUUAAAACUGGAGGUUGUUGUAGUGAUCGCUUGAAGGACUCUAGUGACGCUUCAUAUUCUUGAGUCCACUCCAAAAUUGGUAGAUCCCCUAAUGGCCUUGAAGAAAUGAUAGCAUUUAUCUGCUGCUCAACUCAUGAAUUAUUUCAGCACUGAUACAUGUCCUACUAGCCGUUGUACCUUCUUUUUACUGGUAGGGCUCUUCAUCUCUAGUAUCGCCCGUAUUUUGUCGGGGUUCACCUUAAUGCCUCUUUGCGUGAUCAUAAAGUCUAGGAACUUUCCACAAAUAGUAAAAAAAUACAUUUUUUUGAGUUGAACUUCAAAUUAUUCUAUUGGGCGAUUUCGAACACUUUGUGUAAGCAGGAGACCAUGGUAAUUUUGACCACAAUGUCAUCGACGUAAGCCUCUAUAACAUUUUCAAUCAACUCACGAAAGACCCUAUUUACCAUCCUCUGAUAAGUUGCCCUAAUAUUUUUUAGCCCAAAUGGUAUGGGCAUGUAGCAGUAUGUCCCAAAAUCCGUAAUAAAUGAUGUCUUCUUCUGGUCGGACUCGUCCAUAGAAAUUUGGUGAUACCUGGAAAAUGCGUCCAAAAAAUUGAGCCUCUCAUGAUCUAACGUGGCGGCAUCUACGAGGUGGUCUAUUUAGGAGAGUGGGUACGAGUCUUUUGGGCAAGCCUUGUUCAACCUAGUGUUAUCCAUGCACAUAUACCAUUUUCCAUUUGACUUCUUCACAAGCACAAUGUGUGCCAACCAUUCAAGGUAUUGCACUUUCGGAAUGAAACCAACCUUUUGCAAUUUGUCUACCUUUGCUUUCACAAUAACUUGCCUUUCCGGGGCAAGAUUUCUUUUUUUAUAUUCCACUGAUUUGGCCCCUAGUAGGACGCUGAGAUGAUGCUGGGCAAUUGUCGGGCUGAUCUUGGGGAUAUCGCUAGGACUCCAUGCAAAAAUAUCAAGGUUACCUGCUAGACAUCUUACCAAUUCUUUCUUUUCAUCAAAUUUCAAACCUGCCUAGAUACUGAACUCUCAUCCUUUUGAUACAAAGAUUUUUUCAAUCGUAUCAAGUGGCUCGAUCUGUCCCAUUGGAGGCUAUACAUCUAAUAUCAUGAUUGGUGGUGAACCUUUGGCUUGUAUGCUGUUGACAUAGCAUUUUUUUGAUGCCAAUUGAUCUCUUCGUACGCAUCUAAACACUCUGCUAGUUAGGACUUUCAUGGCCCGAUAAUAGGUUGAGGAGAUAGCCUCAGCAGCGUUCAGUAAUGGUCAACCAUAGAUGGUAUAGUAGACCAUGAGGGUCUUGACAACUAGGAAAAUUUUCAUAAUUACAACGAUCAUCGGUUAUGUGACUGAAAAUUCUCUACAAUUCCCGCCGGUCUCAUCGUCGCCCCUCCAAAGCCCUAUAAGGGGUGGUCACCAUUUUCAACUUCUUGGAGGAGAUCUUCAAGCUUAGAAAAAUGUUCCAAGUGAGAACACUGUUGCACUUCCUCCGUCAACCAGCACCUUUUUAACAUCAAAGUCUGCUAUAUUGCCUACCACCACCAAGGCAUCACCGUGGGAGUGUGCUACGCUAAUCAAGUUUUCUUCACCAAAAGUGAUGUUCUGACUGAACCUUACCUUUUUUUAUAGAGCAAAUUUCGACAGAGCGUGUGUAGCUUCUGAGUUUGAGUCUCCGUCGGCUGCCACCCAACCUAUGAUCAUCUUUAUCACUCUAAUUCUGGGUGGGAAACGAUCCUCUACUUUUUGUUUACCUUUGUUAUCUUUCACAUAAUUGCUUAAGAGUCCCCAUCUCAGAAGGUGCUUGAUCCCUUCCUUUAGCUGCAGGCAUUCUUCGGUGUCAUGUCCAUGAUUUUUAUGGAAAUGGCAAUACUUGUCUUGGUUUCUUUUGUUGGCUGGAAUCAUAAUUGGCUUCGGCCAUUUGAGCUAUUUCAUGUCUCGUAUCUCUAUAGACAACUUUUUGCGUGGGAUAUUCAAAGUUGUGAAGGCCUUGACCUCCUCUCAUCUCUGCCUAAUUGAUCGAUCAUGGGUGGUCCCCUUGUUUACACGCUCAUUCUUUAAUUUUUUUGUCAGUAAAUCUUGACUCAUCACUUGUCUUUCGCUUGUGACUUUCCAUCUCCCAUCCUUCUUUGGGACUUUGCGUGACCUUUUCUACUUCCUCAGUAUCAAUAUACUUGUCUCCCUUCUUUAGCAGGUUAUGCAUCUGGUGCAAGGGUUCUUAGAGAGUGAUAUCUUACAGGCCUAGUUCCAUGUCUCGUUCAUUAGUUCAAUUACCACCACCGAUAUCUGAAGGUCCUUUAUUCCAAGCGUCGCUUAGAUAAACUUGGCCAAGUAUUUCAACAAAGAUUCGUACUUUUCCUGAACGACCUACAUCAGCCCAAUAGAUGUCUUCCUCUUCCUUUUGCUGCUUACAAAGUAAGCUACAAAACUCUUGGAGAGCUCAUCAAAUGUUCUAGUAGAUCAGGGGGCUAGAGUUGCUACCCGGUCUCUGGCUUCCCUCCUGAGUGCCAGGGAGAAGGUCUGGUACAUCACUGCGUCAGGUGCUACAUAGAGUCUCAUUAAUUCAAUGAAGGUCCGCACGUGGUUAAGCAAAUCCAUGACUCCGUCAUAUGCCUCUAUCAUAGGCCGUUUGAAGCCCUUAGGUAGAGAUACUGCCAUGAUCUCGAGUGCAAAUAGGUCUUCUUCCAAAACUGCUAUUUUUGUCCUUCAUUCUGGAUAGUGCAUCAUCUACCUUCUGGGUCAUUAUUUCCUUCAUCCUCCGUUCCAAGUGUACCAUAGGCCGUGGAGGUUGUAGAACUAUUACCCUUGGAGCCCCCGAGUCUAUCGUAACCAGUUGGAUAACAGUGAAGGCAUUUGCAGGUGUCCUUUAAGGCGGCUGCGCAGCCUCCGCCGAGUUCAGAGGUGGGAACGUGGCUCUUUGUGCUUGAUUCUGCAAGAGAGUCAUCAUUGCUGCCAAUCGAACCUCCAGAGUUCUAAAUUGGUUUUGUGUUACAUACUGCGGUUGUGGAUCGGGACCCCUUAUGACUGACUCCGAUUCUGACACCAUCUCCACCGUAUUCCCAACUAAGCGCUUAUAUCACUUCAUCUUUGUCUUCUUGAUGUAGCUUUUCUGUUCAAUGGUUUCCUACAGAUGACACCAAUAAAGUAAUAAUGAAACAAAACUCCAUACCUUUUGGCAGCGUAAGGUGCUUCUGCUACUACAAUGAACAAGUGUUACCUAUAAAAUUAGGCCGAUUCUUUCUUCCUCAUUUUACCUCGAUGUGAAAAUUAGUAAUGAAUUUAGGAGUGUGGGUUAAGGAAAAGUGUGUAUUCAGAUAGCCAAAGUUUUUUUUCUCUCUCGCCUUAGGGAUAUUUAUAAGUGAUUGAAGCCUUGAAACUACUGUAUGGUUUUAUUGCCAUGUCCCACAUAGUAAGUCCCAUUAUCCCAUGUUCUAAGUGGAGGACCACUGUUUAUCUGGCAUUUGGUCGUAUCCAUGAUAACCGUUAAACAAAUCUCAUCUGAUUCAACGAUGUUUUCAUAGAUAAGCAUUAUGUUGGACUUACAGCGUUGGGUGGCCUCACAUGGGUUGACAGCCUAUCAUGGAUGUAAAGGGCCUCUCAGUGGUUGACGGCCUAAUGUGGAUGUAAAGGGCCUCUCAGUGGUUGACGGCCUAGCAUGGGGUGCUCUACAUAGAGUGCCCAUAGAGUAGCAUUUACCUUGUUGAUUGUGGUGAGCAGUUAUUAGUACUAUCCAACAUCAACAUACAUUAUUUACACAAAGUUUCAAGCCAAGUUUAUUGAUUUGAUCACAAGAUUAAAGGUAUUGAUUUGACAACUUUCAAGAUCCACCACGCUCCGUCUCUAUGCUUUUACUCUUUCUCUUGUCCGUUUUCAUAUUAAAUAUAGUCAUAUACUUACACAAUCACAUAACCCACACGCGACUCAAGGAUCUCCCUCCAACAAUCACUUCUUUUAUCAUUUUGAAUUAUCAAGUGAAAUGUAAGUGCUCUGUGACACAGACACUUUAAUUAGGAUAGCGUGUCUGUGCCGGACAAAUGUUGAUUCUGACACUUCUCGGACAUUCUACGAUAAACAUUUUUAUUCUUUAUUAAAAAUAUUACAUAUUUUUAACUCCAAGUUAGUAGUAAAUAACAAGUAGGUACUCAUAUUUAAAAGAUUUCAACAAAAGAAUUAAUAACAAAUAUAAACUAAAUUUAUACUAUAUAAAUAAAUAUUUUUAAAGAAUUUAAUUAACAUGACGACGACAUGUCGUGUUGGUACUUUUUUGAAAAAUCACGUGUCAUUGUAUCGGACACGUAUCGUGUUGUACACACGUGUCUAUGUCGGUGUAUCAUAGGGUAAGUGUAAUAGUACGAAUUAUUCUUUCAUUAUUUAAAUAACGAAAAUUUAUGUUAUGAAUAUGAUGAUACGAAAAUCCAAGUUAUGAUUAUGAUAAGGGUCCUAUAUGUAUAAGUUCAAAAGACCGGAUUUUAGUAGCACUAUUCACGGGAAUUAUAGCCACGAAGUUUGGAUUUUAAUAUUUGUGUUUCCAUAUGUAUGUUAUGAUUUUCAUAUUUAAAUAUAAGAUGCAAAUUCAUUAUUGAUUGAGAUUUAUGUCUUAUACGUAUAUGUUAAACAUUUUACAAGUAAAUAAAAAAGCGGGUUUGAGGCAAUCAAAGGUGGAUUGUGCUUGCGUGGUUGGAAAAUGAAGAAUAAUUUAAGUGGUUAAAGAUUUUAAUAUUUUUUAUUGUAUUUUUUUAAAAAUUAAUUUUAAUCCUCGCAUGUUCAGAAAAUAUUAUGUUUUUUCAUUGUUUAUGAAAAUAUUCUUUUGCGGUACAUGUAUAAUGAUUUCAAAGGUAAAAUUUAGGGUCUUUUUAAUUGUAUUUUUUUAAAAUUAAUUUUAAUUUCCAUAGAUGGUGUAAGGAGAGAAUACAAUAUGAGAAUGAAAGAUCAACUAACACAAAACAAACCAAAAGCAUUAAAAGGGUAAAUAAGGACAAAGGAGAGAAUACAAUAUGAGAAUGAAAGAUCAACUAACAUAAAACAAAUCAAAAGCAUUAAAAGGGUAAAUAAGGACAGAAUGCAAAUUAGUUCAAUAGCUUAAAAUUUAAAAAUUGUCAAAGAUUGAUCAACAAUUAUUUAAUGUAGUAUAGUUCAAUGAUCCCAUUGUGUCUGAUUAAGAUGUUACUAUCCAUGAUUUUUCCUCAUUUGACCAAUAGACUAACAUGUUAUCACCAGCAAUUUGUGAGCUUUAUGGUGCUACGGUAUGCUAAAAAUUUGCAGCGCAUUCGAAGGACAUAUCCCUAGCCUUUGAUUAUUAGAUUGUGACGUAUCAAGUUGUCAAAGCCUCCUGUUAACUUCAUUAUGUCACACAAUUCCUUUCACUUAGCAAAUUAAGAAUUGGCGAAGUAGCUAUUUCAUGAUAAAAAAGAUUACUCAUUAACCUAAUGAGCCCAUAAAGUAAAUAUAUUUCCAGAAGUCCAUUAUUAGCUUCAACAUAAGCAGUGAUAAAGACAAGAAUAUAGUAGCUUUUGAGUUAGCAUUAAAUAUUUUUUUGAUUUAGAUAUAAGUUGUUUAGCUUAACAACUGACGAGGAACCGGUUAAAAAAUUAGCAUUUGGAAGUCAAUGUGCUAUACUUCCCAAGAUCAGAAUGACCUUUGUCAUUUUUCAAUGAUCAGUCACGUAAAACAAAUUUGAAAAAAUCCUAUAUAAUUUCAUUGUCCCUACUUUCCUUAUAGACCUUUGAUUUUCUUUAAAUCAAAAGAUCUACAUCAUGAUUUGCUUAUAUAAGAAAUUAUCUUACACUUACUGAGCGGGACUUUUAUCAAAGUUAAUUAAGAACCACAAAAAUCAUAAACAUAAUCACGUUAAACAUUACUAGAAAUGUAGAAAAAUGUUAAUACAGAAAAUAAGAGGCAAAUAAAGGAAAUUUUAGUACCGGUCAGAGACUGAAAACAGUGAAGAUCAAAGGCGUCCGCUUGGAGGAGCUCGAUUCCCAAGUUUUUCUUAAGGAUAAUUAGCACAAAACGUCCCUACCUUUCAAUGCUUUUUGUGGAAAACGUCAAUACCUUUCGUUUUUUGGUGAAUUACACCCUCACCUUUACUUUUUUUAUGUGCAAAUCGUCAUUCUGUCAACUCUCCGUUAAAAUGUUGUGUUAAAUCAAAAGAUAAUUAGCACAAAAGGUCCCUACCUUUCAAUAUUAUUGUGCAAAAUGUCUCUACAUUUCAUUUUUUGACAUAAUUAGUACAAAAGAUCCCUACAUUUCAAUGUUAUUGUGCAAAAUGUACAUACCUUUCAUUUUUAGCAUUUUCACCCCUACCUUUCACCUUUCAUUGUGCAAAAGGUCAUUUUUAUCCAUUUUUUCAAUAAAAUGACAAUUUUACCCUCCUAUUCAAAUAAAAAAAAAGAAAAGAAAAGAAAAAUAAAUAAUUAAUUUCAAUCAUAGUCCUAAAUUUUUCAAAAUAUUAGAGAUAAAUCCUAAAUUCUCCACUACCGCCACUUUCACAAUCUCACCAAGCCACCACUUAUAGAUCCAUAUAGCACCAUCUUUGGACCACAAUACCUACCAGACUCCACCACCACCGCCUCGUCUCACUCUCCCCAACAUCCUCCUCCAUAAUAUCGGUCACCAAUCUGUCCGAAACAACCACGUUUACGGUGGUGGAGUCCAUUGGGCAUGGUGGCUGAAAGAUGGUGUUAUGUUGAUUUAUAGUUGGUAGCUUGAUAGGUUGUGAAAGUUGUGGUGAUUGAGAAUUUAUAAUUUUUUAAAAAUUUAAGGACUAUGGUUGUAGUUGGUAAUUCAUCAUUUUAUUUUAUUUUUUUUAUUUGAAUAGAAGGGUAAAAUCAUCAUUUUAUUGAAAAAAAAUGGAUGAGAAUGACCUUUUUCGCAAUGAAAGGUGAAAGGUAGAUGUGAAAAUGCUAAAAAAUGAAAGGUAUGGACGUUUUGUACGAUAACAUUGAAAGGUAGAGACUUUUUGUGCUAAUUAUGCAAAAAAAUGAAACGUAGGAACGUUUUGCACAAUAAUAUUGAAAGGUAGGGACCUUUUGUGCUAAUUAUCUUUUGAUUUAAUGGAGCAUUUUAACGGGGAGUUGAUAGAAGGAUGUUUUGCGCAAAAAAAAGGUAAAGGUGAGGGUAUAAUCCGCCAAAAAAUCAAAGGUAUGAACGUUUUCUACAAAAUUUUCGAAAAAUAGGGACGUUUUGUGCUAAUUACUCUUUUCUUAACAUCUAUUACAAAUAUGUUAAUUUUGCCGCAUUCUAAACUUAUUGCGAGUCUCUGAACAAUAAACAAACAACUAAUUAUCUAAUUGCGGCCAAUCAAUUAAAUAAUGCAAUGGAUAUACAAAAAUAAUCAAGAAACGCAAGAACUAAACUAAACCACUAGUUUUGAAUAAACAUAUAAACAUUAGAUUUUUAUCUCAUCCAACAUAAAAAUGGAUCUAUACUAGCAUAGUUUUAAAUAAAUUAUAAUAAAAAUAAUGAAAGAAUAUCACCCGAAUAAUGAAAAAAUAAAAAAAGAUGUUGAUCUUCAAGUCCAAAGUAUUUAUAAGGUUGAAUAUAGAUCAAGAAAUCAUUCCAAAGUUGUUACCAGUAAGAGUUUAAAUCAAGAUACGAAACUGACAUGUCAGUAGAAAAUUUGGCUAAGGCACAUGAGUAGGUAUAUCUGCCGCGCAUACAAGCUUGUUGACUUCUUCUUGGUCAUGAAAUUGAUGUCUUGCGCGAACACCAAAAUAGAUGGAGCCUGAGCUGAUUUGUGUCGUGCCAUCCCUAAGUAGCUUUUGGUAUUUUGAUCAUAAAUAUCUCUCUUAAUAUCUGAUUGAGGUGAUUCAAAAUGCGUUGAAAAGAUGACUCUAAGGGAUACAGAUUUCUCCAAUUCAAAUGUUCGCUAUCUGAAAAGUGGUCUCAGGUUGAAGCUAGAAAAACAAAACAUAUCUUUUUUUUUUUUUUUUUUUUCAAAAAAUUUUAUCUUGUGAUUAAUUAGGUAGAUUUUGAGAUUUCAUACAAGUAUUUUUUGUUUAAAAGUUAGUACCCCAGAGACUUUUAUAAAAGUUUUUGGAAGUCAUUAAAAAUUGAAUACCCCAAAAUUUAUAUAAACUUUUAAAAAGUUUGUAUUUGAUAUUCAAUAGUCAUUUUAUAGUUCGAAUCAAUUAUUAAAUGUUUACAUUUUUGUCCCCGAACUUUGAAUUUCUUUCGAUUUUGCUCCUUUUUUGUUUCUUUCUUCCGAUUCCAUUAAUUUGUCUCAAGUUUUACCUAAUAAAUAAAAUUAACAUCUAAUUGAGUCAUAAAAAAUUAAAAUUUAUUAUAAUUACUCUCAUUUAAUGAUCAAAUAAGUAUAUAAAAUACACUUAUCACCUUGCAUGCCCAAGGCAAUUUUCUCGUGCACAUAUCUAUGACUGUAGCAUUUUGGGAUCGACUGCCACCUUUAAGGUUUUUUUGGUCAUUUUUCAUGCCAUUUUCAUCCCUCAUCUUCUAUUAUCAUCCAACUGAGCCCUAUGACCUUCAAUCAUCAUUAAUAUUUACAAUUUGGUCCUCAAACUUUGAUUUUUUUUUUUUUUUUGCCGAUUUUCAUUCAUUUCCUCCAAUUCCACUAUUCUGAAUCGAGUUUUAUCUAGCAAACAAGAUUAACACAAAAUUAAGCUAUAAUUUCUUAAAAUCAAUAACAAGUACUGUAAUUUAAUGACCCUUCAUCAAAUCAUCUCAAAAAUAUUUAGUACCAUAAACAUGUAGCCAUAAAAUGACCACGUCAUUCAUUUGGACAGUUGCUACUCAAAAUUGUAUUAGUAAUUGAAACGAGCUUGAGUUUGAGCCCAAGGAUGUUGGAAACACGAACUAGGAUUUCAGAAGAAGUUAACCACAUUACCUAAAAAAAGGUUGAACCCCAACCUUGAGGGCCCCCAUCACCCCGCCUCUAGAGCUUUGUGAGGGAAGUAAAUCGUGGGAUGUGCCCCAGUAGGCCAGGGAACAAGAGCUGCAUGUACACUGUGCCUACAAGGAGUUCAAUUCCAUAUUUCAGGAAUCAAACCCCCACACUACGGCUGCCAGCAAGGCGUGAGAUAACCUCACUCCUAUCCUUUGCACCAUUAGGCUAUGCCAUGGGGGGGCAAGUUAACCACAUUACCUAUUGAUAUGAGGACAUUCAGAAAGCAUAAAAUAACUAUUUUACAGUUUUAUUUAAAAGUGGUGAAGAGAAUCCUAAAGUAUUUAAAAUAAGUCAAUUUUUAUAAUUUAGUGAGCCUCCCAACACUAUAAUAAGUAAGUAUUUAUCUAAAUGGUGCAAAAACACUUAAAAAGUACAACGAAACAUGCAAGAUUAAUAAAAAAAACACAAGAAUUAUUUGAUUGCUUGUCUUUAAAUUAAAAAUAAAUAAUCAAAGGUUUCAUCUUUAUGAAAUACAAAGGAAAAUUUAGCCUAGCAUGAUUUCUAUUAUAUUGUUAGAAGAAUAUUUAAUAGAUAUCACCCGAAACAUGAUUGAAUGCAAGAGAUCUUUAUAUCCAAUUUCAAGCUUGAAAUUUUCAAGUUCUCGAAGUAAUUAACCUUAAUUUCUUGCUUUGUUGUUCUUCGCUCCCCAAAAUGUAUGAUCUGGCUUCUAGUGAAACUCACAAGUGUACGGAAUCAUUGACAAGUAAUAUAUUUAGCGAGUUGAGAAUAUCAUCCCAAAGAGAAUAUAUUCCAAUUCAAGUUUACUAUUGAUGUAUGUGAUUCGAAUUAUGUAAAACAAAAAAAGAGAUUUUGAUUUGAUUUUUGCUAAAUUAAUCUAAGAAAGUAAUAAAAGUUUGGUUUUUAUCAUAUUAUGGAUGAUUGAUAGGAUUUAGAAUCCACCUAUUUUUAUCUAUUUUAAUUCUUGAUUUGUAAUCUAGUCUUGUUCAAGCGUUCUUGACAAUCAAUAUAACUAAUAUAUUUAACUUUCUUUUCUAAAACAAAUUAAUUCUAUCCUAAUCACGACUCGAAUCUAUUCCUAUCCAGAAUUCGAAUUGUUAAAAUGCUUUAAAUUUUAGAUUAUUUAUAUGAUAGCACUGGUGAUAAAUGUUAUUUUUAACAUUUACUACAAAUAUGUUAAUUUUGUCGCAUUCUACUUAUUGUGAGUCUCUUAAUAGUAAACAAGCAACUAGUUAUCUUAUUGUGACCAAUCAAUUAAAUAAUGGAAUGGGUAUGCAAACAUUAAUCAAAAAAUGCAAGAAUUAAACUAAACUGCUAGUUAUGAAUUUCAAACAAAUAAACAACAUGAUUCAUCUCAUCCAAUAUGAAAAAAUGGAUCUAUCCUAGCAUAGAUUUAAAUAAAUUACAAGAACAAUAAUGAAAAAAUAUCACUCAAAUCAUCAAAGAAUACAAAAGACGUUGAUCUUCAGGUCGAAAGUAGAAUUCUUCAAUUUCUUGAUAUAAUUGACCUUCAAUUCUUACUAGGGCUUCAUUCUCCCCCAAAAGUAAUGAAUUAACAUCUUGUACUUAAUAAAUCUGAUGAUAUUAUUAUGUAUAAAGAGGUAAGAGAGAGUUCUAUCAUGUGUUCUCACAAGUAUUGUAUUUAUAAGGAUUGAAUUUAGAUAAAGAAAUCGUCCUCAAGUUGUUACAAAUGAGAGUUUGAGUUAAGAAAGGAAUUUGGCCCAUUAGCAGAAAAUUUGGCCAAGGCACAUGCGUAGGUAUAUCUACUGCGCACAUAGGCAUGUUGACUUGUUCUAGGGCCACGAAAUUGAUGUCUUGCACGCACACAAAAAUGGCCUAUGCGCACUGGUUAGCUUUGCAUCGUCUCUGAGUAGCCUUGGGUAUUUUGGUCAUUACUUUCUCUCUCAGUAUCCGAUUAAGAUGAUCCAAAAUGUGUUUUAAAGAUGACUCCAAGAAUUAUAGCAUACAAAUUCUCAAAUUCGAACUUUUGCUAUCUGAAAAAUGGAUCUCAACUUGAUGCUAAAAAUUCGAAACGUAAUUUUUUUGGCUGAAAAUUGAUUUGCGAAAAUACUUCAAAUAUAUUUCACUCAUUUGGCCUCCAAUUACAUCCAAUUGACCAUAUGUGAUAUUCAAUUUUGCUCCUCUUUUUUUUUUUUCUGGUUUCUUUCUUCCAAUUCCAUCAAUUUGCCUUGAGUUUUACCUAAUAAAUAAAAUUAACAUCUAAUUAAGUCAUAAGUAAUCAAAAUUUAUACUUUUAACGACCCAAAUAAGUCUAUAAAAUACACUCAUCACCUUACAUGCACAGGGCAAUUAAUUGCCUUAUGCGCAUGCCCCUGGCUUUAGCAUUUUGGGACCAUUUGCCACCUCUGGGGUGGUUUUGGUCAUUUUUCAUGUAAUUAGCAUCCCUCAUCUUCUGUAUCACCCAACUGAUCCCUAUGAUCUUCAAUAAUCAAUUUAUUUUUUUUGUUUUUUGUACAAAUCCACAUUGAAUAUUUACAAUUUGAUCCUCAAACUUUGAUUUUUUUUCAUUUUUGCCGAUUUUCAUUCAUUUCUUCAAAUUCCACUAUUUUAUAUCGAGUUUUAUCCAACGAACAAAAAUAACACAAAAUUAAGUUAUAAUUUCUUAAAAUCAAUAAAAAAAAACUGAAAUUUGAUGAGCCUUCAUCAAACCAUCGCAAAAAAUUCAGUUCCCUACACAUGUAGCCAUAAAAUGACCACGUCCUUCAUUUGGGCAGUUACUACUCAAAUUGUUUUAGUAAUUGAAACGAGCUCAAGUUUGAGGCCGGGGAUGUUAGAAAUACGAACUAGGAUUUUGGAAGAAGUUAACCGCGUUACCUAUUGAUAUGACGACAUUCAGAAAACAUAUAAUAACUUUCAUUUUUAUAUAGAAGUGGUGAAGAGAAUACUAAGGUAUUCAAAAUAGGUAAUUUUUAUUAUUUAGUGGACAGAGUGGGAGAGCCUAGGACCUUGAUUGAUUUUUUUUUUUUUCUAAUUGUUUAGUCAUAGUUCAAAACAAUUCUUAAUUUGUCGUUUUAUUUAAUAAAUUCGGGGGCAUUAAAGUUGUUUAAUUAUCAAGCUUCAGUUAUUUUUUUUUUCGAGCUUUUGGUAUUUAUUUCUCGGCCGCCUUAUGGUUGAAUUUUGAUAAAUUAAUAAACCACUUGGACAAAUGUUUUUCAACCUCAAGAUUGUUACUUUUAACGAAUUAUAUAUGUUAUGCAAUAUCAUUGUUGACCUCGCAAAAUGGACUUUUAUGUGGCCAAUCGAGAGUCACUCCACGUAUUCCUCCUUACGUACAAAAACGCACGGUCAGGAGCACACGACUAGAACUAGUGGGGGUGGUAGCGGCCGCAUACACUUCAACGGUCAAGUCAAUGGUCGAUGAUCGGAACGGUGUCGAAAUUAUGCAAAAGAUGGGGGAGGAGAAUAUAUAUUGCUUGACUGUGGAGAGCUUAGUUUAGUAUAAGUUUCAUUACCUUUGCCUCUUGUCAAACCUUGAGUAUUUAUAGAUGAGGAGCACCGUUGGAUGCGGGACACGUGUAUGCAUCUGACGGCGUGAGAUGUCUGCUCGAAAGCGUCAAUCAGCCGCGUCUAAGGUGGGCGGGUUAUUAAUUUUUCUAGAUUGAGUUGACAUAAAAUUGAUGUCACAUCAACUAGACCCAUGGAAAGGUCACAUCCAUAGGGGAUUUUGACAUAGAUAUGGGUCUGAAAUAGGCGGCACAUGUAUUUGCUAAGGGAGCACCUUGGAUAGCCUAGCGCUUCGAUAACAGGGGCGCUUCAGUCACUUCAGUAGAUUUAGUUUACAUCUACUCGCCUUGCGGUGUGUUGAGUUGGAGUUCGGCUGAGAUGGACACCACUUCGGAACCACGUUGUUGGACACGUGGCACUUCUUAGACAAGAGAGACACUAUUGCUGAACUGGAUUAGUGCGGGACAUAAUAGUGGUCCCCCAAGUUUAGGCAUAAAUAUUCAUAUCAUGGGUUGACUUGUUUAUAUGAUUGUGUGAGAUUUGCAGUAUCUGGUGAAGUGUUAAUGUUAAAGCGCGAAGCGAAUUGAUGCGUCGAAGGCUUUGUGGGUGGAGUGUAUUGUUAAAACUGAAGUGACAUUGGUAGGGGCUCAUCUUGGUUGGUAGUUCGUUCAAUCACGAAGGGCAGUAAAUUCCCAAUGGAGACGUAUGAGCCAUGAUGCUGGGGCUUAAGGAGCUUAUCUGUAACCGGUGUGUUGACCCACAGGGGACGACGCGUUAAGAAAUGGCUGAAGCUUUGUAAAGCUUGGGGACGUAACGUCUCUAGGCGAAGAACCUCAAGUAAGUCGAAGCGCUGACAAGCUGAGGAAGAAGCGUAUCUGCAACCGGUGCAUUGACCCACAAGGGACGACGCGUUAGGAGAUGGCUUGAACUUUGUAAAGCUUGGGGACGCAGCAUCCUGAGGCGAAGAACCUCAGGUGUGUCAAAGCGAUAACAAGCUAAGGAAGAAGCAUAUCUGCAAUCGGUACGUUGACCCACAAGGGACGACGCGUUGGGAGAUGGCUUGAGCUUUGUAAAGCUUGGAGACGCAGCAUCCGAGGCAAAGAACUUCAGGUGCGUUAAAGCUCUGAAAAGCUGAGAAAGAAGCAUAUCUGUUACCAGUGCAUUGAACUACAAGGGACGACGCAUUAGAAGAUGGCUUAAGCUUUGUAAAGCUUGGAGACGCAGCGUCUGAGGCAAAGAACCUCAGGUGCGUUGAAACUUUGAAAAGCUGAGGAAGAAGGGUAUCUGCUACCGGUGCGUUGAGCCACAGGGGACAAUGAGUUGGGAGAUAGCUUAAGCUUUGUAAAGCUUGGAGACGCAGUGUCCAAAGCGAAGAAACUCAAGUGCAUUGAAGCUUUGAAAAGCCGGGGAAGAAGCAUAUAUGCUACUAGUGCAUUGACCCACAGGGAGUGACGCGUUGGGAGAUGGCUGAAACUUUGUAAAGCUUGGAGACGCAGCGUCCGAGGAGAAGAACCUCAAGUGCAUUGAAGCUUUGAAAAUCUAAGGAAGUGCUUCAUCCAAGGAAAAUUGGGACGGUUUGUCUCUGAUCUAAAGCAUCUUAUUAUGACUUUAAUCGAUGUGAUAGUUGUCGUGCAUUUUCAAGGCGACAGUUGGAUGUGAUGCUUGUUCCCAAAAAAAGGGUUGCUGCAGCUACUUAUUGUUGACGGCUAUUGUUGUUCGAGGUGAUGCAUUUUAUACGUACGUGAGGGACAUAAUUAGAUCUCGGACGUUGAUUAAAUCUGAUGUUUCAUUUCAAUGGUCCAGAUUUGUGAUGCGACGAACGGCCUAGAUCGAACCAUUUGAAUUCAACGGUGGAGAUCGUCUGAGGUCUCCUAUAAAGGGGGGCCUUGGUGUCAUUCGAAAAUUGCUACUAUUGCAAACUCAAAACUCUCAUUGCUAUCAAAACUCGAGCGAUUUCCAAUGAUUUUCUUGCUUUUGUAUGAUUUUUGGUGACCUUUAAAGCGUUGGUUUGAGCUUCCCGAGAUAGGAUACUAAUUCCGAUCGAUUUUCGUAAGUAUUCUUGAGAUUUUCACAGUUUUAAUGAAAAAAUAUGGCCUUUGAGAGUAGUGGGUGUUCUGGAGGGGAUCUAGAUGUAGUGAGGGUGGACCAGCCUCUAUUGGCUACUUCUUCAGAAUUGUUCGAGGCGAUAUUAGGGGGAAAACCUCUGGAAGCGACCUGACAAUCUUGUGGACACUUUUAUACAUUGGGGGACGUCUGACUACCUUUCCAAGUUGAAAACGGCCGACCUGGCUAGAUUUAGGACUGAGUAUAGAAUCCCAAAUAGUGUGGGUUUGAUACUUCCAGGGUCGGAUGAGUGAGCCUGUUACCCAAGGCCCGGGUGCGUGGCUGUUAGCGAGGCCAUCUUGAGGGCGGGGCUUAGUUUUCCCAUCCACCCCUUCUUUAGAUAUGUAUUAAGGUCCUAUGGCCUAGCCCCCACCUAGUUGAAUCCGAACUCUUGGAACCAGAUGGUGGGUUCGUGGAUUCUGUGGAAGGAUGCAUCCUGUGGAGAAGAGAUACCCUUCUCUGUUUUCCAAACAAUGUACAUACCCAAGGUUGUGGUGGGGGGUGAUAAGAUGAAGGGGAGCUAUUAUCUGACUUCCUGGGUGUCUCACACUCCAUUCGUGCUCGAUCUGCCAAGCUCUAUCAAGGAAUGAAAGAGUUCGUGGUUCUAGGCUUCCAGGAGAUGGGACACGAUGGAGGGUAGCCCCCUGGCACCCCUUACCGUUCCCACCAAAUACUCCACAUUUAGUGCGUACUAGCACUUCAUUUAUAAAAAUAUGUUUGCUUGUGUUCGGAAUAUAACUCAUUUGUUCUUACAGGUCCUCUUCCUCAGUGUGAGUUAUCCAUCGAGGAAAUUGACAUGAUCUGCAUCGUGUAUCAGCUCCCUCCGAAAAUGAGAUCUUCCAACGAGUUGAUAAGGAAAUAUAUCCACUUCGUUUCACACGAGCUGAUGGCCUCCCAAGGUGAGUGUAGAGGUUACAUCGUUGUAGUCUACAAUUGAAGUGUUCAUACUUAACUGAUUUUUUAUUUUGUUGCAGAUGACUUCAAUAAGAAGAGACCUAUGAAGCCGAACUUCAAGACCAUCCAAAGGAUGAUAGCUUAGGCGAGUGCCCUAAAACAUCCUCUUCGACGUACAAAAAAUAGAUGGAGAACUUGGCUGCUGCCAACAAGAAGCUGCCUCGGACCGAGGAAGAGGAUGAGGAUGAAGAAGGGCAGCUAGGCCUCCGAGGGCCCCAACUGUGGCAAGGACGGCCACUAGGCAGAUGACGAUCCCCACAGGGUCAUGAUUGGAGAGAGGCCUACCGUCUACCUGAGGCGACCCCCGUACUGGUAUCUGCCCCAAUCGUUGCAGCGCCUCCUGCUCUGACUGCUGAAAAGGAGAGGAAGAAGAGGGCCCGUCCUUCGAAGGAGCAGGAUUUCUUGGUCUGCACCUCCGAGGAGGCCGUGAAGGAGGUAUUGGAGGCCCUCCCUCCAGAGACUGCUAUUGUGGCCCGGGUCUACUACAAAUACUGGACUGAGGCCUGGAGGGACCACACACCAUCCUACUCAGCCAAGGACCUCAUGGUUGCCAGCAGUGCUUGCCUCGCCCGGCAUUAAGCACCAGUGUCCAGCUGGAGGGCCUAGUGAAGGACCUUAGGGCAAAAAAUAUGGACCUAGCCCAACGAUUGGAGAAGGCCUCUCUUUAUGGAGACAAGGUGGGGUGGCUCGGGCCAAAACAAAUGAGGCCCCGGAAGGCAAAAGAGGAGGCAGAGGCGAGGGCGGUGAAAGCUAAGGCCGCGUCAAAAUAGCUCAAGAAAGAAUUGUAUUAGAUUGAAUGCCAAGUAGUUGUUCUGAUGAGGUAGAUCGACCGUGCCAGCGAUCAUCACCACCUCGCAGCGGAGGCCCUUGAUGCCUCAAACGAGGAGAAGAAUGAGCUGAGGCAGUGGGUAGAGACCCAAGUUGAAGAGAUUGACUUUUUGAAGACAGAGGCAAGAAUAGUUGGGGAGUCAGUCGUGCAGCACUUUAUUGACCAUUUUGAAGAGCACGAGCUGUAUGACACCUUCGCCAACUAUCGGGCCUAUUGGAACGCCCAGGCUAUGUUGCAGCACCUCAAAGAAGUCUACCCGAACUUGAACAUUUUCAGCUUUGGAAGAAGAGCUCGGUGGGCCUAUCGAGGGUCGCCCCGACAUAGCCGCUGCCAAGGACGCUACUGUUGCUCCCGAGGAGGUUGAGGUGGGGACAGGGGCUAUAGUGCCAGUAGAGUAGGAUCUCUGUAAUAGCUUCAGCCCACCAAUUGUAAAGUUUUAUAUUAAUGAAUUGAAAUUUAUCUUCCAAGUGUUGAAGCUUCUUUUCUCAUUGCUGAAUUAUUUGUUCGAUUAUAACUUGAUUGCUGUUUAAGUUAAUAAUAUUAACCAUCAGUGAACGGUUGAGGCAAACAAUGGCAAUCCAUAGAAUAUAACGAAUUGAAGAUUCGAAUAACUUAAAUUCAACAAUCAUACACUAAAGGCAAUCUAAGCGCUUAGUCAGAUAGGAAUAAGUUACAACUUGUAGAUCAUAAUCAGAUCGGAUCAGAACAUGUAUUUGUUUAUUGGUAGUACUUCAUCAAGUGUUCAAUGUUCCACUGAUGAGGUAACACUUUCCCUGCCAUAUCUUCAAUUUCAUAAGUCCUGGGUCGGGAUUCGUUGAUGAUGCGGUACGGACCCUCCCAAUUCGGUCCAAACACUCCAAAGCCUAUUGGCUUUGAUGAUAGGAACACCCUUCUGAGUACCAGAUCGCCUAAGCGUAGAGUUCGACUUCUGACCCUCGAGUUGUGAUAGCGGAUCAUCUUCCUUUGAUACGCAGGUAGUUUGACUUGGGAUGAAUUUCUUCUUUCUUCCAGGAGGUGAAAGUUCACACACUCUCGCUUCUCAUUGAAGUUUAUAUGACGAUGCAAAGAGACUCCUACCUCGACUGGACUCAUGGCCUCAGCCCCAUAAGUUAUGGAGAAAGGCGAUUCCCGUGUUGUGGUUCGACUUGUUGUUCGUACGACCCAGAGGACAUGGGGAAGUUCAUCUACCCAUGCUCCCUUCGAGGCGUCAAGCUUCCUUUUUAGAGUGUGCUUGAUCGUUUUGUUAACUACCUUGACUUGGCCAUUUGCUUGGGGGUGAUGAGGUAUUGAGAAGUCCUUCCUUAUGCUGAGUUUGUCACAUAAGUCUCGCAUCUUUUUGUUAUCGAACUGCCUUUCGUUGUUAAACACUAGGGAGUGGGAAAUGCCAAACCUACAAAUGAUGUUCUUCCAGACGAACUUUGUGAUGUUUGCCUCAGUGAUUUUUGCUAAAGGUUUAGCUUCGACCACUUAGUGAAGUAAUCAAUGACGAUAACGGCAAAGGUUGUACUUCAUCUUCCUUUUAGGAGGGGGCCAAUGAAGUCUAUACCCCAUUUGGUAAAGGGCCAUGGAUUGGUGACCACGGGAGAGUUCCUAAGAAGGUUAUCUCUUAACAUUGGCGAAUCGCUGGCACUUGUCACAUUUUUGAACAAAUUGACAGGAAUCCAUUUUCAGGGUCAGCCAGAAAUAGCCUUGCCAAAGUACCUUAUGUGCUAGGGCUGCUCCACCAAAGUGGUUAGCACAGACUUCCUCAUGAAUUUCUCUUAGGAUGUAUAAGGCCUCUUCCCCUCCAACGCAUUUUUAUAUAACACACCAUCUUGGAGUAUGAAGUGAGCAGCUCUUCUUCUCAACCUCUUUACUUCAUUUUUUGAGGGUGGUAGCAAUUGAUCUUUGAGAUAGGUUAUAAUGGAUUGCAUCCAAGGUAUGAUACCUUCAAUUCAUAUUACUUCUUAACCCCCGGAGAUGGAGGGCUUCAGCAUACGCUCGAUUGGGAUAAUUCUUAGUAGCUCAGAAUCUUUGCUACUGGCAAGCUUGGAUAGGGCAUUCUUGUGUGUAUUUUCGAGGCGUGGGACUUGGACCAAUUCGAACCUCUCAAAGUGGAAGACCAAGUUCAAAACUAGUUUUAGAUAAGCGGCCAUGCCACUGUCUUUGGCUGCGAAUUUUCCUUUAACUUGACUCACCAUAAGUUGUGAGUCGCUACUGGCUUGUAAUCUUUCAACUUGCAUUUCUUUAGCCAGCCCGAGGUCUACCAAGAGGGUUUCAUACUCUGGGACAUUGUUCGAAACUUUGAAGCUGAACCUGCUUUCACAGUUGAGUUUAUGGCCCUUAAGGCUCUCCAAGACGACUCCGGCUCCGGAGCCAAUUCCUCUUGACAAUCUGUCUACAAACAACUUCUAAGUUGGGUGCUCUGUAGGAUCCAUUGUUGCCUCUAUUUCUGGGGCUUUGGCGAACUCGGCAACAAAAUUCGCGAGGGCCUGGCCCUUGAUGGCACUUCGAGGUCUCAACAAGAGGUCGAACUCACUGAGCUCAAUUGCCCACUUUAGUAAUUGACCCGAAGCGUCUACUUUUUGUAGCACUUGUUUCAAAAAAAAUUGGUGAGCAUUUCAAUUGAAUGAGCCUGAAAGUAUGGCCUCAACUUUCUUGACGCGGUAAUAAGGGAGAGAGCAAGCUUUUCCAUGUCUGGGUAGCGAGUCUCUGCUGGCAGCAAGGCUUUGCUGAUGCAGUCACUGGCAACUGGUGUGCCUCUUCUUUCAUGGCGAGCGCCGCCCUGACUGUUUGUCUGAAACUACUAAAUAAAAUAGGAGUGUCUCGCGCGGUUUAGGUUUAGGUAGUAGGGACACCUCUCCAAAGUGCUUCUUCAGCACUUGAAAGGCUACCUCACGCUCUUUGGUCUAUUGGAACUUUUUUCCCUGCAUCAAAAUCUUGAAGAAGAGUAGGCUCUUAUCAGUGGCUUUGGAGAUGAAGUAGUUGAGUGCAGCAACCCUUCCAUUAAAGCUUUGGACCUCUUAUGGCUUCUGGGGUGACUUCAUCUCUAGCAAGGCUCUUAUCUUCUCAGGGUUUGCCUCAAUCCCUCGAUGGUUCACAAUGUAUCCCAAAAAUUGACCCGAUACUAUCCUAAAGGUACAUUUCAGCGAGUUCAGCUUUAUCUUGUAUUUCCUUAGAGUUUGAAAAGUGGUGUCCAAGUGACUGGCAUUUUUUAAUCCGCAGGGCAUCACUUUGUAGCUGUACAAUCCUCGGUCUGUGAUGAAAGAUGUGGCCUCUUCAUCAAGUCGGAACAUGGGUAUUUGGUUAUACCCUGAAUAAGCAUCCAUGAAGCUCAAGAGUUCAUGCCCAGCACUGGAGUCCACAAGUUGGUCUAUCCUUGGGAGGGAAAAGUUGUCCUUUGAGCAGGCUCUGUUCAAGUUGGUGAAGUCAACACACACCCUCCACUUCUCGUUGGACUUCUUCAUGAGCACUUGGUUGGAUAUCCACUUUUGAUAAAUGGCUUCUCUGAUGAAGCCAUUGCGACUUAGCUUGCCGAUCUCUUCCUUCAGCGCUUCAUAUCUUUCUUGGUUUAGUGCUCACCUCUUCUGCCGAUGUAGCGUGCAAGUGAAGUUGAUAUUUAAGUGAUGGCAGCUAACCCUUAGGUCUAUUCCCACCAUGUCUUCGUGCUUCCAUGUGAAGACGUCCAAAUUUCUUUUUAGGAAGUUCAUCAGUUCUUCUUUCUUCUUAGGGAGCAAAGCUUUCCCUAUUCGCCAGACUUGAGUGGGGUCUUGAGGGUUGGUGGGGAAAGUUUUGAGCUCUUCCAUUGGAGUUACAUUUGGUUCAGACUCGGUGAUCCAAGGGUCUAAUUCAUCAAGAGGGUGCCCUUCUUCAGGGGCCUCGAUCAUGUCGACGUCUUCGUCUUGUUCAAAGGUCUGCCCUUGUUUAGGGGCGUCAAGCAUUUUUACAUCUGUGCAGAUUUCGUUUGUUGCAUAGGUUAUUAUUGCAUUCACAAUGCAGGGCUCAAAUUUUCGUAGGGAAUUGAGGUAACAUGAUCGGGAGCCCAUCUACUGGCCUCGGACCUUCGCGAUCCCAUGCUCAGUUGGAAACUUCAUACAUAAGUGAUGAAUGAAGGUCGUAGCCCUAAGGUCCUUCAGUGCAAGUUGGCCGAGGACCCCGUGGUAAGUUGACCUGUGAUCCACCACUAAAAAUUCCAUGUAGUUGUGAGCCACUAGGGGUGCUGAUCCCAUCUCCACAGGCAAAGUGAUUCGCCCUCAUGGGAUAAUACUAUCCCCAGUGAAUCCGAAUAUUGGGUUUGUCAUGGGGAUCAAGCCAUGCUUAAUUUGCAUCUUGUCAAAAGUUGAUCCGAACAAUAUAUUCACCAAGCUCCCAUUGUCAACCAACAUGCGGUUAAGUCCAUUUCGAUCCACGACGGUCUUUAUUGCUAAUGCGUCUUAGUGUGGGUGGUGAAAACCAUGUGAAUCUUCUUGGGAAAAGGUGAUUGGAUCCAUUCUAUUAGUAUAGGACUGGUUAACGAUGUAAGUGAUCGUUGGUGGGUCUUUCGCUUUCCUUGUGUCGUUCUUCUAUGCGUUUCUGGUAUUUUCCCCGAUGAUUGUAUCGAUUUUUUGAAUAGUAUCCCCUCCGGUGAUUGGGGCCUAGUUCCUUUGCCUAGAUUCUCCUCGAGAUCUAUCUUUCAUUUCUCUCUUUCGAGGCGAUUGAUUCCGCUGUCACCUCAACUCCUUGUUUGGACAAGUGGACCUAUAGAAAUGUUCAUGACAAUGGUCCCUCUUGGAGUAGCAUGAGUUGCCCUGAUUUGACGAUCGAGGCGCGUCUCUACAUUCGUUGAUGUCAUGGCCAUAGAGUUAGUGAAAUGUGCAAGACUUUGCCCCUUCCAGGGGCCUGCUUGCCUGCUUCUUCUUCUUCUUGCGUCAGUUGUUUGUUCCCAUGGGAAGUCCCACUUCGGUAAGAGUAUUUUCGUAUGCCAGCAUUGGCAUUGCAUUUAGAGUGGCUGAAGCCAAUGCCUAUCCAGAUGAGGGGAUUAUUGUGUGACCUGCCUGGGUCCAUUGUUGGGUGAUGAGGUGUGCUACUGGUCUUUGACCCAUCUGCCUCUGAGGUGGAGGAAGUCGCUAAGUUGCAUGGUUCUGAUGGUCAAUCAUCUCCUCAUUGAUGAUUUCCACCCUCAUCAUCUCAACCAGUUCAUCAUAAGUACCCGGAUUCUUGCUUCGUACGUCUCUCCAAAACAAUGUGUUCAUGUUGAGGCCUCCUUUCAAGGCUGAAAGGGCCUUUCUAUUAGUGACUUGUUCACAGUAAAUGAUUUCAUCAGUGAAUCUGGCAAGAUAGCUUUUCAGCAUCUUGCCAGGGGCUUGCCUCAUAUCUUGUAGGCUUUGCACUGGGGCCACUACUUCCCUUCGUGAGAGGUAUUGGUUCAAAAAUGAAUUCUUCAAAUUUAGCCAACUUCUAAUGCUUAAAGGUGGUAACCUGCUGUACCAUACCUCGAUAGCUCCAGUAAGGGUUAGAUGGAAGGCCCUGCAUCUUAGCACCGGCGAGGCUCCUCUAAGGCUCAUUUGCGUUAUGUACUUUUUAAGGUGUUUCUAUGGGUCUCUCUUUCCUUUAUACUUAGGGAUUUUAUGGGGCAUGAAGAUCACAGGCAUUGGGAAGCUUUGGAUUUCUUUGGAGAAUGGGUGGUUGUCAUCAUCGCCAUCAAUUUCAUAGGAACGACAUGAUCUUUCAGAGCCUUCAUCAUCUGAUGCAUUUUAGGGGCAAGGAGGCGCCCUUCCCCGACUAUCCCAAUCUACUAGGUUUUUCCUCUCCCGCCUAUUUCUAGGCGGAGGAGGUACCUCAUGUUCUUCUUCUUACUCCUAUUCCCGCACAUGCUGAGCCGACCUUUGUAUAGAGCAAACCCUAUUGCUAGGGUUUCACCCUAUCUGGUCAAAGACACUGAUCGACCUCUAAGGUUCGUAAUUUGGGGAGAAGUUUUCUCUCAGCUGUGGUUCUGCUGCAUGAGAACCUUAGGUAUAGGAAGUAACACCCACUCCCACUUCCUUUUCAGUGGUGUGUUCCCUGUGGUGGCUUGAAUGACCCCGGACAUGAGAUAUCUGGUUUUGCCCUUGAGUUGGGUGUAGGCCCUGUGGAAUUGGAAAGCCAUGCUGACCUUGGGCUUACAUGAAGAAUUCAUGCAUCGCCAGAUUCUGGGCUACAAUGUCUCUCAUGUCAGUAGCUAUUUGAGUAUCCCUUCAGUAAGUACUGCUAUCCUGUUGCCUCGGUGACCCCGGUGAUGGGUUCUCCGAUGCGUGACAUUGGUCCUAAUCACCUCUUCUUCAGAGGCGUUCUUGUGCCCUUCAUGAUUUGCAUCCUCAUUGCUAUAAGUCACUUUCUCAAUCCUUUUUCACGGGUGUUAUGAACUUGAGACAGUUGACUUGGUCCUUUUUCAAUUACGUCCCUUUUUUAAGUAGAUAGUUUUCCGGUGGUAAAUGGGAGAUUGGUUGGAAUUUUCCCAUAGACGACGCCAAUCUAUUGACCUCGCGAAAUAGACCUUUACGUGGCCAAUCGAGAGCCACUUCACAUAUUCCUCCCUACACACAACAACGUACAAUCAGGAGCACACGGCUGGAACCAGCGGAGGUGGUGGCGAUCGCAUACACUCCGACAGUCAAGUCAGUGGUCAAUGAUCGAAACGGUACAAGAAUUAUGCAAGAGAGCGGGAAAGAGAAUAUAUAUUGCUUGAAUGUGGAGAGCUUAGUUUAGUAUAAGUUUCAUUACUUUUGCCUCUUGCCAAACCUUGAGUAUUUAUAGAUGAAGAGCACCGUUGGAUGCGGGACACGUGUAUGCAUCUGACAGUGUGAAACGUUUGCUCGUAGGCAUCAAUCAACCGCGUCCAGUGUGGGUGGGUUAUUAAUUCCCUUAGAUUGAGUUGAUAUAAAGUUGAUGUCACAUCAAUUAGACCCAUGAAAAAGUCACAUCCAUAGGGGAUUCUGACAUAGAUAUGCAUCUGAAACAGGUGACGGAGGUAUCUACUAAGGGAGCACCUCGGAUAGCCUAGCGCUUCGGUAACAGGGAGCGCUUUGGUCGCUUUAGUAGAUUUAGUUUAUUUCGACUCACCUUGCGGUGCGUCGAGUUGGAGUUCGACUGAGAGGGAUACCACUUCGAAACCACGUCGUUGGGACACAUGGCACUUCGUGGACAAGAGGGACACUAUUGUCGAAGUGGAUUAGUACGGGGCGUAACAAUCAUAGUUCUUGCUACACAAGGAAAAGACAACCGACAAAUUUCUAUUAAUGGAAAAUUAAGCUAAACUAGCUACGAUUUGGGCUUGUUUGUGUCCCCCCCCCCACCCACCCCCUAAGUAGAAGAAAUACAACUAUAGGGAAUUACAAAAAUGACAAGUAUAGGUAUUCAAAUCAAUGACGUAAAUGGUGGGACUAUGAUGUGAUGUAAGAAUGAAUUCUAUAAUUUCAGAAUGAGAAACAAACAAAGGCUUAAUUUGAUAACUAAUAAUUACUUUUCGUACGGAACAUAACGAAAUCAUAAAAUUCUUUAUAUUUGAUUAAUAUUCAAGUAAUACAUCUUUAGUCAAGGCCUUCUUCUUUAUUUUUAUUUUUCUUUUGAAGUCCAUAUAUUUUAACUAACAAUAAUUUGAUCCUAAAAUUACCCCGUAAUCAAAACUAUCUAGGAACUAUUAAUACCCUGCGCAUGUAGUAUGUAACUUUGAUGUGUCGUCUUUGUUCUGAAUAGUCACAACCCAAAAACGAUGAAAAAAUAGUAUGAGCUAGAGUUUGUGUUCGGAAUAUCCCCAUCGCGUGGAAUAUGGAGGACGAUAACCACCUUGCCUUUUAUGUGUGAAUUGGAGACCGCUAUUUUCUUGUACUUUUGUCCUCAUUUUCUAACUUGAUUUCCAAUUUUGUUGGUCCACUUAAAAGGAGGUAGACCCUUCAUUUUAACUUAUCGUCAUUUCUCUUCAUUUUCCUCUAGCUCUUUUGGCAUGAUAGCCUCAAUUAAAAUUGAGUUAUCGGAUUCAUAUUUUUUAUUUUCUUUUAUACAUUUAAGGGGACUAACAAACUUAUGAUCUUAAAAACGUUUCUGAAUUGGACUCAUAUAAAACUAAAUUUUAUGUUGAAGUACAAUUUAGAUUGUAUUAUUCCAUUUAAAAUUGUAGUGUUCUGGUAUAUUUUUUCGAUUAACACACGUGUCAAUGAGUCUCACAAAGUUCCUUGUAAAUUAAGGGAUUGUCCGACAAAGAUCUUGAUAAAAGUUAAAUAAAAAGUGUGAUUUAAAAUUUGACAAAAAAUUGUGGGUCACAUAAAAUUUGAUUAAUUCAAUAUGAAAAAUGAUUAUUUACGAGAAGCAUUACUCAUAAAAACAAUCAGCCACCUAAAUUUGUACAUGAGUCUUGUUAAAUACACGGUUUUAAUUAUCGCGUGUUGAUUCUGCUGGGAAAAAUAAAAAAUUGAAAAAAAUCGAUGCCAACUUCCCAACUCUAGGAUGGAUACAUGCAAGCAAUUUCCAAGAAACUAUUAGGCCGCCGAUCUUUCACACUGAAUAAUGUCUUCUUGAAAUAUUCAUCUCGUCUCGUCUAUAUAUAGAGGAACAUUGACUUCUUUUCAUUCAAUAUAGAAACUUUCUAUUUUUUUUUCUCUCUAUCUCAAACACACGGUGACUAAGGAGUUGAUAAAUCCUGAUUAUAAUAUCCCCCAUAAAUAUGGAGCAGAAUGGGAUGAAUUACAAGACCAAGGAGUUCAUCAAUUCUGAUCAUACCAACACUACAUUUUCUCAGAUUAGCAGCAAAUUCAAAAAAAAACCUUUUCUGACUCCGGUUCGAUCGGGAGCCAUCAAAAGGAGAAUCUUUACGGCUCUCUUCUGCGAAUUGAUAAAUUUCUUGCAAAUCACAUUUCCCUGCAUGUUUUAGGGAUCAUGAAAACAUGCAAACAUGCCAGCAAGCAUAUGAAAUUGUAAUCUAUUUCUUUGUUGUCCGGAAGUAAUUGAUCUGUUCAGUUUCGAUAUGGUUAGUACUUUUUCUUGGAGGCUAUGGUUUUGUUUUCUAGUUGAUGAGUUCAAGUAUUUAUUGUUUACCCA
This 117088-nucleotide long non-coding RNA is filed under the name Olea europaea (common olive). Its description in RNAcentral is "long non-coding RNA (OEUR_LNC010493)". Lineage: Eukaryota; Viridiplantae; Streptophyta; Magnoliopsida; Lamiales; Oleaceae. The record is from RNAcentral.